UUCUCUAAUAUCCAAUCAAUUUCUGCACGUGAUAACAUUUUAUAUAAUAAUUAUCAAAGUUGUGAACUUUUUUAUUACAAUACCCUAAGAUAACAGUCGGGGACAAAAUUAAUUAUCCUUUAUUGGAGCUUAUUUUACAAGGGAACCACAACAAAUCUGGAUACAAACACACAAUAGGAAAACAACUAUCAUAAGCCAAACCAACAUCAACCACCUAAAGAAUAAGCAGGCAGCACGGUUGCGCUACUUGACCUAUUCUCAGCUCCUAGGUAUGUCCCUUUUUCUCUCUACUCCAAUACUAAAUUUUUGCUCAUCCCUGAAGCAUGUUCAAGCACUUUCUUCUCAUCAGGAAGUGCCUUGGCAAUAGUCUCCCUCUGCAAGCAUCUCUUCACCCAAGCUUUGAACUUGGGGCACUCAGCCUCAACGCUGGACUUUCCAAAUGUCUCAUACGUGUAAUAGAAUGGGAUCAAACUCAAAUCCAAAUACCCAAAAUUGUCUCCUCCGAAGAAAGGCUUGUCUCCAAGCUGCCCUUCCAAGGUCUUCAGAGCUUCAAAGAACUCCUUCUUAGCCGCCUCCUGCUCUUCUCCCUUUGUGGUCCAUGUCUUCGUCGAAGCAUCGUACAUCUGCAAUUUACUUUCAAUAUUUGUAUCAGAAAAUCUGGCUGAAAAUGGAUAAAAUUUAACACAUUCAGGUUCCUCAUCCCUCUCAAGACAACAAAAUCAGCAACAGGUAGGUUACAGUCUUACAGCCUGCUGUAAAACUAUGUACAGGCCAAAAAACAUCCAAAAACAAUAAAGGAGCAAGUUGAAUUCUAAGCAUAUUUUAAGAUUUUCACCUAAAAAUUCAGCUUAAUCGCUUGUUUCUCUUUAAUUAUUUUCAAGACAAAAGAUUCUACUAUCUCAAAAAUAUAAAACUCCCAAAUAUCCAGCUAUUCCUUAAAAAAAAAAAAUCUAUAAACUCACACACCCACUAAAGCUGAAACCAAGAAAUAAACAUUAAGAAGGCCACUACUUACUACACUUACUACUGAAACUAGACUUUAACUGCAAAUAUUCAGCCUAAUCUGGUUUAUAGUACUCUCGCUCUGAUCCUCAUCGUUGGGCCCUUUACUGAUCUUAUGCUACAACUACAACCUACUAAAGUUUAUAAUAUCUGCAUCAUAGUGCUGUAAAAACCAAAAUCUUCAACUCUAUAGGGGACAUCUUUUCCCCCUCCGUUCAAUGCAAACCCAGUUUAUUUGUAAUCAAACAACAAAUCCAUGAUAUCUACUCGACAAUGAAAUAUUUUAAUAAAAAAAUUUCGGCUUCUAUUUUAAUAAAAUUACAAUUAAAUCUAAAAUUGAAAAAAUACCCAUAAACAUACUUCAGAAAAUCAACAACAAAGUUACCUUCUUGUCAAUGAAAUCUACCCAGAACCUAGCUUGAGCUCUCUGGUAGGGAUCAGAGGGAAGCAAUGGAGCCUUGUCCUUCCACACUUCAUCAAUGUACUGAACAAUGAUGGAUGACUCACAGACCGGUCUGCCGUUGUGGAUGAGAACCGGGAUCUUCUUGUGAACCGGGUUCAUCUGCAGAAGCAGGGGGCUCUUGUUCUUCAAGUCCUCUUCCUUGUAUUCAUACUUGACGCCUUUCUCCGCCAGAGCAAUCCUGACCCUCAUCCCGAACAUGCUGGGCCAGAAAUCCAACAGAAUCACUUCGUCCGCCAUUAUUACAGAAGCUUACUAAGAAUCAACAGUGAAUAAAUGAAAAGACACGAUAAACACGCCGAAAGUGAGGUUACGAGAGUGCAUAUUUAUAGCGAAAAGUUUGCGCUAAUCGGUUUGGACUUGGCAAAUGUUUGAGAUGGCCGUACGUGGCUAAGGCUCCGUUUGGUACAGCUUAUUAAAUAGAGCUUAUAACAGUAGAGCUUAUAGCAGUAGAGUUUAUACCAAUAGAGCUUUUGGACAAAAAGUCAUUGGGUGUUUGGUUGUCAAUAAAAAACCAAACACCAUAAGCACUUAUGACUCUUAAAUAAGCCAUACCAAACAGGCACUAAUAUUGGUCUCGUUCUAGCUCCACCUGUAAUACAACGCUGCACCACAUACAUCGUUAUUGAAUUUUUUAUUUAAAAAUUAAUUGGCCUUUGGAUCGCACUCAAAAGUAAUCCAACGGAUUAUAUUUUUUUUGGCUAAUGUUGGCUACCGGAAGUAUCAGUUGCGAUUGAUUGAGAUAUGGUAUAAAUACGAGAUUUUUUUUACCCGUUCUCUUUUCAUCUGUCUCUAAAGCUCAGGCAAUUGGGCAUUCAAUUGGUAUCCCCUUUUAAUGAAAAAAUUGAUGGUGUGGUGAGACUGGAAGUUGGUUGGCUUUCUCUGAAUCUCUUUCUCAAAUCCAAAAUUACGAAUUGAUGUUGAGAAAGAGAUUCAGAGAAAGCCGACCAACUUCCAGAAUCGUGAUUAAAUUCUCUUUCUAUAAGGUAAUUUCUUAAUUAGUUUGAAAGUUUUUCCUAUUGUCUUAUGUCUUUUUGAAGUCUGCAUUUUAAACAGAUCAAUUUAUUCUCACAAAGAAACAAUCUCAACUAACGAGACUAUGUAAGGAGAUUUCUAAUUCAAAGAAACCUACCUGUAACAGGUACGUCUUACCAAAUUACCACCAUAUCCUUUAGAAUUGUAAGUUAAACCAUUGGUAUAAUUUUUUAAUAUAGAAGAAUUUAUUAAUUGAAGGGUAUAAUCUAAUAAGCUGUGUGGGGAUAUGCUGACCGAAGGGGGAAAGAAUUAACAUGUGUUUAUAUGAUAUUCAUAUGAAGAGAAUGAAAAAGAAAAAGCUUAAAACGCAGCAAUAAAGUAUAUUGUUUAAAUAGGAAAGUAAAAUUUGGUAAAAGAAAUAGAAUGAAAUAAGUAAUUUUAAAAAAAAAUUGUUAUAGGUUUUAAUGGAUGGAUUUACAAUGUUUUACAUAGAUGGCAAGUCACAAAUUAGUAUUUUUUUAAAAUUAGUAUGAGAAGAGCUUUUGAGAAGUCAUAUGUAAAUUUUUUUAAUCUUUAUUACUUUUGUGACAGUUGAGGAAACACACUAGGAAAACCAACAGAGAACUUUCAGCAGAACAUAAGGCAAGUCACAAAAAGCAAUGUGAAAGGAUUGGUUGUGCAGAUGCAUAUUCGGAUAACAAUGAAUCAAAAACUAUUAAGGUAGAUAAGUUCACCUUGGAAACUAGGUGUGCGCCUGACCGAUUUUGUUCUUUUGUUGGUAACUUAUCGGAAGACAAGAAAAAUGCAAUAAGAGAUAUAGGAUUUGGAAGCCUACUUUAAAUCCAAUGUGGUCGACUGAGGAGGCAAUUAUGUCGUUGGUUGGUGGAUCAAUUCAAACCUGAAUACAACAUUAUUGAACUUCAUGGUCAAAAUUUGAAACUGUGCCACAGAAAAUUUUCAGAUGUCAUGGGUGUAAAUGAUGGAGGUAUACCAAUACAAUUGGGUGGACCAAGUGAAAAUAUUACUGAAUUACGAGAUAUUUUUCAAUCAACAGUCAAAGGGAUCAACAUCAAGACGCUUGAGGAUAUUAUAAAGCAAGAAGAUAAAACCAGCUGGAUUUUCAAGGUUUGUAAUAAAGUUGAUUUUGGCACAUUUAUGCAUACACCCAUUAUUAUAUUAAAUCAUGAAUAUCUGUUAUAUUUCUUUCAUAUUAUAUUAUAUUCUGAUACCAUUUGUAUUUUUCUAUAAUAUUUGCAUGCAUAAUUGUAUAAAACAUUUAAGUUACUGUGAAAUAUGAGCACAUAUCAGCCAUUUAUCAAACUCAUUCAUGUUUGCUAUUGUUCAUUUUACAAAUAGUAGUUUUGAUAUGAGCAGGUUGCGUUUACUUUGUUUGCACUAGCCACGUUGUUAUGCCCAACAAGUGGUUAUAUAUCACAUUUGUUCUUGCAUCCGUGCAACGAUGUUCUCAAUGUUAAAUCACUUAAUUAGUUACAAAUAGUAGUUUUAGUAGUUUUGAUAUGAGCAGGUUGCGUUUACUUUGUUUGCACUAGCCACAUUGUUAUGCCCAACAAGUGGUUAUAUAUCGCAUUUGUUCUUGCAUCCGUGCAACGAUGUUCUCAAUGUUAAAUCACUUAAUUGGGCUUCAUUUUGUUAUAAAUGGCUGGCAAAAUCCAUUGGCAAAUAUAAGAAUCGUGAAACUACAUAUGUUGGGGGAUGUCUUCUUUUCCUACAGGUAAGAUGAUUUUCAUAAUUGAAUUUUAGCAUUUUUCUGGCCAUGGAUGGCUGUUUAUACGUAUUUUCUUAACUAUAAUCUGUUUAUACAGAUUUUCUUAACUAUAAUCUGUUUAUACAGAUUUUUUACCUCCAUAAUGUUGCAUACAACUGCAUUCAGCCUAAUGGGACCAAAACUCCUGUGACAUUCUGGAAAGAAUCAAUGGUGAAGAGGUUCAUGAAGUGGUUGAGAUCUCAGGGAGGGAUUGGAAGUAAUAAGGUAAAUUUUAUUGUAGAGUGCUUAUCAUUAUAAUUACCAUAAUAAUGUGUGAGAAAUGGGAUUAUCCUUAUUUUUUGAGAUCAUUUAUCUGCUCAAUUAAACAGAUUCAUAUGCGUACCAUUGAUACCGGUGAAGCUUCUCGAUCAAAAGCUGUUAGACAUCUCAAUUUUGAAGAAAUAAUUCAGAAACAAAUACUUUCAAUCAGGGUACUGACAUUUAAGGUUGAUUAUCUAUCUGAUGCGAUAUCUGACCAGACUAAAAUGCUAAAAGAAUUGCUACAUCAAAGGCAAAUUAUGGAUUGAGUUGCCCGUCAUGUCCAUCAUCCUACCACAGAUAACAUUAAAACUCCUUCCCACGAGUUUGUGUCUGCGCAAGAAAAUAAUGUUGGGGCUGAGUUUAUUGAAAUCUCAUCAAAUGAAAGUUCAGCCCGAGGUUAUGAUAAGAUAAACUCUCCUUAUGAUGGCUCCAGCUUAAAAACAAAGGAACGACCAUUAUAUCAAAUAUUGAGGACAUUAGAAAUGGCUAUGGAUUGUGAAAAGACAGAUGCAUUACCCUCAAAGAAAAUAGAAAUGUCCAAGGGAAAACAAGAACUGAUUCUUAAGGAUUCUAAGGUAUUAAAGUGUCUUUGUUACUGUUGUAUUGAUAUUUAUCAUAAUUGUAUGUUGUGACAUUACCUCAGAAUAUGUGAAUUUUAAUUUUUUUUCUUUUGUAGGAGGGUCUUGUGAUGAUACAAUCAACUGCAAAGGGAAUGCAUAUUCAAACUUCUAAAGAAAAGAAUGUCAAUCUCAAGUCUACCCAACCCCGAUUUUUGGCUGGUCCAUUUUCAGUUCCCACUCCAUUUACCGAGGAUGAAAAAAAGCUUAUUCUUUACCUUUUUGACGACAAGUUGGCUGAAAUGUAUGGUCUAGUAAUAAUGAAAUGUUUUUGUAAAUGGCUAGAUUGUUUCGAAUAUAGAUAUAAAUCUCUUAAUCUUGCUUUUAUUCAUUGUAAUAAUGUUGUUUUUUCAUGAUAAAAGGAUGUUGUCGUCCGUACAGAAUACAGCAGCAUAACACGGAGCAGUAUGCGUUCCCUCCUGCCGAGAGCAUGGAUUGAUGGUGAUGUAAUACUCUAUGCCUACUAUGUAUAAUAUUUAGGAUUCAUUCAAUACUAAUGAUGCCAUUAUUUUCAAUUAGUAUAUAUGUGCAUAUCUCUUAACUAAUGUUCCACUUUGGUCGCAACUGUUAAAAAAAAUUUCAGAUUAUUACUAUGUACGCAGAGUACAAGACUAUUGAAGAGGCCCAAAAGGAUAUCACCUCUCCUCGAUGUUGGUUCUUGCCGUCAUAUUAUUCCGUAAGAUAACCAGAAAUUAAAUAUUUUUAAUUCAAUCAUUACUCUUUAAAUGAGAUCAUGUAGAAUGUCAACUAACAAAAUGUUUUUAUUCUUUUAAUUUGUGCCACUUAAAUUUAAAGCAAGUUGUAUUGGGUGACUCGGGUGAUCUAAACCCCUAUCGUCGAGCUUCCAGGUUCCAAGAGCGCUACAUGCCCCAGUUGGAAACUUGUGAAAAGGUUCAGCGCAUAACAUGAAUUUUUUUAAUGAACUUUUUGUGGUUUGUAUUUUUACAUAGUUCCUUGGUAUCUAAUCAGUCAUUGACAAUUGUAUGUUCUUAGGAGGAUUGACUACAUUUGUGCGUUAGUCGGAAUUUGAUUAAAUAACAUUCUAAAUUUUGUUAACACUUAUUCUGGUUGAUGUUGGCAGCUCGCCUCACUGGAUUUUUUGCUACUUAGAGAGGCUCGACUUCGUUUUGGUUCAAAUUUCAAUUUUCUGCAUUUUCAACUUGGUCGUCAAACUGGUCUGCCACAACAGCCAAAUGAUUUUGAUUGUGGAUACUAUACCUUGAAAUAUAUGGACAAUCCCUCUAUUGUUGCUGACCAGUCUUAUCAGGUAUAUGCUUUUUUUUUCAAUCUUGAACAUUGAUGAUUCUGAUAUUUAGUUCAUGAUCAAUGCUUUCUUCAGACCAUUUAUCAGUCAUUAUGUUUAAUGAUUCUGUAUUUAGAUUAAUAACAAUGAUAACAGAGGAGUACUGCAAAGAAGUAAGAAAUAUUAAAGUUUUCUUUAUGAAGAGUACUUUUAAGGCAUAACUAGGAGUACUCGAUAAUUUUUUUUCCUUUUAAGGAUGUAUUAAGCAAGCUGUUUUUAGAAGAUAUCUAGUUUUGAAAGCAAUAAGACAUACUUUUUAGCAAGUAAACAAGCACCUAAAAAUGUGAAUUGUUAAAAAUCUGCAUACGUAAAAGGCUAAGUAUUUAUAUUUAAGAAGUGUUAUUAUAUGUUGCAAGUCAACUACCUUUUGUGAAAAAAUAAGCUUGCUGCUAGUAAUUAGGUAGCAAGAGCGCUACAUGCCCCAGUUGGAAACUUGUGAAAAGGUUCAGCGCAUAACAUGAAUUUUUUUAAUGAACUUUUUGUGGUUUGUAUUUUUACAUAGUUCCUUGGUAUCUUUUUCAUUUUACUAACCUGAUAACAAAACAUUUUGCCAAUAAUUGUAUUUACUCUCCUACAACUGCAGAUUUAUGUGCCCGUACAUUGUGAAGCUCAUUGGUACAUGCUUGUUAUUGACAUUCUUCGUCAAACUGCUGAUAUUUGGGAUUCAUUGGAAUCUCUCAGUCAAAGAGAAAAAAUGAUUAAUCAGUCAUUGACAAUUGUAUGUUCUUAGGAGGAUUGACUACAUUUGUGCGUUAGUCGGAAUUUGAUUAAAUAACAUUCUAAAUUUUGUUAACACUUAUUCUGGUUGAUGUUGGCAGCUCGCCUCACUGGAUUUUUUGCUACUUAGAGAGGCUCGACUUCGUUUUGGUUCAAAUUUCAAUUUUCUGCAUUUUCAACUUGGUCGUCAAACUGGUCUGCCACAACAGCCAAAUGAUUUUGAUGGUGGAUACUAUACCUUGAAAUAUAUGGACAAUCCCUCUAUUGUUGCUGACCAGUCUUAUCAGGUAUAUGCUUUUUUUUUCAAUCUUGAACAUUGAUGAUUCUGAUAUUUAGUUCAUGAUCAAUGCUUUCUUCAGACCAUUUAUCAGUCAUUAUGUUUAAUGAUUCUGUAUUCAGAUUAAUAACAAUGAUAACAGAGGAGUACUGCAAAGAAGUAAGAAAUAUUAAAGUUUUCUUUAUGAAGAGUACUUUUAAGGCAUAACUAGGAGUACUCGAUAAUUUUUUUUCCUUUUAAGGAUGUAUUAAGCAAGCUGUUUUUAGAAGAUAUCUAGUUUUGAAAGCAAUAAGACAUACUUUUUAGCAAGUAAACAAGCACCUAAAAAUGUGAAUUGUUAAAAAUCUGCAUAUGUAAAAGGCUAAGUAUUUAUAUUUAAGAAGUAUUAUUAUAUGUUGCAAGUCAACUACCUUUUGUGAAAAAAUAAGCUUGCUGCUAGUAAUUAGGUAACAACCACUGGAGUCGUGAACUAUGUGGACUUUGUUAUUUUUAUAUAAAUUCAUCUUGUGAGCAUAUAGAAAUUGUUGUAAUUAGUGUUUCUUUUUUGUUAGCACGAUUCGGAUUAUGCUCGCAUCCUGUUGGCACUCUAUCUAGCACAAUCUCCACUUAAUCAUAGAAGCUCAUUGGUACAUGCUUGUUAUUGACAUUCUUCGUCAAACUGCUGAUAUUUGGGAUUCAUUGGAAUCUCUCAGUCAAAGAGAAAAAAUGAUUAAUCAGUCAUUGACAAUUGUAUGUUCUUAGGAGGAUUGACUACAUUUGUGCGUUAGUCGGAAUUUGAUUAAAUAACAUUCUAAAUUUUGUUAACACUUAUUCUGGUUGAUGUUGGCAGCUCGCCUCACUGGAUUUUUUGCUACUUAGAGAGGCUCGACUUCGUUUUGGUUCAAAUUUCAAUUUUCUGCAUUUUCAACUUGGUCGUCAAACUGGUCUGCCACAACAGCCAAAUGAUUUUGAUUGUGGAUACUAUACCUUGAAAUAUAUGGACAAUCCCUCUAUUGUUGCUGACCAGUCUUAUCAGGUAUAUGCUUUUUUUUUUUUCAAUCUUGAACAUUGAUGAUUCUGAUAUUUAGUUCAUGAUCAAUGCUUUCUUCAGACCAUUUAUCAGUCAUUAUGUUUAAUGAUUCUGUAUUUAGAUUAAUAACAAUGAUAACAGAGGAGUACUGCAAAGAAGUAAUAAAUAUUAAAGUUUUCUUUAUGAAGAGUACUUUUAAGGCAUAACUAGGAGUACUCGAUAAUUUUUUUUCCUUUUAAGGAUGUAUUAAGCAAGCUGUUUUUAGAAGAUAUCUAGUUUUGAAAGCAAUAAGACAUACUUUUUAGCAAGUAAACAAGCACCAAAAAUGUGAAUUGUUAAAAAUCUGCAUAUGUAAAAGGCCAAGUAUUUAUAUUUAAGAAGCAUUAUUAUAUGUUGCAAGUCAACUACUUUUGUGAAAAAAUAAGCUUGCUGCUAGUAAUUAGGUAACAACCACUGGAGUCGUGAACUAUGUGGACUUUGUUAUUUUUAUAUAAAUUCAUCUUGUGAGCAUAUAGAAAUUGUUGUAAUUAGUGUUUCUUUUUUGUUAGCACGAUUCGGAUUAUGCUCGCAUCCUGUUGGCACUCUAUCUAGCACAAUCUCCACUUAAUGAUAUUAGGCAUAAACUCAUGCAAGAUGCUUCCAAUGGAUAUGGAAAGUGUAGUGCUGCUGACUCGCAAAGGGCCCCUUGUAAACAAACUUCAGAAUUAAGAAAAGCUGCCAGAAAUAUUAAUCUUAACCAGACACCGUCCGAGGCUUUAUUAAAAACAUUACUAUGAUCUCUAAAGGUAUGUUAAGUCGCUUGUCAUUCCCAUUUUUGAUCUUAUGUCCUAUGCUUAUCAAUUGUUAUUAAGUUGUUUUUUCUAUUUCUUUUAGUGAGUUAUGAUGUUUUUGGUAGACCAAUUAAACUUGUUAUUAAUCAUCUGCUUGUGUUUUGAACUAGGUGUCACUACACUUGGAAUGGCAGCUUUUAUAUUUUGGUAUUCGAAACCAUUUUGUUUUUGAAUAUUUUUGUAACAACACCUUUUUUGUAUAGCAUAUACUAAUCAUUUUUUGGUUAGGUAGUCGAGUAACUGUUUAUUAGAACCUUUGUCAGUUCAUUCACCUAAAGAAGCAGAUGAGCCAUGUGUGGCCUUAGAAGAUGGUGUUGUAGAUGCAUUUCGUGCUGCUGGAUGCCCUCUUAUUUUUUUGUGUCCGAGGGUAGUGUAUUUAGGUUGCAUAUUCUGACCAUUUGUUAUUAGGCACUAUCGGUCAGAGAUGGCUAAUUGUAGAAACUUGAUAUGUAUUUAGGGCUAUAUCUCUGUUAAUUCUUCUCUAUUAUAACUGUCUUAAAAUUCCAGUAAAAUUACUUAUUGAAUUUUUUGUAGCUUAAAUUUGGUUUUGUUUUGUUUCAGAUUUUGAUGAAUUAUGAUGUUGAAGGGUUUCGACUCUUUUGUAAUCUACUUUGCUUUGACUAAUGAUGUUCAAUCCUACAGACACGUAGAAAUUGAUAUUUUUAUUUCCCGCCUCCAUUUUUGAUAUUUUUGAGAAGUAUUACUUGUUAAAAUUAGCAAUUAUAAAUGUUGCUAGUAAUGUCCACGGGUGCACAUAUACUUAAGAUUAGCAAUCGUCAAAAAUUUAUAUAUAUGGUUAUUGUAUAAGAUUAUUGUAAAAAUACAAUUGAUUAAAAUAUAAUUUUUAAAAUUACAUUUAAAGGAUGGAGCUUGAAACAUCGACUUAAAAUAUUGGAUUUUAAUACAAAGAGUAAAAAUAUAAAACCAAAAAGUAGUGGCAAGAACAAUCUCACCCAAAAUUCGGAACAACUGAACCAGAAUUUGAGUAAUCUCAACUGGAAGUUGAGAUUCCAAAAGUAAACUUGAAACCUUGACCUAAAAUAUUAAAAUUCAACAAAAAGAAUAUAAAUAUAAAACCAAAAAGUUGAGCAAACAAGAGUUAAAGAGGUUAACCUAAAAGUAGAAAAAACCUUACCAAGAAUUUGACAAUUUAUAACGAGAAGUAGAAAUCUAAAAACCAAACUUGUAACAUCCACUUAAAAAGUUGGAUUUUAAUAAAAAGAGUAGGAAUAUAAACCCAAAAAGUGGUGGAAAUAAGAAUUAAAGAACUUAACCUAAAAGUAAAAAAUAAAUUACCAAGAAUUUGACAAGUUUCAACGAGAAAUAGAAAUCUAAAAAGUAAAAUUGAAACAUCCACUUAAAAUGUUGGAUUCUAAUACAAAGAGUACGAAUAUAAAACUAAAAAGUGGUGGCAAGAACAACCUCACCCAAAAUUGGGAACAACUCAAUCAGAAUUUGAGUAAUUUCAACUGUAAGUAUUUUUUUUUUAUUACGAUUUCAACUGUAAGUUGAGAUACCAAAAGUAAACUUGAAAUUUCGAAGUAAACUAUUAAAAUUCAACAAAAAGAGUAUAAAUAUAAAACUAAAAAGUGGUGGAAAUCAGAGUUAAAGAAUUUAACCUAAAAGUAUAAAUAAAUUACCAGAAAUUUGAUACAUUUCAACUAGAAGUAGGGAUAAAAAAAGUAAACUUGAAACAUCGACUUAAAAUAUUGGAUUUUAAUACAAAGAGUAAAAAUAUAAAACCAAAAAGUAGUGGCAAGAACAAUCUCACCCAAAAUUCGGAACAACUGAACCAGAAUUUGAGUAAUCUCAACUGGAAGUUGAGAUUCCAAAAGUAAACUUGAAACCUUGACCUAAAAUAUUAAAAUUCAACAAAAAGAAUAUAAAUAUAAAACCAAAAAGUUGAGCAAAUAAGAGUUAAAGAGGUUAACCUAAACGUUGAAAAAACCUUACCAAGAAUUUGACAAAUUAUAACGAGAAGUAGAAAUCUAAAAACUAAACUUGUAACAUCCACUUAAAAAGUUAGAUUUUAAUAAAAAGAGUAGAAAUAUAAACCCAAAAAGUGAUGGAAAUAAGAAUUAAAGAACUUAACCUAAAAGUAAAAAAUAAAUUACUAAAAAUUUGACAAAUUUCAACGAGAAGUAGAAAUCUAAAAAGUAAACUUGAAACAUCCACUUAAAAUGUUGGAUUUUAAUACAAAGAGUAGGAAUAUAAAACACAAAAGUGGUGGAAACAAUAGUUAAAGAACUUAACCUAAAAGUAGAAAUAAAUCACCAGAAAUUUGAUAAUUUCAACGUGAAGUAAGGAUUUAAAAAGUAAACUUGAAACAUCCACUCAAAAUGUUGGAUUUUUAUAAUAAUAGUAGGAAUAUUAUACCAACAAGCGGUGGGAAGAAAACCCCAACCGAAAUUUGGAACAAGGUCAUAGAAUUUGAGUAUCUUCAACUGAAAAUUGGGAUACAAAAGUAAACUUGAAACUUCGACCUAAAAUAUUAAAAUUAAAAAAAAAGAGUGUAAAUAUAAAACUAAAGAAUGGUGGAAACAAGAGUUAAAAAUCUUAACCUAAAAAUAAAAAUAAAUUAUCAAUAAUUUGACAAAUUUCAACGAGAAGUAGAAAUCUAAAAAGUAAACUUGAAAAUUUCACUUAAAAUGUUGGAUUUUAAUACAAAGAGUAGGAAUAUAAAACCAAAAAGUGGUUGGAAGAAAAAUCUAAUCCAAAAUUGAGAACAACUCAACAAGAAUUUGAGUAAUUUAAACUGGAAGUUGGGAUACAAAAAGUAAACUUGAAACUUCGACUUAAAAUAUUAAAAUUCAACAAAAAGUGUAUAAAUAUAUAACUAAAAAGUGGUAGAAAUAAGAGUUAAAGAACUUAACCUAAAAAUAGAAAUAAAUUACCAGAAAUUUGAUCAAUUUUAACAAGAAAUAGGAAUCUAUAAAGUACACUUGAAAUGUCCACCUAAAAUGUUGAAAUUCGAUAAAAAUAGUAGAAACAAAUAACUAAAAAGUUGUGGCACAAGAGUUGAAAUUUCGACUUAAAAGUUGGAAUAACUUACUAAGCAUUAAAUAAUUUUUAAUGAAAAGCAGGGAUGUAAAAAAUUAAGCGAAAAUACUCACCUAAAAUGUUGGAAUUUAAUAAAAAGAAGAGGAAUAUAGAACUUAAGUGUGAUGAGAAGAUGAGUUGAUAAACAUAACCUAGAAAUUGGAAUAACUUACACAUAAAUUAACAAAAAAAAAAAAACCAACAAGUAGAGAUCUAAAAAUAAACUUGAGACUUCCACCCAAAAUAUUUGAAUUUUUUAAAAAGAAUAGGAAUAUAGAAUUUAUAAGUCGCAGGAAUAAGAGUUGAUGAACUUAACCCAAAAGUUGGAAUAAGUUAUAAGGUAUUUGGUAAAUUCCAAUGCGAAGUAGAGAUCUAAAAAGUAAACUAAAAACAUUUAUCCAAAAUAUUGAAACUCAAUGAAAAUAGUAGGAUUGUAAGAUAUAAAAGUUGUGGGAAAAUGAAUAGGAACAACUUACUAAAAAUUAGAUGAAGUUUAAUGGAAUGUAGGGAUAAAAAAUGUCAAAUUGAAAUAUCUACCUAAAAAGUUAGAAUUUAAUGAAAAGAGUGGAAAUAUGAAAGAAAAGACUAGUAAAAAAUGAGUUGAAAUAAGUUACGAAAAUUUAGAUAAAUGAUAAUGAAAAUUAGGAAUUUCAAAAGUAAACUUGAGACAUAUAAUAUAAGUAUUGGAAUGUAACAAUAAAAAGUCGGAAUAUGACUAUUUUGUGAUAUUUUUAUAAUAUUUUUAUAAAUUUUUAUGUUAUUUAUAAAUUUAAAAUUAUUACAAUUUUUUUUUAUCUCAUUUGAAGGAAAUUUUUUAAUUUUUCCCUUUUUUUAAAUAAAAUUUUCACAUUAAAAACAAUUAAAAUUUUUAAUUUGCAUUUAUUAACCGGUUGAAAACUGGUUGUACCGGUACCAUGCAUGCGCUGCAUGAGAUGCAGCACUGCAUGGUAGGUUGACUCGUCUUUUCUUUCCAGAAAUAUAUGAUCUUCUCCUGGCCACUUCGUGUUCAAAAUAAACAAUAAAAAAUAAAGUGAUGUUAUAAAACAUUCUAGGCUCUUCCAUCUCCAGGAUAAGUCAUUGCUUCCGUCACAAUCGCGCAAGCACCCAACUAAAUUUGUUUUGGAUAAAAGAUAUUCAUCUCAAAUUUUAUUGUAAUUGAUAUGUUAUUCAUUAAAUAUUGAUAAUUUUUCAUAAUAAUUACAUUAUCUUAUUAAUUAAUUGUUGAAUGUUAAUUGAGAUAGCUUUUGUGAUAAAAAUUUAGGUUGUGUAGCAUUAUUCAUUUUUUCACAAUAUUUUCUUUAAUGAGGAGGGCAACAACCAUUACUUAAUCAAAAUUUCAUUCCAUGAAAUUUAGAUGGCAAUUUAAGGGCUAAUUUGAUAGUAAAGUAGUUUUUAAAAUAUUUAUUGUUAGUUCUAUUAUAAAAAUAAUUAGUUAUAAAUAGAAUCAACUAACAUUUAGUUUUUUUUUUAAAUUAAAAUUUUAUUAAUAGAAAAAUGAUUACAGUGAUUUGUCUUUACAUACAGUUGGAACUUCUUCUAACCAAACUUUUUCGAUGGAAUUACAAAGAGCUAAUUUAGCGAGAUGAUGUGCAGCUCCAUUGUAAGACCGUGGAGCAAAUUUCACUUGGAAAGAACUCUCAGAGGAAGAUAAGUGAUGAGCAUAAUUUUUAUAUAUAUUACCUUUUAUUGUAUAUUUACUAGUAUUUUUAUUUAUUAUUUUUAAUUAAUUGAAUUGUUUUACUGAAUAGGGAAUUAAUUUGAGAUUAUGAAUAAAAAAUGCAUAAAAGAUCCAUAAAAGAAAAGAAUUGAAGAAUUAAAGAUUAUAUUCCAAAGCUUCUACGUGAGCUUAAGAUAAUUAAAGAAAGAUUUUAUUUAGCAAUUUGGAAUGCAUGGGCUGGGCAUUAAAGGAAGAAAUCAUUAAUUGGCCUUUUGCUUUGGAAGUCAAACAUGUGGCUAGAGCAAAACAAAUAAAAAGCCAAAGCCUUUUGGCUUUAGAAUUGAAAAGGCGGGGCCUAUUUUGAAGACUAUAUAAGCAAGCUUUUGUCUUUUGGACCAAAAAAGGGGGAAGGCGCCAGAUGAAAAAGGAAACAAAAGGAGACGCGAUUCAGGAGAGAAGUCAUGAGUGAUAGCAGCUGUUCAGUUUUUAUGGCUGGUGUUAUUUAUUUUGUUACUCUCAAUUCAAGUAUAUUUAACUAAUUUUCUUAUAUUGAGGUUAAGAAUGAAAUUCUAUUAAAUAAAAUAAUUAUCUCUUUAUUUAAUUAAUUUUCUACAUGUGUGUUUUAAUAUUUAUAGUUCUUGUUUCACAUGAUUAGUUGGAUGUUAUUAAAUUCUUUUCACCAACUCUGUCAUGUAUUAUUGAUUGUGAAGAUUAAUAUUUGACUAAAUCUAUGUUUAGAUCUAUAAAGUUUAUAUAUGAUUAUCUUUGAUUUUAUGUUUUUCAUUAAAUUAUUUAUAUAAAGUGCUUAUGAAAACUUUGACUCUUUAUUAUUCAAUAUGUUUACAUGGGAUGCUUAGAUGUCAUACUAUCAAGCAGAAAAAGAACAUACAUAAAAUUAAUUUUAUUUGAGCUUAAUUGUUAUAUUUAUGAGAUGAUAUAGAUUGAUUUCGAGUUGUCACUCUAAAAUUGGGAAUUAAUUAAUAUUUAAAUAAUUACUAGUUGAAUAGUGCUGGAUUUUGAAACCUUGGUAGUUUUUGUCUUAUGGAAUUCUCAUUUGCUUUAAUUGUUUUCUUAGUUUAAUUAGUUUAAUUUUCUUAAAAACUCAAUUUGCUCAACUAGAUUUGAAUUAAUAUUAAUUUUAGAUUUAAAUUAGAUUUUUCAAUUUAUAACAAUUCACGUGGGUUCGACCUCGUUACCACUAUUCUAUUUCUAGAUUCGUGCGCUUGUGAGUAUUUUAAAUUUUUCACAACAAGUUUUUGGCGCUGUUACUGGGGAUUGUGCCAGAAAGUUAGUUUAAUCUAAGUUGAUUUGAUUCUUCAACUAGUUAUAAUUUAGGUUGUCUUUUAUUUAUUUAUUUAAUUUUUUUAUAAAAAACACAAAAAAAUUAUUAUUUUUUACUUUGAAUUCUUGUUUGGUUAUUUGAUUUCUUUUAAAUUUUGUUUAUUUUUAUUAUUGUUGUUUUAUUUUUCUUCUUUGUCUAGUUAGUUUAUGAGUGUUUGGAAACGCAAUUCAACAAAUCGUUAAGUAAAAAAAGAGUCUAAAAUUGAUAGUAGUCAAGCUAGUUCUUCUCAAGUGAUGGAUGACCCAAAUAGAAUAUUGCCAAUACUACCACCAGUGCAAGCAUAGAAAACCCCUAGAGAUUAUUUUUCACCACUUACAGCCAAUCAACCAUCUGGUAUUGUGUUGCCACAAACUACAGCAACACACGUUGAACUUAAGCCCUCUGUCAUUCAACUUUUACCAUCUUUCAAAGGGUUAGAGAAAGAGGAUCCAUUUUUUCAAAUUAAGGAAUUUCUUGACAUAUACUCUACAUUUCGUUUUCAAAAUUUUAAUGAUGAGUCAAUUAGGCUUCAUAUGUUCACUUUAUCAUUAAAAGACAAAGUGAAAGCUUGGUUGAAUUCACUUCCUGAUGGGUCUAAUACUAUGUGAGAUGAAUUGAGUAAUAAGUUCCUCACCAAGUUUUUCUCUAUGUCUAAAACAAAUGCCCUUAUGAGAGAGAUAAGUGGUUUUUAUCAAAGAGAGAGUGAGCAAUUUUAUGAGUGUUGGGAAAGAUUUAAUGAUUUAUUCCUUAAGUGUCCCCACCAUAGUCUUGAGAAAUGGAGACUUAUACAAUACUUUUAUAAUGGUUUAACCAUGUCAAAUCGUCAUAUGGUGGAGUCUAUGAAUGGUGGGAGAUUUUUGAACCUACAUGAAGGGGCUGCAUGAGAUUUCUUUAAUUCACUUUCUGAAAAUUCUCAACAGUGAAAUUUUUCAAAUCAAAGGGAAAAAUCAUCUCAAGUUUCAAAAAAGGGUUUAUAUGAAGUUAAAGAUGAUUUUGAUGUGAACGCCACUCUAGCUACUCUUUCUAGGAAAGUAGAUGUCUUAGCUCUGAACCAAUCAAUGAAUCACCAUCCUAGUGUAGCUAAUGAGAUUUGUGCUCUUUAUUCUAACUUAUCUCAUACAACACAUAAUUGUCCAUCAUUACCAGCCUAUCCAAAUGCUUAUUCUGAGCAGGUACAUGUCUUACAAUCGUAUGAAAAAUCAUUCAAUAGUCCAUAUUCAUCCACAUAUAAUCCUAAUUGGAGGAAUCAACCUAAUUUUUCUUGAAAACAAAAUCAACCUUUGUCGAACCAAGGAGGGCAACAAUUUAGCAUGCCCAAUCAACAAUUUUUCCCUUCUAACCAACUAUAUCCCCUUGCCUAACAGCCUAUGUCUCAAUUUGUUGCACCCCAACAAAGAAAACCUUCUUUAGAGGAUACACUUCAAAGUUUCAUUCAGUCUAUCCAACAAGCCUUUCAGUCAAACACUCAAGCUAUUCUAAAGUUUGAACAUCAAUUGGGUCAAUUAGCAACUACUGUGGCUGAGAGAGAAAAAGAAAAAUUCUCAAGUCAACCAAUUCCUAAUCUUAAAGGAGUGCAUGAAGUUGGAUCAAGUUCAAGCCAUCAGCAUGAAGAAGCAAAAUCUAUUAUGACCUUAAGAAGAGGAAAAUUAUUUGACAACAAGGUGGAGGUUCGAACAAGAAAGACAUUUGAACAUACUUAUGUAGAUUUAGUUCCAUCACAAGCUUCAUCACCUAAUGAUCAAGAAGAAAGUGGCCCACCAACUUACAUUCCUAAGGCUCUUUUUCCCCAAAGGUUAACAAAGGUAAAGAAAGGGACUUCAACAGGUGAGAUUAUGGAAAUCUUUAAGCAUGUAAGUAUAAACAUCCCUUUACUCGAUGCUAUUAAGCAAGUUCCCUCAUAUGCUAAGUUUUUAAAAGAUUUAUGCACUAAAAAGAGAAAUUUGCAUGUCACCAAAAAGGCAUUUUAAACUGAACAAACUAGCAAUGUACUUCAAUGUAAAAUGCCACCAAAAUUUAAGGAUCCAAGUUCCCUUACUAUCUCAUAUGUUAUAGGGAACCAAUUGUUUAAUAAAGUAUUGUUGGAUUUAUGAGCUAGUGUUAAUCUCUUACCUUAUUUUGUUUACAAGUAACUUGGAUUAGGUGAGUUAAAGUCAACUUCUAUUAUUUUACAACUUGCAGAUAGGUCAAUGAAAAUAUCUCGUAAAAUUAUAGAGGAUGUGUUGAUACAGAUUGAUAAAUUUUAUUAACCUGUUGAUUUUAUUGUUAUUGAUAUUCAGCAUGUACAAGAUCCUAAGAAACAAACCCUAAUUAUUCUAGGUCGUCAUUUCUUAACUACAGCCGAUGCUUUUAUUAAUUGCAGGAGUGGAAACAUGCAACUAUCCUUUGGUAAUAUGACCAUGAAAUUUAAUAUUUUUAAUGUUACCAAGCAGCCACAAGAAGAAGAUGAAUUUGUCGAAGCAAAUAUGAUAGAAGAAUUAGUAGAAGAUUCAUUCAUUUCCAACCACACUGAUGAUCCAUUAGAGGCAUGUUUAACUCAUUUUGAUUUAUCUUCUAAUGAUGACAGUGUAAUUGCAUAAGUCAACGCCUUACUUGAUGUACCUCUAAUUAUGGACACAACUAAAUGGAAGACAAAGUUAGAACCACUGCCUCAUUCUGAGAAGAAGAUUAGCCCAUCUGAGGAGACAAUACCAAAAUUGGAAUUCAAAGCAUUGCCCGACACACUGGAAUAUGCAUUCUUGGGAGAAUCUGACACUCUACCUGUUAUUAUUUCUUCUUCCCGAUCUUGAGCAAAAAUAUAAGUUGUUGGGUAUUCUAAAAGAGUACAAGGAGGCAAUAGAAUGGACUAUUGCUGAUAUUAAAUGUAUUAAUCCAGUAAAUUGCAUACAUCAUAUUAAUCUUGAAGAAAAUGCUAAGCCUAUUAGGGAGAUGCAACGUAGACUAAACCUUAACAUAAAAGAAGUGGUAAGAGCUAAAGUAAUAAAAUUAUUAGAUGCAGGAAUUAUUUAUCUUAUUUCAGAUAGUUCUUGGGUUAGCCAUGUGCAAGUUAUUCCUACGAAAUCUGGUGUUACAGUAAUUACUAAUGCUAAUAAUGAAUUAAUUCCCAUUAGAGUAACUACAGGUUGGCGUGUUUACAUUGACUAUAGAAAAUUGAAUUUAGUCACAAGACAAUAUCAUUUUCUUCUUCCAUUUAUUGAUAAAAUGUUUGAUAGACUUGUAGGUCAUGAUUUUUAUUAUUUUUUAGAUGGAUAUUCAGGUUAUAAUCAGAUUCCUAUAGCUCUAGAGGACCAAGAGAAAACUACUUUUACUUUUCCAUUUGGAACUUUUGCAUAUAGGAGAAUACCAUUUGGUUUAUGCAAUGCACCUGCUACCUUUCAAAGAUGCAUGCUUAGUAUUUUUUCUGAUAUGGUUGAGCGAUUUCUUAAAGUAUUCAUGGAUGAUUUUUCUGUUUAUGGAGAUUCUUUUGAUGAAUGUUUGCAACAUCUAACAUUAGUUUUGCAAAGAUGUAAAGAAAAGAACUUGGUUCUAAAUUGGGAAAAAUAUCACUUCAUGGUAAAACAAGAUAUUGUUCUCGAUCAUAUAAUUUCCAGUAGAGGCAUAGAAGUCGACAAAGCCAAUGUGGAUUUAAUUUCUAAUUUUCCACAUCUCAAAUCCGUAAAAGAAGUAAGAUCUUUCCUUAAACAUGUUAGUUUUUAUAGAAGAUUCAUUAAAGAUUUUAGUAAAAUUUCUAGACCCUUAUGCAAUUUACUUAUUAAGGAUGCACCUUUUAUCUUUGAUGAAUCUUGUCUUGAUACUUUUGAAAAGCUUAAGAAAUUGUUGACUUCUUCACCUAUCAUUCAACCACCUAAUUGGAUUUGCUUUUUGAAAUUAUGUGUGAUGCAUCUGAUUAUGUUGUAGGAGCAGUUUUAGGACAAAGAUUAGAUCGUAUGCCUUAUGUGAUUUAUUAUACUAGUAUGAUACUCAAUGAUGCACAGUUGAACUAUUCAACUAUAGAAAAAGAAAUGCUAGUUGUGGUGUUUGCACUUGAUUAAUUCAGAUCUUAUCUUAUAGGUUGUAAAGUGAUUAUUUUUACUGAUCAUGCUGCUUUGAAAUAUUUGCUUACUAAGAAAGAUGCUAAGGCAAGAUUGAUUCAUUGGGUGUUACUUUUACAAGAAUUUUACAUUGAAUUUAAAGAUAAAAAAAGUUCUGAAAAUGUUGUGACAGAUCAUUUAUCUCGCAUUGAUCUUAAAUUUAUUUCAGAAUCUUUACCUUUGAAUGAGUCUUUCCCAGAUGAGCAACUUAUGAGUGUAAAUAUUGUACCAUGGUUUGUGACACGACUCAAAAUUGUAGUACUCCCAAGUAUAAGAGUGUCUAGUUAUAAUAUAACCCGGUGAGUCCGGGGUCGAAGCACAUGGAAUUUUAAAUCUAGUAGUCAAUUUAAAACUAAGAAAAUUAAUUGUGGGGAAAAGAAAUUAUUUGAAAUCAAUUUAAAAAUAUGCUAAGGUUCGAGAUCCACUCUCUGUAUUCAAACUAUAAUUUUAAUACUCUCUUAUUUAUAUUUUGCCUCACUUUUACCAGUUAAUUAUUAUAUCAUUUAAUUUUAUGUGUGUGGAUGAAUAUGAAAUAAAGUACCUAAUGUAUCACAACUAAUUUAAUGUGUCGAUAUUAUGUCAAAAUACCAUACAGAUUCAAGAAAAAUUAUAAAUCAACAUGACAUAAAAAUAACUAGAAAAUAAUAAAAUAAACUUAAAAACUCAUUUGAGAAAAUAAUAAAUUUAAUAGUUUGAAACAUUGAGCUUCACCUUUCACCCCAGCUUAGUAAAAUUAGCCAGUCGUAUCGAAAGAAAAGAUAACACUUUUUUUAUUUGAUAAACUUUUGAAAUAUGUUACAAGGAAAAUUGAUACAAAAGGAAACAAGAAAAGAAAAGAAAAGAAAGAAAGACAAAAAUUCUUCAGUUCCCUAUUGGCUACAACUAUUUCUCUCGGCUUAAAAAUCUCAAAUCCCCUCGCGACUCUCUGCUCAAGCUUCCUGCAUUUCCUUGCCUUUUAUGGGCAAGGAAUGCAUUAUCUUUAUUUAUUUAUUUUAUUAUUAUUAUAUAUGUGUGUAUAUAUAUAUAUAUAUGUGUGUGUGUGUGUGUGUGUGUGUGUGUGUGUAAUGGUCAAGUGGCCAUCAUGGCCACUUGACCAUUACGAGAAUGAGCAAUUUGGUUUUUGUUCUUUUGUUCUUUUGUUCUUUUUUUAUUUUUUUUAUUCAUUUGAUUUAUUUAUUUACAUCUCCUCAAUAAUGCUUCCAAAUUGCUCCAGCAGUCCUUUUUUUAUCUCGCUUUCAAUUCUAAUUUAUUCUUGAAAAAUAUUUAUAAGAUAAAAAUUAAUAUAUUGCGAAUUAAUUUAACACAAAAAUUUAUUUGGAGAAUAUUAAGAUAAUUUAGAAAUAAUGAGCGCAUUAAUCUACACAAUAAGUGUAAAACUAAUAAUUUUAUUUUUGUUACACGUACACUUUUUAGUGUUAAUCACACCCCCCAACCAGCUUAUUGCUAAGCUCUAACAAAUCGAAAAAAAGUUCAGUAAAAUUUCAAACUCAAAUUGAAAAUUUUGUUUUUUUUUUUGUUUUUUUUAAAGGAUUGUGUUUACUUCUUUCAUCAUAUUAAUGACAACAAUCAAAUAAAAGUAUAAGCAUUAUCUUCAGCCUAAAGAAAAUCACACCCGCACAAAAUAGUCUAGUAAAAUCCUGUAAAAUGAUCAAUUAUCAGAGCUACAUUAAUCAAGUCACUUUAAAAAUGAUAUAUCAAACCCCAAAACUUCACGAUUAAGAGUGACUUUCUCAAAAGAAAAUAUAUCCCAAAUUAAACUGUCACUCUAAAAAAAAUGGUAGAUUUUAGAGAAUAAUAAAAUAAUAUCACACGCUCUCACCAAGAUGAAAGAAUAAGGCCCACAGCUUAGAAAUAAAAUGAUCUUAACUCAAGGAAUUAUUAGCAAAAUUUAUUUUUAUUUUUAUGCAUCACCACAUCUUUUAGUCUAUAUUACUAGCUUUUACUUCAGACUAUAGUUCCCUAAAUCAAGAAGGACUUUUAUUAAGACGUAAUGUAGGCUAUGGUUAUGGCUAACAAAAAAAGUAAUAGGGAAAACAAAAAUAUAUGUUUGAAAAAUAGGGGACUUUUUGGAGAUUACAAGGUGCUUUUUUUUUUUUGCUUGGAUUUUUUUUGCUCUCUUUUUUAUUUUAUUUAUUUAUAUAUACAUAUCCUCUUUUUUUUUAUAGCACCAUUAUUAGGAAUACAUAAUCAUCCCUAUUUUCAAACAUAAUUGGGUGGUGGAAAACAUAAAAUAUAAGGUGAUGCUCCACAUUGGAGUGGGAUAAGAUAAUAGGUUAUCAAAGAAAUUUUUUUUUUUUUAAAGACUCAAAGAGGUUAACUAUGGAUUCUUUAUAAUAAGGUUGACUAGAAAGACUUAAACGGGUCAAAGAUGGUCUUCUGUCAUCUUUUAGUGCUUUAAAUAAUCUUUCAUAUCCACUAGUUCAAUAGACUUUUAGAUGUGGUUGCACAAACUUUCUCUUUUUUUUUACUCUUUUUUUUUAAAGAAAAUAUUGAGAUCUUGUACAAUAAAUUGUGAAGUUGUAUUGGCAAACAUGGUUACUCUCCAAGGAUAAUAGGCUCAAAAAACUCACUUGGACUUUUUAUAACAUGUACAUUCCUCCAAAUGGCUUAAUCAAUUUCACUCAUUCAAUUUGUCAAUUUACGUUUCAAAAUGCAAAGGGAAAAACAUAGUGUAACAUAACUCAAGGCCAAAGAUAAUACGAAUACCAAAAUUUGAAAAUCAUCAUGUUAUCCAAUGUUAAAAGAUCACACCAAAAAAGAAAUUUUUUUUUUUAAGAAAACACUAAAAAAUUGGGACUAAUUGCAGAAACUUAAGGGAGAUGAUUAAGAGAAAAAGAGAAAUAGACAAAAAACAAAAAGUUAGAAAAUAAUUUUUUUUUAGAAAACACACUAAAAUUAAGAUGCGUUUCUAGAGACACUACAUUCUAUAUUCUGCCAUCUUCGACUCAAAUUUUUAUCUAAAGUUAGUCUUUACAACAAAAAUUAGUAAAAACAUCACCAGGACUGAGACAUUCCACAAUUAUCAACUAUUCCCUUCACCAACCCGAAGGAGACAUUGUCCUCAAUAUCUAAAGAAAUGAGUAGAGUUUAGAAGAUAUCACCUGGCCACAGCUGGAAAUAUUUACAAACGGCGAGUUAAAUCUAAUUUAUACUUUUUGCGAGAGUUACUGCCAUCGUCCUCAGUUGCCCAAUCCAAUGCCAAAGUCACGGGAUCUGGCUCUGGUUUAUAAGCUUGCAAAAGAUCAAAUAACUCAUUAUCAGUAGGAGCACAAAUGAAGAGUUUUUUCGUUAAGGAUGGAAUGAAGUAAUUUUUUAUUGCAUGAUUAAGAAAUAUUAUUGAGCCAUCAUAAAAGUUAUUAACAUUUAACAAACCGAUGAGUUUUUUAUGAAUAUUCAAAUGGGCCCAAGAAGAAAAUUUAAUUAGUGUCUCUAAAGUUGCAAGAUCUCCUGGUAAGAAAAUGAAAGCGUCAGCAUGAUUUAACAUUUUGGAUAUUCUUUCUUGCAUACCUGAGACAACUAACUCUUCUCCAGUUGGUGGGUCUGGUAGACAUCCUAAAGGUUUUAAGGCUUUUGGAAUGAUGCCUAGCACUUGGCUUCCUCGAAUAAAGGCAGCUUCAAAGACAAGUUUUGAUAACCCUUGGCCACCUCCUCCAUAUACAAGAUGUAGUUUCCUCUCUGCUAUAGUACGACCAAGAUCUAUGGCUGCUUGAAUGAACUCCUUAUACUUUCCAUAGCGAAAUCCAGAAAGUACACAAAUGUUUUUAAGUUGACUGCUUGAAGUUGCUGCCAUUAGAACAAUUCUAAAAAGAAACAAUUUGUGAGUGCUUGAAAAGAAGUUCCUAUUAAGGAUCUCGGUGACGGACAUAAUGAUAUAUGUAAAUGGGUAGUGUGUUUGUCAAAUGACGCGUGAAGCUUUUAGCUUAAUAAUUCAAAGGUAAAUAGUAAAAAGAAAAAACAAACAGUGAUUAGAUAAAAAAAACACACAAUAAUAAUAAUAAUGCAAAAGAUAAAAGAACAGUAAAAUAAAAGGAUAUUUACUGGUAGUUAUGAUUGUGGCUCACAUCUUCCUCUGGUUUUACGUCCAGUAACGACUUGAACGCCCUCUAUGGGUCGAGGAUAGGCUUCCCAUCCAGUUUUCUUAUAAACUGGCAAACAAGGUCUUUUAGAGUCAGAUUUCCAAGACUAAACUGUACACUUUCCUUUUGGAACAACUUCCAUAAAUUUUAAAUUUCAUGUUGAACAUAUCCGUUCGGAUGCGUCUUAAGAGAUCGUAAGAUAUCAUCCAACGAUUCUUUACUUAUGCCAUCCUUAAUGAAUUUGAUUUUAUCUUCACAAUUUACAGAAACCAUUCCUUACAACGUGGCUUUUUGUAAGCAAGUCUUACAUAGUGAGAACAUUAAGAGCCAAGUCGCUUAGCUCUUUUUUUUUAUAACAAAUGUACUUUUACCAAGACCAGGCAUGUAAGAAAUGAAUGGAUAAGAAAACUCACAUGCCAGUCAGACCUUUGCUUCAAUUAACUAGCGAAUGUUAGUAGGAAUCCCAUUGAUCAUUAACAAACGCAGUCGUUCACAACGAGUUUUGUAAAUCUUCGUAAGAGCAUUUUGAGGGAGAGAAGGAAAAAGUUGAUGCAAUUUUCAUUGUAUUUCUUCCAUGCUUGACAUUGAGGUUUCAGUUAUUGUGGGAAACUGAGAAUAUCGACUUAAAAAGUCACGGAGUACCGUUAUUCGCCAUUUAUACGGAAGAGUGAAUCAAAACAAAACGAAUCAAAUCUGCAAAAUCAAAUCAAAAGUGAAGAAGAACAACAAAAUAAAAUAAAAACACACAAGGAAUAUAACUCACCUUCAUCCUUUUAUUGAAUUUACCUCCAGUUCCAAUAACAUAUUAUAAAUACCAUCCUCUAUUUUCUUGAGUUGUCUUUCUAGAUCUUUCACGUGGGAUACUAAUUCUGGUGGUUGUAGCUCCCAAAUAGGAUGUGAUUUACAAAAUCAGAGUAAUUUCCUCAGGUGAAAUUUUACAUGUAAAAGUGCUUUAAGAUGAUCGAAAAGGAAAUUUCUCAUGGAGGUAUUCAUGACAAGCAUAAAAAUUUGGUGAGGUAAAUCACAAUUGUCAAACAACACACAAUUAAAACAAUGCAAUGUACUCUAUUCAAGACAUAGGGAAAAGGAAAAAGAAAAAAAAUCAGUUUGUCCUUUUAUUGAAUUUACCUUCAGUUCCAAAUGCAGAUUAUAAAUACCAUCCUCUAUUUCCUUGAGUUGUCUUUCUAGAUCUUUCACGCGGGAUACUAACUCUGGUGGUUGUACAUCCUAAAUGAGAUGUGAUUUAUAAAAUCGGAGCAAUUUCCUCAUGUGAAAUUUUACAUGUAAAAGUUCUUUAAGAUGAUCGAAAAGGAAACUUCUCAUGGAGGUACUUAUGACAAGUAUAAAAAUUUGGUGAGCUAAAGAACAAUUGUCAAACAACACACAAUUAAAAACAAUGUAAUGCACUCCAUUCAAGACAUAGGGAAAAGGAAAAAAAAUAAAACAAUUCAAACGAUAAAGUAAUAGUAAAUCAAAUUCACAAAAAGUUAAAAUGAAAAGGCUUAAUUAAAAUUUGGUGGGUCACUCAAAUUGAUUUCGGUAUCUGCUUCACGUGGUUGGUAUUUCAGAUAUAAUUUUAACUUUUGACCAUUAACUUUAAAUGUGACACCAUCCUUUAGAUUCUCAAUUUCUACGGCUCCAUAUGGAUACACAAUUUUUACAACAAAUGGACCAUUCCACUUUGACUUUAACUUCCCUAGAAAUAAAUGAAGACGAGAAUUAUAAAGCAACACUUUUUGACCAAUUUCAAAUGUUUUCCGAAAAAUUCUUUUGUCAUGAAAAAAAAAUUGGUCUUGCCUUAAUAAUUCUGUAAUUCUCAUAUGCAUCAUUCCUUAAUUACUUAAGUUCAUUUAAUUGCAAUUUACACACAUUACCAGCAUCAUCAAGAUUUGAAUGAAAACCUUUAAUGGCCCAAAAUGAUUUAUGUUCAAGUUCAACUGGUAAGUGGCAAGAUUUUCCAUAAAUAAGCCGAUAGGGUGACAUUCCUAAAGAUGUUUUAAAAGUAGUACGAUAUGCCCAAAGUGCAUCAGUUAGUCGAAGAGACCAAUCUUUACGAUUUGGAUUAACUGUCUUUUCUAAAAUUUGUUUUAUCUCCCUAUUUGCUAAUUCAACUUAACCACUUGUUUGAGGGUGAUAAGGGGUAGCAACCUUAUGUGUAAUUCGAUAUUUCUUCAUUAAUGACUCAAAUGGCUUAUUACAAAAAUGCUUACAUCUAUCACUGAUAAUGGCUCGAGAUAUUCCAAAUCUGCUCAAAAUAUUUUCUUUUAAAAAGCGGAUCACAAUCUUGUGAUCAUUGUGCCGACAAUGAAUUGCCUCGAUCUAUUUUGAAACAUAAUCAACAGCAACCAAAAUGUAUACAAAUCCAAAUGAUGAUGGAAAAGGGCCCAUAAAAUCAAUUCCCCAACAAUCAAAUAUUUCAAUGACAAGGAUGGGGUUUAAAGGCAUCAUGUUUCGUUUUGAAAUAGACCAUACCAUUUGACAAUUCUUACACAUUUUACAGAAUGCAUGUGAAUCUUUAAAUAAUGUAGGCUAAUAGAAUCCACACUGAAAUAUUUUUGCAGCUGUCUUUUUUGAAGAAAAAUGGCCGCCACAUGCUUCAGAAUGACAAAAUUGAAUGACCCUACUUACCUCGUCGUCUGGUAUGCAUCUUCGAAAAAUUUGAUCAGAGUAGUAUUUGAACAUGUAUGGAUCAUCCUAGUAAAAGCUUCUCACUUCUGUUAAGAAUUUCCUCUUGUCUUGGGAAUUCCAGUCACAUGGCAUUUCACAUGUCGCAAGAUAAUUAACAAUAUUAGCAUACCAAGGCAUUUUGUUUAUAGAAAAAAAAAAUUCAUUAGGGAAAGAAUCAUUGAUGGGUGUUGUUUCAAUUAAAGACUCAUUUGUAAUUCUUGAAAGAUGAUCUGCAACAACAUUUUCAACGACCUUUUUGUCCUUGAUUGUCAAAUUAAAUUCUUAAAGUAGCAAAAUCCAUCGUAUCAACCUUGGUUUGGCAUCCUGUUUUGACAUUAAAUAUCUCACAGCAGCAUGAUCAGAAUAAACACAGUAGAUGAACCAAUUAAAUACGAAUGAAAUUUAUCCAAUGCAAAUAUUACAACAAGUAGUUCUUUCUCAGUUGUAGUGUAAUUCAUUUGAGCACUAUUCAAAGUUAUACUUGGAUAAUAGAUGACAAAGGGCUUACCUUCCUUUCUUUGACCCAGAAUAGCGCCAACGACAUAAUCACUAGCAUCACAUAUUAACUCAAAAUGUAAAGACCAAUCAAGGGGUUGCAUUAUUGGGGCUGAUGUCAAAAGAGUAGUUAUUUUUUCAAAAGCUUGUUGACAAUCUUUAGUCCAUUCAAAAUGUGUGUCUUUAUUAGGAGGUUAUAAAGUGGUCUAGAUAUGACACUAAAGGCUUUUAUAAACCUCCUAUAAAAUCCUGCAUGUCCUAAAAAGGAACGGACUUCUCUAAUUGUCUUUGGUGAGGGUAAUUUUGAAAUGACUUCAACUUUAACUUUGUCAACUUCAAUUCCUUUUGAAGACACAACAUGGCCCAAGACAAUUUCAGAAGUGGUCAUGAAAUGACAUUUUUCCCAAUUUAAAACUAGUCCUUUCUCUUUGCACAUUUUCAAAAAAAUUUCUAGAUUAUCAAGACAUGUAUCAAAAGAAUUACCAAAUACAGUUAAAUCUUCCAUAAAAAUCUCUAGAUAAUUUUCAACCAUGUCACUAAAAAUGCUUAGCAGGCACCUUUGAAAUGUUGCAGGAGCAUUACAAAGUCCAAAGGGCAUUCUCCUAAAUGCAAAUGUUUCAAAUGGGCAUGUGAAUGUGGUCUUUUACUGGUCUUCUAAGGCUAUAAAGAUUUGAUAAUAGCCAGAGUAGCCAUCAAGAAAGCAGUAGUAGGGAUGUCCAGCUACUCUUUCGAGAAUUUGGUCUAGAAAUGGAAGGGAAAAAUGAUUUUUCUAGUGGCAUCAUUUAAUUUUCUGUAAUCAAUGCACAUCCGCCAACUAGAUGGAAUUCGUGUUGAGAUUGGUUCACCUUUUUCAUUUUUUACAACAGUUAUUCCAGAUUUCUUUGGUACUACUUGUGUUGGACUUGCCCAUUUACUAUAAGAGAUAAGAUAGAUAAUUCCUAGAUCUAGUAGUUUAAGGACCUCAUUCUUUACCGCUUCUUUCAUAUGAGAGUUUAGUCUUCUUUGUGGUUGACGGGUUGUUUUGGUAUUUUCCUCUAAGUGUAUUCGGUGUGUGCAAAUUAAAGGAUUAAUGCCUUUUAUGUCUUUUAAGGUCCAACCAAAUGCAGUUUUAUGCUUUUUUAGUAUAGAUAACAACUUACCUUCUUGAUCAUGCGUGAACUGAGAAGAAAUUACCACCAGAUAUGUCUGUUGUUCUCCAAGAUAGACAUACUUCAAUUCUUCUAGUAAGGGCUCUAAUUCGAGCUAUGGUGUUUCCUCUUCGUUUGGUUCUUCGGGUUGUAUCGUAUCUUCAAAGUCCGAUUGGUCAUCGUCACCUAUAGGGACCUGCAUUGAAUCAAGUGUACGACAUAUGUUAGCAGUAUCAUAAUCUAAUUCCUUACUUGAUUCAAAAGAACCAGCAAAAUAAAUUUCCGCAAAGUUUGUAAAAUUCUCAUCAUGAAUGUGUUCCUCAAUGAUUAGCUCGAUGAGAUCAAUCUCCUCAUUCUCAUUAUCAUCAUCUUCUUGGUGGUGAGGUUGUUUACACAUGUUGAACACAUUAAGUUCCAGUGUCAUGUUGUCGAAAGAUAAAUUCAUUAAUCCAUUCCUACAAUUGAUCAAAGCAUUAGCAGUAGCUAAAAAUGGUCGACCCAAUAUAAGAGGAAUUUGUUUGCAUUCAUUAGCAAUUGGUUCCGUUUCCAAAACAAUAAAAUCCACAAGAUAUAUGAAUUUAUCGACCUGGACUAAUACAUCUUCAAUUAUUUAUUUUGCAAUCUUAAUCGAUCUAUCAGCAAGUAAAAGAGUGGUAGAAGUUGGUUUUAACUCACCGAGAUUGAGUUGUUGGUACAAUGAGUAAGGAAGCAAAUUAACACUGGCACCAAGAUCAAGUAGAGCAUGUCCAAUUUUAUGAUCCCCAAUAGUGCAAGAAAUAGUUGGACAACCAUUAUCCUUGUAUUUCAAAGUACUAUUGGUUGAGAGAAUUGAACUUACUUGUUCUGCUAGAAAAGCUCUCUUUUGCAUCUUAUGUUUCCUUUUCACCGUGCACAGAUCUUUCAAAAUUUAGCAUAAGAAGGUACUUAUUUAAUGACAUCCAGCAGAGGAAUGUUGACCUUUACUUAUUUAAAAACUUCACAAAAUAAGAAACGGUCCCUCCAACGCAUAAAUGGUUGGGAGUUCACGUUCUCAUCAUCUUUGGUAAAGUCAAGUCCACCACGUAGACAUUCAUAAACCGCCCUACCAUAAUUCUUCGCGGAUAACCCCAGUUUAGGUUUAAUAGUGCUUGAGGAAAUAGGGGUACAGGAGGAGAGUUGGUUAUUUCUUAAUGGGUUAAAGGUUCGACAGACUCUUCCCUAUUUUCUGAAAUUGAAUCUUUACUGGUUUCACGAGGGUCCACAAUAUGUUUUCGACCACUUUACCACCACGAAGGGUUAUAACCAAUUUGACUUGACUCAUAAUUUGGUUUCCUGAAUUUCCCAUUUGCGGAUGUUGUUGACUCUUGGGGUUUAGUUCAGGUUGAGCAAUAAACUUUCCUUUUUCAUACAUGGUCAGAGUAGAUGUAAGUUUGGAGAUAGUUUCUGUCAAAUUAGUUAAGGUUUGCAUCGUUUGGUUAUUGAUUGACUCUUAUUUUUCAAUAAACGAAUGCAAUGUGUCUUCCAAAGUUUUUCUUGGUUGUGGAACAUAUGGUGGGUAACUCUGGGAGUUUUGAAAAUUUUGACGUGGAGGAAUUGGUUGUAAAGGUUGUGUAUGAUUGUCAUUUCUCCAACUAAAAUUUGGGUGGUUUCUCUAACCAGAGUUGUAAGUUUGGGAGUAUGGAUUUGGAUUUGGCCUUUUGAAAUUGUCAACGACAUUUACUUGUUCAUGCAAACUUUGUCUCCAAGCUGGCAAAGUUGGACGGUCCUGCGUAGAAUGGUCAGUAGAAUCGCAAACAUAACAUGAAAUAUUUUGAACAGAUUUUACAUGAUCAUUCUUUUUCAACUCUAAUGCUUCGACUUUUCUAGCUAAUGAUGUAAAUUUGGCUUGAAAAUCAUGGUCUUCCCUAAGGUUAUGCAUGCCUCCACCAGAUGGAGAUGACUGAGGUUUACUUGAUGACUCAUAAGAACCAACUGUAUCCCAGUGUUGUGCAUUCUCUGCCAUAUAGUCAAGAUAGUCUAAUGCAUCUUCAAGACUUUUAUCCCUAAACUCACCAUUACACAUCAUUUCAAUGACUUGUCGGCCUUGGGAUGUUAAUCCCUCGUAGAAAUAAGACACUAAUCUCCAUGUUUCAAAAUCGUGGUGUGGGUAAAUGUUAAGUAGUUCUUUAAACCUAUCCCAACAUUGGUAGAGGGUUUCUCCUGGUUUUUGAGUGAAUGUGGUGAUUUGUCUUUUGAAAUAAUUAGUUCUGUGGGGUGGGAAGAUUUUUUUCAAAAAUUGUGCUUGCAUUUCAUCCUAAGUUCUAAUGGAUCCUGACUUAAGAUUUUUGUAGCCAAGUUUUAACUUUAUCAUUUAGUGAGAAAGGAAAAAACUUAAGUAUGAUUAUAUUCAUGCUACAAUUUUGAUCAGUACAUGUGUUACAGACUUCCUCAAAUUCCCUUAAAUGCAAAUAUGAAUUUUCAAACUCAAAAACAUGAAAAGCAAGAAGAAGUUGAAUGAUACCAGGUUUAAAAUUAAAACGUGAUGCAUCAGGAGGGAAAACUAUGCAUGAUGAUGACCCUGUUCUAGUAGGAUGCAUGAAAUCUCUUAGGGCCCUAGGCUGUUGAUGAAGAUUUUGCAAGGCUUGGUCAUUUUCAUGCUCUGAAAAAUUUUCAGCUCCUGUGUCAAGUAAAAGAGUGGUAGAAGUUGGUUUUAACUCACCGAGAUUGAGUUGUUGGUACAAUGAGUAAGGAAGCAAAUUAACACUGGCACCAAGAUCAAGUAGAGCAUGUCCAAUUUUAUGAUCCCCAAUAGUGCAAGAAAUAGUUGGACAACCAUUAUCCUUGUAUUUCAAAGUACUAUUGGUUGAGAGAAUUGAACUUACUUGUUCUGCUAGAAAAGCUCUCUUUUGCAUCUUAUGUUUCCUUUUCACCGUGCACAGAUCUUUCAAAAUUUAGCAUAAGAAGGUACUUAUUUAAUGACAUCCAGCAGAGGAAUGUUGACCUUUACUUAUUUAAAAACUUCACAAAAUAAGAAACGGUCCCUCCAACGCAUAAAUGGUUGGGAGUUCACGUUCUCAUCAUCUUUGGUAAAGUCAAGUCCACCACGUAGACAUUCAUAAACCGCCCUACCAUAAUUCUUCGCGGAUAACCCCAGUUUAGGUUUAAUAGUGCUUGAGGAAAUAGGGGUACAGGAGGAGAGUUGGUUAUUUCUUAAUGGGUUAAAGGUUCGACAGACUCUUCCCUAUUUUCUGAAAUUGAAUCUUUACUGGUUUCACGAGGGUCCACAAUAUGUUUUCGACCACUUUACCACCACGAAGGGUUAUAACCAAUUUGACUUGACUCAUAAUUUGGUUUCCUGAAUUUCCCAUUUGCGGAUGUUGUUGACUCUUGGGGUUUAGUUCAGGUUGAGCAAUAAACUUUCCUUUUUCAUACAUGGUCAGAGUAGAUGUAAGUUUGGAGAUAGUUUCUGUCAAAUUAGUUAAGGUUUGCAUCGUUUGGUUAUUGAUUGACUCUUAUUUUUCAAUAAACGAAUGCAAUGUGUCUUCCAAAGUUUUUCUUGGUUGUGGAACAUAUGGUGGGUAACUCUGGGAGUUUUGAAAAUUUUGACGUGGAGGAAUUGGUUGUAAAGGUUGUGUAUGAUUGUCAUUUCUCCAACUAAAAUUUGGGUGGUUUCUCUAACCAGAGUUGUAAGUUUGGGAGUAUGGAUUUGGAUUUGGCCUUUUGAAAUUGUCAACGACAUUUACUUGUUCAUGCAAACUUUGUCUCCAAGCUGGCAAAGUUGGACGGUCCUGCGUAGAAUGGUCAGUAGAAUCGCAAACAUAACAUGAAAUAUUUUGAACAGAUUUUACAUGAUCAUUCUUUUUCAACUCUAAUGCUUCGACUUUUCUAGCUAAUGAUGUAAAUUUGGCUUGAAAAUCAUGGUCUUCCCUAAGGUUAUGCAUGCCUCCACCAGAUGGAGAUGACUGAGGUUUACUUGAUGACUCAUAAGAACCAACUGUAUCCCAGUGUUGUGCAUUCUCUGCCAUAUAGUCAAGAUAGUCUAAUGCAUCUUCAAGACUUUUAUCCCUAAACUCACCAUUACACAUCAUUUCAAUGACUUGUCGGCCUUGGGAUGUUAAUCCCUCGUAGAAAUAAGACACUAAUCUCCAUGUUUCAAAAUCGUGGUGUGGGUAAAUGUUAAGUAGUUCUUUAAACCUAUCCCAACAUUGGUAGAGGGUUUCUCCUGGUUUUUGAGUGAAUGUGGUGAUUUGUCUUUUGAAAUAAUUAGUUCUGUGGGGUGGGAAGAUUUUUUUCAAAAAUUGUGCUUGCAUUUCAUCCUAAGUUCUAAUGGAUCCUGACUUAAGAUUUUUGUAGCCAAGUUUUAACUUUAUCAUUUAGUGAGAAAGGAAAAAACUUAAGUAUGAUUAUAUUCAUGCUACAAUUUUGAUCAGUACAUGUGUUACAGACUUCCUCAAAUUCCCUUAAAUGCAAAUAUGAAUUUUCAAACUCAAAAACAUGAAAAGCAAGAAGAAGUUGAAUGAUACCAGGUUUAAAAUUAAAACGUGAUGCAUCAGGAGGGAAAACUAUGCAUGAUGAUGACCCUGUUCUAGUAGGAUGCAUGAAAUCUCUUAGGGCCCUAGGCUGUUGAUGAAGAUUUUGCAAGGCUUGGUCAUUUUCAUGCUCUGAAAAAUUUUCAGCUCCUGUGUCAGCCAUAUCAAAGGGUGGUGAAGGCGAUCUUCUAAUUAAUCUGCCACUAUUUGUAUGAGACCAAUGACGCAUAGAAGAUAAAUAAAAUAAAUAAAUUAGGUGGUGAAACCAGCCAUAAACAAAGGAAUUAAAAGAAACAGUUUAGGCAGUAUUUUAAAACCAGCCAUAUAAUAAAACAUAAAAUUAAAUAAAUUAAUGUACAAGAAUAAAUAAACUGAAAUUAAAAUGCUAGGAGGUAGAACCGACCAUAUAAGCAAAAAUACAUAAAUUAACAAAAUUUAAAUAACAGUCACGCGGUAGAACCGACCAUUUAAAAUAAAUGUAGAAAGUAAAUUGCAGAAAUUUAAAGAAAUAAAUUCGAUUUGGGGACUGAUUUGCAAAUGUUUAUGGGCUAAGAUGAAGUUUCUCACAAAUUUUAUAGAUAAUGUUAAAGUUUAAAAAGAGGAGGGGUGCUAACUGAAGUUUUGUAAAAAGAGAAUAAAAUAGGAUCACGGAAAGAUAGUAGGACAAAAAAUAAUAAUAAUAAAAUAUUAAAAUAAAAUAAAAAUAAAGUAAAAACAAACUAAUGCAAAAUUUAGAAAACUCCCCGGCAACGGUGCUAAAAACUUGACAUGACUCAAAAGUAUAUUACUCCCAAGUAUAAGAGUGUCUAGUUGUAAUAUAACCCGGUGAGUUCGGGGUCGAACCACAAGGAAUUUUUAAAAUCUAGUUGUCAAUUUGUUAAACAAAGAAAAUUAAUUGUGGGGAAAAGAAAUUAUUUGAAAACAAUUUAAAAAUAUGUUAAUGUUACGAGAUCCACUCUUGGUAUUCAAACUAUAAUUUUAAUACUCUCUCAUUUAUAUUUUGCCUCACUUUUAGCAGUUAAUUAUUAUAUCAUUUAAUUUUAUGUGUGUGGAUAAAUAUGAAAUAAAAUACCAAAUGUGCCACACUAUAUUAAUGUGUCGACAUUAUGUCAAAAUACCAUACAGAUACAAGAAAAUUUAUAAAUUAACAAGGCAUAAAAAUAACUAAAAAAAAAUAAAAUAAACUUAAAAACUCAUUUGAGAAAAUAAUAAAUUUAAUAGUUUGAAACAUUGAGCUUCACCUUUCACCUCAGCUUACUAAAAUUAGCCACUCAUAUUGAAAGAAAACACAACACUCUUUUUAUUUGAUAAACUUUUGAAAUAUGUUACAAGAAAAAUUGAUACAAAAGGAAACAAGAAAAGAAAAGAAAGAAAGAUAGAAAUUUAAGUUCCCUCGUGGCUACAACUAAUUCUCUCGGCUUAAAAAUCUCAAAUCCCCUCGCGUCUCUCCGCUCAAGCUUCCUGCAUUUCCUUACCUUUUAUAGGCAAGGAAUGCAUUAUCUUUAUUAUUUAUUAUUAUUAUUAUUAUUAUUAUUAUUAUAUAUGUGUGUGUGUGUGUGUGUACAUUGAAAUGUGUAAUGGUCAAGUGGCUAUGAUGGCCACUUGACCAUUACGAGAAUGAGUAAUUUGGUUUUUGUUCUUUUGUUCUUUUUUAUUUUUUAUUCAUUUUUAUUUUUUUAUUUAUUUACAUCACCUCAAUAAUGCUUCCAAAUUGCUCCAGCAGUCAUUCUUUGUUCCUGCUUUUAAUUCCAAUUUAUUCCUGAAAAAUAUUUAUAAGAUAAAAAUUAAUAUAUUGUGAAUUAAAUUAACACAAAAUUUAUUUGGGAAGUAUUAAGAUAAUUUAGAAAUAAUAAGCGCAUUAAUCUACACAAUAAGUGUAAAACUAAUAAUUUUAUCUUUAUUACACGUACACGUUUUAGUGUUACUCAGUUUGCUGAUAUAGUUAAUUACCUUGUUAUAGGUCAAAUCCCAAAACAUUGGACCAAGCAAGAUAGAACAAAGUUCUUAUCCAAAGUGAAGAAUUUAUUUUGGGAUGAUCCCUAUUUUUUUAAAUAUUGUGCUGAUCAGAUUAUUAGGAGAUGUGUUCCAGAGAAUUAAAUUCAAAGUGUCAUCUCUUUUUUCCAUGAACAAGCUUGUGGAGACCAUUUUAAUGCUAAAAAGACAGCAACAAAAUUUUACAAUGUAGGUUUUAUUGGCCUACUCUUUUUCAUGACGCUUAGGUUUUCUGUUCUUUAUGUGAUAGGUGCCAACACAUGGGUAGCAUUUCAAAGAGGAAUAUGAUGCCACUCAAUCCUAUUCUGAUUGUUGAGAUCUUCGAUGUAUGGGGUAUUGAUUUCAUGAGACCUUUUCCUCUAUCUUUUGGUUAUUAGUAUAUAUUGGUUGCAGUGGACUAUGUGUCGAAAUGGGUUGAAGCUAUUCCAUGCAAAACCAAUGAUCAUAGUGUUGUAGUGAAAUUCUUGAAGAGUAAUAUUCUGUCUCAUUUUGGUUUCUCUAAACAAUCAUUAGUGAUGGUCGUACCCAUUUUUGCAAUAAACCUUUCAAAAAUCUUUUGAACAAAUAUUCCAUUAUACAUAAAGUUGCCACCCCAUACCAUCGUCAAACUAAUGGCCAAGUAGAGAUUUCUAAUAGAGAGAUCAAGCAAAUUCUAGAAAAAAAACAGUUAGGCCAGAUAGAAAUGAUUGGUCUUUGAGACUUGAUAAUGCAUUGUGGGCAUAUAGGACAGCUUUCAAAACCCCAAUUGGGAUGUCACCUUAAAGAAUUGUGUAUAGAAAAGCAAGUCAUCUGCCAGUAGAGUUGGAGUAUCGUGCAUAUUGAGCUAUCAAGAAAUUCAAUUUUGAUAUGCAGCAGGCUGGUUCUAAGAGAAUAUUACAACUAGCAGAACUUGAAGAGAUCAGGAAUGAUACAUAUGAGAAUGCCAAGAUUUAUAAACAACGAAUGAAAGUCUUUCAUGACAAGCACAUUUUGAGAAAAUCAUUUAUACCAAGUUAGAAAGUACUUUUAUAUAAUUCCUGACUGCAUCUCUUUCCAAGUAAGUUACGCUCUCGAUGAUCGGGUCCUUUUAUACUUCGUACUGUCUUUCCUUAUGGAGGAGUUCAGAUUGAAAAUCCUAAAAAUAGUGAUUUAUUUAAAGUCAAUGGUCAAAGAUUAAAACCAUUUUUAGAGUUAAGAACACCAGAAAUUGAGGAGAUAGUUUAGAUGAUUCUGUUUAUCAUGAUUAAUUAAUUCCAUCUUUACAUUCUUUUUAUUUAUUUAAAUAGUAGGUUUUCUUUUCAUUGUUUGUUUUUAUUUUCUAGUAUUUUUCUUUUCUAACAUUUUCUUUUUAUUUGUCAUUUUUUUACGCUUUUCCAGCCUAUUCAGGUGUGUUCUCUCCAACUUUUUCUUUUAUUAUUUAUGUUUUUAUUUAUUUAUUUAUUCUCAUAUUUUUGCAUGCAUAUCUUUUGUUUGUGAAACAUUGAGGACAAUGUUCCGAAUAAGUUUGGGGGUGGGAAUAGUGUGUGCUUUGUUUGUUAUUAAAAAAAAUUAAAAAUUUUCAAAAAUUCAAAAAAAAUUUGUGUUGUCUUUUUUUGUUUUUAUGUGAAAAGCCAAUGAUAAGAACUUGAUUGACAAUGACUAUGGUUCUUAGAAAUGGUUGAAUAUUGUCUGAGUUUAUACUUGAUUCUUGUGUUAGUUCAUCUUGAUUGAGAUUCUUUAAACUAUGAGCACUAAUAUUAAUUUUUUCUGACUUGAAAUAUGAGAUUGACGCAGCCUGAAUUGAGAAUUUUAGAUAAAGUAAAUGACUGUUUGUCUUGAUUCUUAUCUCCACAGUACAAAAUAGUAUACACAAGCGCCGAAGUUAGAAAUAGCUACCUAUAACCCUUAAGAGUGAAGCUAUCCUUGAGUAAUUUGAGUCUAUGUACCACAAGUAUGUAAAGGAUAAUCUACCAUGAGAAGAAAGCUACCUUAAGGGGUAGAGUGAAGCUCCUGACUAUGGUUAAAAAAAAAAAGAAAAAAAAGGAAAAAAAAUCAAGUGCAUGUGUUGAAAUGAAAAAAAUCAAAAGAAAAUGCACAUAAAAGCCUGUAAAAAAAAAUUGGAGAUUAACAUGAUAAGAUUAGUUUGACCUAUUCUUUUCUUUAUUCAAGGCAAAGGUCGUUGAUAUUAAAGAUUUUGGGAAUGGAUUUGAUUGAAUUGAUUCACACACACACUACAAGAAUCAAAAGAGAGAUGAGAUUGACUAAUGAAUUAAAGUUAGAACUUUUCCAAUAUUUAAAAUUUUCUUUGAGCUAUAUAAGUUAUGCAAUCAUUGAGGCUAUCUUUAUAUUUUAUAUAAAGUUUUUUGUUCUUUUUAUUUUAUUUUAUUUUAUUUUUAUUUUUUUAAAUGAUGUUUGUGGGUAUCAUCACUAAAGCUUUCAUGAGACUAUAACUCGUCCAUUAGGGCUGCCUAGGGGUUUAAAAGCUUGUUGGAUAUGCUAAAUGCAAUCGCAAUCACCUGCGAAAGUGGUUUAGUUAGGAUUUACUUUUUUGUUUUGUUACUUUUAUUUUUGUUUUUAAGAUUUAGUUUUGCUCGAGGACUAGCAAAAUCUAAGUUUGGGGGUAUUUGAUGAGCAUAAUUUAUAUAUAUAUUUUACCCUUUAUUGUAUAUUUGUUAGUUAUUUUUAUUUCUUAUUUUUAACUAAUUGAAUUGUUUUAUUGAAUAGGGAAUUAAUUUGAGAUUAUGAAAAAAAAAGUGCAUAAAAGAUCCAUAAGAGAAAAGAAUUGAAGAAUUAAAGAUUAUGUUCUAAAGUUUCCGCAUGAGCUUAAGAUAAUUAAAGAAAGAUUUUAUUUAGCAAUUUGGAAUGUACGUGUUGGGCAUUAAAGGAAGAAAUCAUUAAUUGGCCUUUUGCUUUGGAAGUCAAACGUGUGGCUCGAUUUCCAAUUUUAAUAAGGAAAUAAUAUACAAAGGAUUUGGCGUGUGGGAGCAAAACAAAUAAAAGGCCAAAGCGUUUUGGCUUUAGAAUUGAAAAGGUGGGGCCCAUUUUGAGCUAUAUAAGCAAGCUUUUGCCUUUUGGACAAAAAAUGGGGGAAGCUGCCAAACGCAAAAUGAAGCAAAAGGAGACACGAUUCAAGAGAGAAGACAGGAGCGGCAACAGCUGUUUAGUUUUCAUGGCUGGAGUUAUUUAUUUUGUUGCUCCCAAUUCAAGUAUGUCUACCAAAUUUUUUUAUACUGAGGUUAAGGAUGAAAUCUUAUUCAAUGAAAUAGUUAUCUCUUUAUUUAAUUAAUUCCCCACAUGUGUGUUUUAAUGUUUAUGGUUCUUGUUUCACAUGAUUAGUUGGAUGUUAUUAAAUUCUUUUUCACCAAUUCUGUCAUGCAUUAUUGAUUGUUAAGAUUAAUAUUUGAUUAAAUCUAUGCUUGGAUCUAUAAAGUUUAUAUAUGAUUAUAUUUGAUUUUGUGUUUUUCAUUAAAUUAUUUACACAGAGUACUUAGGAAAACUUUGACUCUUUGUUAUUCAAUAUGUUUACAUAGGAUGCUUAGAUGUCAUACUAUCAAGCAGAAAAAGAACCUACGUAAGAUUAAUUUUAUUUGGGCUUCAUUGUUAUAUUUAUGAGAUGACAUAGAUUGUUUUCGAGUUGUCACUCUAAAAUUGAGGAUUAAUUAAUAUUUAGAUAAAUACUAGUUGAAUAGUAGUGGAUUCGGAAACCUUGGUAAUUUUUGUCUUAUUGAAUUCUCAUUUGCUUUAAUUGUUUUCUUAGUUUAAUUAGUUUAAUUUUAUUAAAACUUAAUUUGCUCAACUAUGCUAGAAUUAAUAUUAAUUUUAGAUUUAAAUUAGAAUUUUCAAUUUAUAACAAUCUCUGUGGGUUCGACCUCGUUACCACUAUUCUAUCUCUUGAUUCGUGCGCUUGCGAGUAUAUUAAAAUUUUUUACAACAGUAAGACUUCUUGAAUGCUGAAGACUAAUCACCCCACUUCACAUCUGCUGUGCAUUUUGUUACUAAUAAGAUUAACGACAUUGAGAGAAUCUAACUCAAUUAUAGCAGGAGCCAACCCGAUAUUCAUCACCAAUUGAAGGCCUUUGUGCACAGCAACAACUUCCACAAACUUUAUAUCUCUGGAGAAAAUCACCCUACAAAUAAAAGCUGCCAUAACCUCUCCUAUGGAAUUACGAACCAAUACUCCAAUACUAGCACGAUCUUCUGUAGAACUUAUAGCCACAUCAACGUUCACUUUGUACCAUGACGAGGGAGGACUUUGGCAACACGAGCUGGGAGUAUUGGGUUUAAUGCUCUUGCUGGUUCCACAUUACAACGUGUCUGCUCUAAAUGAGUUCACGGCAUUCGCAGCUCGGACGACAAUUGCUUGAGACUUAGUGAUAACUUUACCAUAAAUCAAAUGAUUCCGAGCUAGCCAAAUUGACCAACAUAAGACCACCAAUUCUUCAAACUCAUCUUUUGUUACUAUAGAUGUUAUGUGAGUGGUCAAAUUGGAAAACUCCACAGGCCUUGUAAUCUUUAGACAUGAAUAAAAUCUCGUGAGCUUCCAUACCUUCUUCUCUUGUUACACACCACUAGAGCAUGAUACUGAUCCUCAUAAGUAAAGCCACAACAAGGGCAUGAAGGAGCAACUUGAAUUUUCCUUUUAUGCAGAUUUAAAUAAUUGGCUAGAAUAUUGGAAAAGGCUCGCCAAUAAAAGAUUUUAAUCUUGGAUGGUUGAGACAAAUUCCAGAGAUAUUUCUGCCACCCUGUGUUAGUACUAGAACUGGAAGGCCAGUCCUUGAGUUUCAAACGAAAGGCCACAUGGUAGCCACUCUUUACGUUAUAGUGGCCUCACUUAUCAUAUGUCCAGACCAGUUGAUCCUCCAAUGGCUUUUUGGGUAAUAGGAUUUUCAAAAUCUGAGUUACAUCUUCUUUGAGAAAAUUAGUUCUUAUUAACUAUUCUUUCCAGCAUCCUUCUUCGUCAAUCAAGAUGGCUACUCGAGAUUGAGAAAGUAGGAUCUGAGGAGAGAAUGAUUUGAAUGUGCUAGGACGAGGAAGUCAUCUGUGGUGAUAAAUAGAAACAGUUUUACCAUAUCUAAUUCUCUAUCUUGAGGCAGCCUCAAUGACCUCUUUCCCCCAUAAGAUACUUCUCCAUAUAUAUGAAGGAUUACUACCCAAUUUACUCUCCAUGAAGUUGCCUCUUGGAUAGUAUUUAGCUUUAAUAACUUUGGAGACUAGAAAGUGUGGAAAAGAAAUUUAUCUCCAGUAUUGUUUUGCUAUAAGAGCUUUAUUAAAAGAGCUCAACUCUCUAAAACCAAGGCCCCCAUAUUCCUUUGAAAGGCAGAGUUUCAAAGAGGCAACCAGUGAAGGCUUUUGGAGGAUAAAUUCUGACUCCACCAAAAUUGGCGAUUAAUUUUUUCAAAUCAUCACAAAAGCUGAGAGGGAACUUAAAGACACUCAUCGCAUAUGUGGGGAUAGCUUGAGCAACAACUUUGAUCAAUAUCUCUUUACCGCCGCUUGAGAAUAAUUUGGCUUUCCAAAUCUUUAAUCUUGUCCCAAAGCUGGGUCUUUAAUGUAUUAAAGAAGAAUUUUUUACUUCUGCCCAGCUUCAAUGGGAGACAAAGAUAUUGCUUAUGAUGAGAGACAACAUAAAGGUUGAAGACAUGUUUAAUUGCCUCUCUGAUGUUUCCUGGAGUAUUUGGACUGAAAAAUAAAGAUGAUUUUUGAAAAUUGAUGACUUGGCCAGAUGCAUUACUAUACAGAUCAAACAACUCUUUGAGAUGGUUAUAUUCUGCAAUCGUUGCUUUGAAGAACACCAAGCUGUCAUCAACAAAAAAUAAAUGAGAAAUAGUAGGGCCCUGGACACCAAACUUAAUGCCAUGAAUGAAUUUAUGAUUUUCGGCAUAGACCAAUAAAAAAGAUAAAGAUUCUGCAUAUAGAAUAAAUAGAUAAAGGGAAAGAUGACAUCCUUAUCGCAACCCUCUCUGGGGAUUGACGAGACCUCAAACUUCGCCAUUAAGAAGGAAGGAGAAUGUAGAUGACAUGUGCAUUUAAUUGUGAGACUCACCCAUCGAUUUGAAAAUCCUAGCUUACGCAUAAUGCCUUCUACAAAACACCAUUCAAUCCUAUCAUAAGCUUUGCUAAUGUCAAGUUUUAUAGCAACCAACCCCUAUUUUUCAUGUUUAUUGCAUCUAAUCUUAUGGAGACACUCAUAGCCAAUUAUGAUAUUAUCUGUGAUCAGUCUUUGAGGAAUAAAGUAGGGAUGGCAAAAUCUGGGUCCGGGUCCGGGUUUGGCCUUCCCGGUUCCGGACCCGGAUACUAAAAUGCUAUACCGGACCUGGAUUUAAACCCGAUUUUUGUGACACCGGGUCCGGAACAGGUUAAACCCAGAUUAUUUCGGGUUUCUGGAUUGCGGGUUUUCAACCCGGAUCACAUACAAAUAAAAAAAAAUCAAAUACACUUUACAAAUUUGCAAAACCAGAUCAACAUAAAUCAAAUACAAAGUAAUAAACCAUUUUAAUUUUACAGAUUUUUAAUUUCAAAACAAUAAACCAUUUGCAAAUACAGAUCGAUGACAUGACACUCACAAAAUACAAAUCCAUGUCUACAACUCAAAAUCGUGAUUCACGGAUUUGGUUCACAAACUUCAACAAUCGGUGUCCGGCGAAGUAACGAACAUCGGUGGCUGAUGAUAUGAUGAUGAUGAACACGUCAUUGCUGCGAGCGCGAUUCGCAAAAGGCAGAUGAACGGCAGCUAAAACCGAGAUCGCAAUGGACAAACGACGGCCAAAUGAAGGCUGGUGAUGAUGAUGAAUGUGAACACAACGAAGCGAAGCGAUGAGGAGUGACGACGAUGAUUUGAUGAAAAGAAGAACUGAAGAGAAAAAGGAUGAUUUGAUGAAGAGAAUAAGUGAAUGGGAACGGAAAUGAUGAUUUGAUGAAGAGAAAAGAAAAAGGUAGAGAGAGGCGAUUGUGAAAGUGUGAAAUGAAGAGAAGAGAAAAUAAAGAGGACGAAAAGGAUGAUUAGGGCAUCAACAUUUUUCCCCUUUUUAUAUUAAAAAAUAAUUUAAAUAUUAUGCUAAAAUAAGAAUAUCCGGUUCCGGGUUUUGGAUAUACGGGUUAUCUCAAACCCGGAACCGGACCCGAAUCCAUUCGGGUUAUUAAAAUCUAUUCCGGACCCGAAUUUUUUUACAUUCCGGUACGGAUUCAACCCGUCCUGGAUUAUCCGGGUUCAUCCGGGUCCGGGUUAUUUUGCUAUCCCUAGAAUAAAGGCAGAUUGGCUAGAAAACCAAAUUAAAGUGGCGGCUAGGGUUUUCAAAACUUGUAAAGUUUUGAUUUUUUUUUUUUUUUUUGGUGAUGGAUUUGGUGGGAAGAGAUGUGGGUAUCCAGGAAAGCUGUACGAUUCACACAGAACCGCUCUCAUACCAAUUGAUGGAGCGGCAUAGCAGAAGCAGAAAUUGAUAGGAUAGGAAAACUAGAUAUCAUUCUAGCACUGGACCAAGCCAACCUGAUUAGCUUACGCUCUAAUCGAAGCGUGAUUAGAUAUCAUUCUAAUCUAGACGAUUCAAUGAGAUUUUUAAUAACGCAUAAUGCGAGAUUAGAUGACGUUCUAAUCCAAAUGACUUUACGAGAGAGAUUUUGAUAGAUAAUUUCAGAGGGAAUUAUAAAAUAGGGUUUUUUUUAAUAGAGUAAACCCGCUUUUUUUUUUAUAUCUAUUUUUUUUAUAAAAUAGAUAAUUUUUGAAGUUCUGAAAACAAUAACAAGACAUCUCUAUUUAUAAUAGAGUAAACCCGCUUCCCUAAGUUAACUUAAAAAGAGAAAAUAAUCACAAUUAUAAUGAAAAUAAAAUAUACUUUUCCUAAGUUAACUAAAUCUCAUACCUUAAUUGUCUCUAAUAAAAACAAAAAGUCCUAAAAUAAUAAAAUACCAUAAUUGACUCUAAUUAAAAUAAAAAUUCCUAAAAUAAUAAAAUUCUACAAUCUUAAAAUUCCUAAAUUAACCUAAAUUAACUUCCUACAUCACAAGCUAUUAAUCCUCCCAAGUACGAUCUGUUGGCUCCACCAUAUUCGAGAACAAUACCAUAUAUAUGAAUAAUAUUGUGUACAUAAAUAGUACCGUAUACGUGAACAAUACUAUCUACACCAACUACAAACCGUCGGCUCUAAUACCAUUUGUUGUUCGCGAAAUACAGAAUCAAAUGCACCAAAUAAUCACAGAAAAAUAAAGAACACAAGAAUUUAAAGUGAUUCGACAAUUAUGCCUAUAUCUAUGGGAGUAAGGGAUAAUAAUUGUAUUACUAAUAAUUAUUUAAGUACAAUAUUUAAGUAAAGAAAUUUCUCUUCUUAAAACCUAAAUACACCCAGUACUCUCAUACAUGGUUAAAAAAAAAAAAUCUUUCAAUUGCUCACUCUCAGCAAUUCUUCACUUGAAUUAUUUAUAUCAAAUUUUAAGAUGAUGCCUUCAAACUUGCACUAUUACACCUAACCCUUUAAUUGCAUUUCAACAAUUUCGGCCACUAAUUUGAAAAACUCUUUAAUUUCAUCCAAAAAAGUCUUCAUAAUUUUGCAAAAGUCUUCAUGCCCUUUUUUAUUUUAACAUAUUAAUGGUAAUCCAUACGGAAGGGUAAAUUAGUCAUGAGACUUCACAACUGAACAAAAAAUAAUACAAGAGAAAUGAUUUUAACUCAUAAAGCGUGGUAGAUUGACUCCACAGAAUAUUCCGAAGAGAAAAACAAAAUAGUAAUAGACAAAAUUCAUUGUCAUCAACCACCAGAGAAUAGCAGGCAGCACGGUUGUGCUGGUUUGACUUUUCUCAUCUUCUAGCUAUACCCCUUUCCUCUACUCAAAUCUAAUUUUUUUCCUCAACAAAACAAAUUUUAGCACAUAAUUUUUUCUAAUAUAUCACUUUAUCACUAAAAUUUGUUGCCAAAUACUUUUCUUAACUUAAAAUUUUAAUUUCUUUCAUUUUACCAUCAAUCCAUAAAAAAUAGCAGGAUUUUUAAUAGAAAUUAGGGAAAAAGACAUUAAUACUCUCACGAUUUGAGGAAAUGGUCAAUAAAACUCCAAAUUUUUAAAAAGAGAUACUAAGACCCCCAUUUAACCAUUAUACACUAUAUCUUAUUAUCCAAAAAAUUAACUUUAAUUUAUUAUUUAUCUGCUGUACGGCCAAGGCGGAUGUACGGUACAGCAGAUAAUAAAAUAUAUCUAUUAGAUUGUAAAAUAUUAAAAUAUUCAUAAAUAUUGAAAUUAUUUUAAAAUAUUUAUAUUAUCACAUUUAGUUUAAUGUUAUUAUAAUACAUUAGAGUUCAUUUUUUCGCGAUAAUAAAGAUAAAAGAUAUUAUAGUUAAAAGAGAAUUUUGGUGCCCUCUUUUCAAGACUUGGGGAUGUAAUGACCAUUUUUUCUAAAUUUUAAGAGUGUACAUAUCAUUUUCCCUAAAAGUUACAGUAAAAGUUUAUUUUCCCUAAAAUGUGCAAGUACAAUUUGACCGCUGAAUUUAAAAAGUAAAAUAUUAAUCAAAUACAAAAAAAUAUCACUUUUAUAAAUUGAUUAUUUUAAAUAUAAAUAUUAUAAUACUUUUGACUCAAGGAUUCCACAUUAGCCCCAAGACGUUGGUCUCUAACCAGAAAAGUAAAUGUUUGAGCUUGAGAAGCUUAUGGUCCAAUGGGACCAUAAAACUCACUAGGAUAAGUGGUAUUAUUAAACCAGACAAAACAACAAACAAUGAAACCAAAAACAGAUAAAGCACCUAAAUUAUAAGACAAGUUAGCCUCCCUAGACCCUACAAGUGCAUGGUGAGCCCAUGCAAAAAGCUUGGUUAAAAUAUGCGAGAUUCCAACAAAUAUACAAAUGAAACCUAACCAUACCUGACCUCCAAAAAUAUCUUCCAAAUCAUCCACACUAACAAUCCACCAUUCUCCUCCAAAAAGAGAAUUUUCGCAAAUAACUAAAAAUAACACAGGGCUAAGGGUCAAGUUGGAAGUUGGUAAUUUUUCUUCCAUCCCCCCCCCCCCCCCCCCCUCUCCAAGUGAGGUAGCACAUGAAUUAUGCUUGCCCCCAAAAUAAAGAACCUUGAAUGCUUGAACAAAUUUCUUAAAAUAUUCUUAUGACAUCAAUAAUUUCUUAAUGCGUUAAUGAUUUAGUUGUAAAAUAAUAAAAACUAAAACAUUAGAUAUCAAAAAAUAAUUAUUAAAAAAAUUGGGUUCAUAAUAAUUUAGAAAAAAAUUAAGUAAUAAAAUGAUAACGUCCAACAAAAAAAAAAAACUUAUAAUUUAAUAUCAAGCCUAUUUUCACGCAACUUUUAUUUUAAGGUUUUGAAUCCCAACCUUUUGCUAGGACUUGCCUUCUCAUUCCACAUUAUUACAGAGUAAAUGUGUCUUCCACAAAUAUAAAAACAAUAAAUACAAUUUAAUAUCGGGGACACUGGACGUUUACAUAAAGGGAAAAAAGAGAGAGACAACUAAAAAGAGAGAACGAAUACACUGAUUUAUUAACAUACUUGAACCAAAAUUUCUUUUUUUCUCCAAAAUUCUUAAUAUUUCCGAACUUUUCAUGGGAUUCUUGCUCUUUUUCUUGGGUCAAUAACUUUCCGCUCACCAAACACGAAAGAAUCAAGAAAAACAGGAUGCGAUGGUAAGGACAUUGGACAAAAUCCAUUGUAGUUUAUUUAGAAGGGAAAAUGACAAAAGCAUCUUCAAGGAAGAGAUACCCAACCCAAUACAAAUAGUCACAUCAUACGAACACAAGUAAGCCAAACAACAUCAAACCCCUUAGAUUAGCCAAAGAAAACUUCGUAGAAAUAAAUUUGCAGAAAAUAAUGUGAUAAAAAGGUUUGGCUGAAAAAUAAUAACCGCUAAUUAAAAUAAUUAUAUGAACUAUCCAAAUAAUUUUAUCCAAUAUCCAAUCAAUUUCUAUACGUGAUAACAUUUUAGAUAACCAUUAUCAACGUUGUGAACUUUGUGAUUACGAUACCCCAAGAUAACAACAGUAGGCGAAAAAAUUAAUUUUCCUUUAUUGCAGCUUAUUUUACAAGGGAAAUACAAAAAAUCGAAAUACAAACACACAAUAGGAAAACAACUAAAUUACCCUUAAUCCAUAUAAAGAUAAUAAAAUAUUUUAUAAAAAUAAUAAAAUAUUUUAAUAGACUUAUGUGUACAAAUUUUAAAAACUAAUAUUUCCUUAUAAUUUUCAAAAAAAAAUGAGGAACCGCAACGUUAAUAAUCAAGUGAUUAAAUUCUUACUGUUAGAAUAAUUUUUACAACUCUUAGUUGAAUCUAAUGAUUAAAUCACAAAAAGACAAAAAAUAAACAUCAAAUCACAACCACUCGGGCAGUAGCCCGAGUGGCCAGGGCUGCUGCCCUCCAACUUGGAGGGCAACAGUUCGAACCCCUAUAAAAAUAUUGUGGGGGUAUUUCCUUCUUCAAUUAAUUUGAGUGAAGGUAGUCUUAUUCCUUACCUAUGAGUGAGGAGUAGACAUCCCUCGAAUAUUUGUGAGGGUUAAAAUUUUGGCAGAGCUCCAUUAGCAUUGAUGUCAGUUGGUCCCAAUAAUAGUCUGAUUUAUAAAUAUCAGUAAUAAUCUCAUGUAUAUAAAUUAUAAUCUGAGCAAUAAUCUCAUCUAAUAAAAAAUAAAUAAACAUCAAAUCACGGUUGCAUAAUAACUGAACCCUAUCAACGUUGUAAACUUCGGCCAUGUUUGGCAGGCCGCAUUAUGCUGUAUCAGGGCUCUGCAUUGCAUUAAAUUAUCACAAUACGGAGCUGGCUAAGUUACAGAUUCUGUAACUUACACAGAUCCAACUGUAGCCAACUCCUAUUGCCUGCAUUUGCACAAUGUUUCUCUCUCCUCAGAACACGUGUGCUGUUUCCCUUUGGGUGUGUACGUUACAGAUUCUGUAACGUAGAUUGGUCCAUCACAAUACAAUAUUUGGCACUUCUUCGUUAUUGCAUUAAGAAAAAAAAAUUAAUGCAGGAAACCCGCAUAACGGAAACCCGAGUGAGACUCGGGUUUUUACCGUAUUAGCUUCUUCUUCUUCAUCUUCUCUAUUUCUCUCUCUUUCUUUUUCUUUUAUUUUUUAUUUUCCUUUUCCCCUCUUAUUCUUCAUCUUCUCUGUUUUUCUCUCUUUUUUCUUUUAUUUUUUUCCUUUUGCCCUCUUCUACUUCGUUUUCUCUGAUUCUCACUCUCUCUUUUUUCUUUUAUUUUUUCCCUUUUCCCCUCUUAUUCUUCGUCUUAUCUGUUUCUCUCUCUCAUUUUUCUUUUAUUUUUAUUUUUUCCUUUUCCCCUCUUCUUUUUCGUCUUCUCUGUUCCUUCUUUUUCUGAGGUUCUUGUUUGUCAUCUUCUCCAUUUCUUUCACCAUCUUCAUAUAACCACUAAUAGGCGCAGCCGCUGCCUCCCUUAGUUGCUUUAUAUGUUUGAUUCAGGGGGUUUGAUUUUUCAGAUUGGUUGAAGACGACAAUGAUGGAUGAAAUUUGUUUGAGAUGAGAUUGAAUGCCUUCACAAAAUUUUUAUUUUAUUAUGCUACACGAACCAUUAUUGAUAAUUAUUUUUUUUAAGAAUUUUGUUUAUAAAAAAACAAUUGUUCAGAAUUUUGUUUAUAAAAAGACAAUGGUUGUACAACCCGUGUUGAUAACUAAAUUUGAGUUUACAAAUUUGUUUAAAAAAAGACAAUUGUUGUCAUCAUUUAUCAAUAAAAUUUAACAUUUAUACUAAAAAAAAUUGUUAAAAUUUUUAAAAUUUAAGACCUCUAUUUUUUUAAUUUUUUAAGUACUAAUAAUUACUAUUUUUUAAAUAUAUAAUUUAAAUUAAUCACAAAAAUUAAUACAAUAUAAUAUAAUUAAAAAUUAAUAUAAUACAAUAUAACACCAAAUACUAUACAAUAUUAUUAUAAUACAACAUAAUAUAAUACACAUAUAUUAAAAUAAUACAAUAAAAAUAUACAAUUCAAUAUACUAAACACACUCUUCGUGAUUACCAUACACUAAGAUAACAACAGUAGGGGACAAAAUUAAUUGUCCUUUAUUGGAUUAUUGGAGCUUAUUUUUACUAGGGAAAUACAACAAUCCGAAUACAAAAACACAAUAGGAAAACAACCAUCACAAGCCAAACCAACAUCAACCACCUAAAGAAUAAGCAGGCAGCACGAUUGCGCUGCUUGACUUAUUCUCAGCUCCAAGGUAUGUCCCUUUUUCUCUCUACUCCAAUCCUAAAUUUGUCCUCAUCGCUGAAACAAAUUCAAACACUUUCUUCCCAUCAGGAAGUGCCUUGGCAACAGUCUCCCUCUGCAAGCAUCUCUUCACCCAAGCUAUGAACUUGGGGCACUCAGCCUCGACGUUGAACUUUCCACAUGUCUCAUACGUGUAAAACCAACAAUAGAAUGGGAUCAAACUUAAAUCCACAUACCCAAAAUUGUCUCCUCCGAAGAAAGGCUUGUCUCCAAGCUGCCCUUCCAAAGUCUUCAGAACUUCAAAGAACUCCUUCUUAGCUGCCUCCUGCUCUUCUCCCUUUGUGGUCCAUGUCUUCCUCAAAGAAUCGUACAUCUGCAAUUUACUUUCAAUAUUGUAUCAGAAAAUCUGUCCGAAAAUGGAUAAAAUUUAACACAUUCAGGUUCAGUAUCCAUUUCAAGACAACAAAAUCAGCAACAGGUAGGUUACAGUCUUACACUUAGCUGCAAAACUAUGUAGAGGCCAAGAAACAUCCAGAAAAAUAAAGGACUGAAUUGAAAUUUUACUAACUUCUACGCAUAUCUUAAGAUUUUCAAGACUAGAUUUUACCAUCUCAAAAAUAUAGAACCCACAGACAUCCAGCUAUUCCUUAAAAAAAAAAAAAAAAAAAAAAUUUUUGUAAACUCACACCCUCUAAAGCUAAAACCAAGAGCUAAACAUUAAGAAGGCCACUACUUACUACCCUUACUACUGAAACUAGACUUUUAACUGCAAAUAUUCAGCCUACUCUAGUUUAUAGUAUUCUCACUAUGAUCCUCAUCGUUGGCCUCUCAGAUUUACUGACUUUUUGCUACAACCUACUAAAGUUUAUAAUAUCUGCAUCAUAGUCCUGUAACAACCAAAAUCUUCAACUCUGUAGGGGACAUCUUUUCCCCCUCCGUUCAAUGCAACCCCUGUUUAUUUGUAGUCAAACAACAAAUCCAUGACAUCUACUCGACAAUGAAAUAUUUUAAUAACAAAAUUUCGGCUUCUAUUUUAAUAAAAUUACAAUUAAAUCUAAAAUUGAAAAAAUACCCAUAAACAUACUUCAGAAAAUCAACAACAAAGUUACCUUCUUGUCAAUGAAAUCUACCCAGAACCUAGCUUGAGCUCUCUGGUAGGGAUCAGAGGGAAGCAAUGGAGCCUUGUCCUUCCACACUUCAUCAAUGUACUGAACAAUGAUGGGUGACUCACAGAACGGUCUGCCGUUGUGGAUGAGAACCGGGAUCUUCUUGUGAACGGGGUUCAUCUGCAGAAGCAGGGGGCUCUUGUUCUUCAAGUCCUCUUCCUUGUACUCAUACUUGACGCCUUUCUCCGCCAGAGCAAUCCUGACCCUUAUCCCAAACAUGCUGGGCCAGAAAUCCAACAGAACCACUUCGUUCGCCAUUGUGACAGAAGCUUACUAAGAGUCAAGAGUGAAUAAAUGAAAAGACAAGACAAACACGCCGAAAGUAAAGUUACGAGAGUGAGAAUUUAUAUCGAAAUGUUGGCACUAAGUGGGUUUGGACUUAUCAAAUGUUUAAGAUGACGUCUCCUAAAAAGACAAAAAAAUGUUGGAGAUGACCGUACGUGGCUAAUGUGUGGUGUCUUUUCUUCGCCAGAAAUAUCUGAUAUUCUCCUGGCCUCUUCGGGUUCAAAAUAAUAAAUAAUAAAUAAAGUGAAGGUGUAAAACAUUCUAGGCUCUUCCAUCUCCAGGAUAGGUCAUAGCUUCCGUCACAAUCACGUCCUAAUUUUGUUUUGUAUAAAAAGAUACUCAUCCCAAAUUUUAUUGUAAUUGAUAUGAUAUUUAUUAGAAUUUUGCUACCUUACAUGUGAUAUAAAGUAUAGUCUCUCAUAAGACUGUAGGCUCAAAUAGAAUUCAUAAUUUAAUUUGUGAGAGGUUGUACCUUACAUUACAUGUAAGAUAGUAGCUCCCUAUUCAUUAAAUAUUGAUAAUUUUUUAUAAUGAUCAUAUUAUUUUAUUAAUUAAUUGUUGAAUGUCUUAUUAAUUGAGAUAGUUUUUGUGACAAAAAUUUAAGUUUUGUAGUAUUAUUCAUUUUUUUUCACAAUAUUUUUUUUAAUGAGGAGGGUAACAGCCAUCACUUAAUAAAAAUUUCAUUUAACAAAAUUUAGAUGGCAAUUUAAGAGCUAAUUUGAUAAUACUGUAGUUUUAUUAAUAUUUAUUAUUAAUUGUAUUAUAGAAAUAAUCAAUUAAAAAUAGAAUCAACUAAGUAGUUAGUAAAAUUCAUUUUUAAAAGUGUUGUAAAUUUUAGUUAGUAAAAUUUAUUUUUAAAAAUGCUGUAAAUUUUAAAAUCAGUCGUAUACGUUUUAUAAAUUUUAUUGUUGAAUUAUUAUAAGAAUAAAUAUAAUUAAAAUAAAAAUAAUAUUAAUAAAAUUUAUUUGUACAUUUAAGAAUAUGUAUAUAUGUGUUGGUGGUAAAAUGUAGACUAGAGUUAUUGAGGGCAUGACAUAUGGGGAGUAUGACUCAGGACCCGAUAAACGAUGUUGAAAAGGUGAGAUGAAAUAGGAAAAUCUUGAAGAACUAGCCUCAACCAUCCAAAUUGUCUAAGAGUAAUAGAAAAAUGCAUUCUACAAGACCACAAGACAGUGACAGACAUGCCACGGUGCCCAUCUGGAUUGUCUCUAGAAUAUCUCCUUACAAGUUGCCAAAGUCAGAAUUAAGAAAGAGGAACGACACACAAAACCACUUGCACCAUCUCAAGUGAAGUUAGGUGCUUCUCAGGCCAAUUGGUUAAUUCAAAAUGGGCCAAUUAGGGUUGGGACAUGCUGUCAGCACAGACUGUCACCCAAUGGACAACUAUCUAAUCCAAGCAAGCUUAAAAGCCUAUAUAAGAGGGACCAAAUUACCUUUAAGACCCUACCUAAGGAGGAAAAUCACUAAUAACGGCUCACCACAUGUCCAAAAGAACAUAAAGAUGCUCUCAUGGGCACUUUACUUUAAAAAGUCAGGUAGGUUUCUCAAAGGGAGUAAGUUCACUCACUUACAAAACACUAAAUAUUUAUUAUUAUAGGGUUUCUCUAAAAACUCAUAACCUCCUUCAACCUCCUCCUAACUUGACCAUCAAAGUGUCGUCGCCAACAACCACCGGCACCGCCUCUAACAACUGGUUUCUUUGUUUUCAUGUUCGUCUCAGCGUUACUGUCCCCAAACAAUUGUUUCCAGACAGCCUAAUCUUUAUCUUUACCAAAAAACCAAUUUCUACAGAGAAGCUCUCAUAGUAUUUUGGGCUAAACCAAAAUCAAACCAAAACAUUUUGGAAUUGUCUGCAUGGGAUCGAACAAAAGGUUGUUAUUCCAUCCUUUAUUGACAAAUAGAGCUCCUCAUCUUCUAGGAAAUUCUCAAAAAGGUCAAAGAAUUGAAGAAAAGCGUCAUAGGAGUAGAAAGCGAGGAGAUUCUCAGAGAAGAGAACCCAAUGGUUAAUGGCUUAACAAGAAAUGUGUCCAAAUGAGAGGUCAUCUUCCCCAAUAUUGUCGUUGUGGAAAGAGUACUCAAACACUGCAUCUUCGGGGAUCAUCUCCUUGAGGUGAACUUUGUGGUCAUUGAGGGAUCUUAGAUGGACUCCAUAGUCAAUUAGUUGCAGAAAGGGGUUGUCCCCAAGGAUAAAAACAAGGCUUGAGGACUCAAAAUCUCUCAAGGGAUUGUCAUUGGCAAUGGGACUCAAUUUAAUAAUUAGAGUUUUCGAGAUUUUUGCACUAAUCUAAGGAUCGCCAAUUGAUUCGUCUUUCCAGCCCAUUGCCAAUCAAAUGGGCAAGUAGGGUCGCCAAUAAGGCCGUCAAGCACUUAUAAAGAAGAAACUAGACAAUUAGAACGUUCAUCCUUAUGCCUUCAUUGAAGAAGAUCUAAUGCUCUGCCGGGACACCUAGAACACCAAGGAUAUUAGGGAAGACAAUCUCAGUGCGAACUAUGAGGGACCCAGUAUGGUCAAAUGAGUGCUUAAAUCUAGCGCAUACAUGUUGCUGCACCUCGAUGGAAGAAGAGUCAAACACCCCUAGAACAUUGCCACGCUCCGAAAUUGUUAUCAGUAACCUAGGGGAUUAUCUUCACAGCCAAUCUCCGAAAAGGGGCUGGUAUAUCUAUUUACUCUUGCAGUUUUACUUUGCUUUUAUUUCUUAUUUUAUACUAUGAUGACAAUCCAAGAGGGAGCCUUUUAUGACUGAGGGAUCCCAUUCAAUUGGAGAACUACUAAUUUUGUAACCAUUCAGAUGAGGUGCAUGCAUCGCCUCUUUAUUAACAAAAAGUAUUAUUCAAUAGAUAUAUAUGUGUCAAACUACUAAUUUUAUCUUGUAACACAGCUAUGACACUAAAAAAAGGUAUUUUCUAUAAACCCUCGAGAUCUUUAUAAAUUGAAAAAAUAGGUAUCACACAUGGAAAGGUAAAUCCCCGUAUCACAGAGGCAUAUUCUAAAAUACUAUCUAAGCAACCCAAAAGGGGGGUUGAAUUGAUAUUUUAAAACUUAAGCUAAACAAAACACAUAACAAUUCAAUCUAUUUCCUUAAUGAAAUAAAAAUAAAUAAAUUUAAUAAAGCAUAAUAAUAAAAGAUAAAGGAAGAGAGAACAAAGACAACGAUCUUUACGUGGUUCGGUAAUCCCCGCCUACGUCCACGCUUCCAAGCUCGCAAGACUUGAGGAUUUCACUAAGCAAGCUUCUAAGGCUUCAAAUGCUUACAAUUGACUUCCAAGGUAUCAUUGGAUCUUCACAACAAGAGAUUAUCCCCAAUCUCUUAACCCAAAUGUAUCCCAACACUUACAAUCUCUUAACUUGAUUUACAAAAAAGAUUACAAAUGAAUUUCUCUCACACAAUGUGUUUGAUCACAAAUGAAAGCUCAAUGUGUGAAUGAAUGAGAUGAAUAUAAGAAUUUGAAAGUUGUAUGCUCAGUAUUUUGCUCAAUGAUAAUUGUUGGAAUUGUUGAAGUUUGAAUUUGAUUGAGUUUAUUUAUAGUUGGAGCUAAAAACUAGUUGUUAUUGACUUUCUGCUCACUGUCGGAUCGCCGUUAACUAGAUGUCGGCUCGCCGUUAGUGUUUAGAGGGUAAGCUUCAAUUCUGUUCGAUGUCGGCUAGCCGUUAUCAAGAUGUCGGUUAGCCAUUUGUACAGUGAACUAUUUUCUAAAAUUUAUAGUUUGGCCCUAAAAUUUUAUAAAAUUAUAUUGUGGCCCAAAACUAUAUGAAACGUUUCACAUAAGACCUUCUCUAGAAUUCCAAGCAAUACUUAUUGAUUUCAAAGUUCUCAAAACUCUUUUAAUUAGACCAUGAACUUGAAAAACAAUCAAUUUCGUAAAAUCAUUUUUCCAUUAAAUAUAAAACUUUUAUAAUAUGAAAAUAAUGAUUUAUUUAAAAUGUAUAAAAAAAUAUUUUGAACUCUUAAAAACUUAAUAAUUCUUAAUUUUGUUUGUUAUCAUCAAAAUUAACAUUAUGGACACAUAAAUGUUAACAAUCUCCCCAUUUUCUUAUGAUGACAAACAUUUCAUGUAUUUAAAGAAUGAUUCCAUAAAUUACUCCCCCUAAAUGUAAGUUUCUCUUACAAUUUAACAAAUCUUUCAUGUAUUUAAAGAAUGAUUCCACAAAUUACUCCCCCUAAAUGUAAGUUUCUCUUACAAUUUAGCUAAAUUAAAAAAUUUUAAUACAUGUAUUUUCUUCCCCUUCAUCAUAAAAAAGAAAACUUAGUGGAAAAGAAAAAAGAGUAGCAAAUUUGUUACCCAUGUUGUCCGAGUAGAAAUUUCGAUAGAAUCUCCUCCUAACAACAAGCAUUACCUCAAAUACAAGUUUAAUAAUAUUACUCCCAAAUUAUUAUAAAUCAUGAUACAAGCCAAUUCCAUAUACAAAUCAUCACACAAUCCAUCAACCAUAAAAUGAUUAUGAACCAUUAGUCCAUCAAUUACCAAAUCAACAACUCAUAACAUAAAAUUAUCAUAUAAAAUAACCAUGUAAUCAAAUCAUCAUCAUAUCCCAAAAUCAUCAAAAUCAUCACAAUAAUCACAUAUCAAUCAUCAAAACAAUACUCAAAGUGCAUAUUAUUCUCCUCCUUUUCACAACAUCGAAAUGAUAUAUUACUUUGUCUCCCCUUUUGGACAACAAAAAAGUUCAAAACGCAUAUUAUCUAAAAUCAUAUUGUAUGCUCCCCCUAAAUAUAUGGUCAAUUUAAAAUUUUAACCAAAAUGAUUUUAUCCAAAAACUUAUCAUAUUUAUCUCCUCCUUCAUCGUAAAAAAGAAAAGAUAGAUAGAUGCAAUUUGAUUAACACUAAAAAGUAUACGUGUAAUAAAGAUAACAUUAUUAGUUUUACACUUAUUGUGUCGAUUAAUACGCUCAUUAUUUAUAAAUUAUCUUAAUACUCUCCAAAUCUAUUUUUAUGUUAAAUUAAUUCGCAAUAUGUUAAUUUUUAUCUUAUAAAUAUUUUUCAGGAAUAAAGAUGAAAUUGGAAUUGAAAGCGGGAACAAAGAAGAACUAUUGGAGCACAAUUGAGGAGAUAUAAUAAAAAAAAUUAAAAAGAGCAAAAGGCAACCAUGCUUUGGUUGCCUGUGAUGGUCAUGAGGCUAUCACACCUCCUGGCCAUCACACUUCACAACAUUCAUUUAAUUUAUAAAAAAAUAAAAUAAUAAUAAAUUAAAUAAGAAUAAAAAGAAUGAAGAGGUGGCGAUUGUUGCCUAUAAAAGCCGACGAAGCGAGGAAGGGAGGAAAGAGCCGAUUUCUGAGAGAGAAUAGCCAAGGGUGUAGUUGAAGAAUUUCUUUCUUUCUUUGUUUCUUUUCUUGUUUCCAUCUGUAUCAAUUUUCUUUGUAACAUAUUUUCAAAAGUUUAUCAAAUAAAAAGAGUGUUGUGUUUUCUUUCAAUAUGAGUGGAUAAUUUUAUUAAGCUGAGGUGAAUUGUGAAGCUCAAUGUUUCAAAUUAUUAAAUUUAUUAUUUUCUCAAAUGAGUUUUUAAGUUUAUUUUAUUUUUUUCUAGUUAUUUUUAUAUCAUGUUAAUUUAUAAAUCUCACUGGAUUUUAUGGUAUUUUGACAUAAUGUCGACACAUUAAUUGUGGCACAUUAGGUACUGUAUUUCAUAUUUAUUCACGUCUUUUAAUCUUAGUAAAUAUUUAACAUUUCAUUUGGUAUCAUAACAUUAAGUGCAUUAACAUGAAGUGGAUAAGUUUAUCUUGCCUAUUUAUUAUGUUGAGUGGAUCAUGAUAAAUGGAUAAUAACUUGAAUUUGUGAAAGUAUACUUGUAUGUUUACAUGAUUGAAUUAUCAUUGUGUUUAACAUUGAGUCUGCUGUACCGUACAUCCGCCUUGGCCGUACAGCAGUUUUAUAUCAAUGUCAAAUAAUUUCUUUGCCCCGCAAUUAAUUUUCUUUGUUUUAAAUUGACCACUAGAUUUUAAAUUCUCUGUGGUUCGACCCUGGACUCAUCGAGUUAUAUUAUAACUAGACACUCUUAUACUUGGGAGUAAUAACACUUUUGAGUCGUGUCAAGUUUUUGGUGCCGUUGUCGGGGAGUUUUCUAAAUUUGGUGUUAGUUUGUCUUUACUUUAUUUACUUUAUUUUAUUUUUGUCGUUACUAUCUUUUGGUGAUUCUAUUUUAUUCUUUUUGUGUAAAACUUCAGUUAGCACCCCUCCUCUUUUCAAACUUUAAUAUUUUCCGUAAAAUUUGUGGGAAACUUCAUCUUAGCCCAGAAACCUUUGCAAAUCAGUCCCCAAAUCGAAUUUAUUUCUUUAAAUUUAAGCAAUUUACUUUCUGCAUUUAUUUUAAAUGGUCGGUUUUACCGCCUGACUAUUAUUUAAAUUUUGUUAAUUUAUGUAUUUUUGUUUAUAUGGUCGGUUCUACCGCCUAGCAUUUUAAUUUCAGUUUAUUGAUUCUUGUACAUUAAUUUAUUUAAUUUUAUGUUUUAUAAUAUGCCUGGUUUUAAAAUACCGCUUAAACUGUUUCUUUUAAUUUCUUUGUUUAUGGCUUGUUUCACCGCCUAAUUUAUUUAUUUAUUUAAUUUCAGUUUGUUUAUUUUUAUUUUUCAUUUUUAUUUUGCUUAUUUAAUUUCCAGUUUAUUUUUAUUUCUGUAAUUUUCAUUUAGCGUUUUAUGCAUCAUUGGUUUAGCACACAUCAUUAGCAUUGCAUGUGUCGUUGGUCUCGUACAAAUAGUGGCAGAUUAAUUAGAAGAUCACCUUCACCACCCUUAGAUAUGGCUAACACAGGAGCUGAAAAUUUUUCGGAGUACGAAAAUGACCAAGCCUUGCAAAAUCUUCAUGAACAGUCUAGGACUCUUAGAGACUUCAUGCAUCCUACUAGAACAGAGUCACCAUCAUGCAUAGUUUUCCCUCCUGAUGCAUCGCGUUUUAAUUUCAAACCUGGUAUCAUUCAACUUCUUCCUACUUUUCAUGGUUUUGAGUCUGAAAAUCCAUAUUUGCAUUUAAGGGAAUUUGAGGAAGUCUGUAACACAUGUACUGAUCAAAAUUGUAGCAUGAAUAUAAUUGGGCUUAAGUUUUUUCCUUUCUCACUAAAGGAUAAAGAUAAAACUUGGCUAUAAAAUCUUAGGUCAGGAUCCAUCAGAACUUGGGAUAAAACUUUAGUACCACAUCUAGACCACUUUGUAACCUCCUAAUAAAAGACACACCUUUUGAAUGGACUAAAGAUUGUCAACAAGCUUUUGAAAAAAUAACUACUCUUUUGACAUCAGCCCCAAUAAUGACACCCCCUGAUUGGUCUUCACCUUUUGAGCUAAUGUGUGAUGCUAGUGAUUAUGUCGUUGGCGUUGUUCUGGGUCAAAGAAAGGAAAGUAAGCCCUUUGCCAUCUAUUAUGCAAGUAGAACUUUGAAUAGUGCUCAAAUGAAUUAUACUACAACUGAGAAAGAAUUACUUGCUGUAAUAUUUGCAUUGGAUAAAUUUUGUUCGUAUUUAAUUGGUUCAUCUACUGUUGUUAAUUCUGAUCAUGCUGCUGUGAGAUAUUUAAUGUCAAAACAGGAUGCCAAACUAAGGUUGAUACGAUGGAUUUUCCUACUUCAAGAAUUUAAUUUGACAAUCAAUGACAAAAAUGGCGCUGAAAAUAUUGUUGCAGAUCAUCUUUCAAGACUUACAAAUGAGUCUUCAAUUGAAACAAUAUCCAUCAAUGAUUCUUUCCCUGAUGAAUUUUUGUUUUCUAUAAAUAAAAUGCCCUGGUAUGCUAAUAUUGUUAAUUAUCUUGCGACAGGUGAAAUGCCAUGUGACUGGAGUUCCCAAGACAACAUGAAAUUCUUAAUAGAAGUGAAAUGCUUUUACUGGGAUGAUCCAUACUUGUUCAAAUACUACUCUGAUCAAAUUUUUUGAAGAUGCAUACCAGACGACGAGGUAAGUAGGAUCAUUCAAUUUUGUCAUUCUGAAGUGUGCGGUGGCCAUUUUUCUUCAAAAAAGACAGCUGCAAAAAUGUUGCAGUGUGGAUUUUAUUGGCCUACAUUAUUUAAAGAUUCACAUGCAUUCUGUAAAAUGUGUAAGAAUUGUCAAAUGAUAUGGUCUAUUUCAAAGCAAAACAUGAUGCCUUUAAACCUUAUCCUUGUCAUUGAAAUAUUUGAUUGUUGGGGAAUUGAUUUUAUGGGCCCUUUUCCAUCAUCAUUUGGAUGUGUAUACAUUUUGGCUGCUGUUGAUUAUGUUUCAAAAUGGAUCGAGGCGAUUUCUUAUCGGCACAAUGAUCACAAGAUUGUGAUCCGCUUUUUAAAAGAAAAUAUUUUGAGCAGAUUUGGAAUACCUCGAGCCAUUAUCAGUGAUGGAGGUAAGCAUUUUUGUAAUAAGUCAUUUGAGUCCUUAAUAAAGAAAUAUGGAAUUACACAUAAGGUUGCUACCCCUUAUCACCCUCAAACAAGUGGUCAAGUUGAAUUAGCAAAUUGGGAGAUAAAAUAAAUUUUAGAAAAGACAGUGAAUCCAAACCGUAAAGAUUGGUCUCUUCGACUAACUGAUGCACUUUGGGCAUAUCGUACUGCUUUUAAAACAUCUUUAGGAAUGUCACCCUAUCGGCUUGUUUAUGGAAAAUCUUGCCACUUACCAGUAGAACUUGAACAUAAAUCAUUUUGGGCCAUUAAAGUUUUUAAUUCAAAUCUUGAUGAUGCUGGUAAUGUAUGUAAAUUGCAAUUAAAUAAACUUGAGGAAUUAAGGAAUGAUGCAUAUGAGAAUUCUAGAAUUAUUAAGGCAAGAACCAAAUUUUUUCAUGAUAAAAGAAUUUUUCGGAAAACAUUUGAAAUUGAUCAAAUAGUGUUGCUUUAUAAUUCUCGUCUUCAUUUAUUUCUAGGAAAAUUAAAGUCAAAGUGGAAUGGUCCAUUCGUUGUAAAAAAUAUGUAUCCAUAUGGAGCUAUAGAAACCGAGAAUCCAAAGAAUAAUGUCACAUUUAAAGUUAAUGGUCAAAAUUUGAAACCAUAUCUAGAAUACCAACCACGUGAAGCAGAUACCGAAAUCAAUUUGAGUGACCCACCAAAUUUUAAUUUUAACUUUUUAUGAAUUUGAUUUACUGUUACUCUAUCAUUUGAAUUGUUUGAUUUUUUUUUUCUUUUUCAUUUUCUCUCUGUCUUGAAUGGAGUGCAUUGUAUUGUUUUAAUUGUGUGUUGUUUGACAAUUGUGAUUUAGCUCACCAAUUUUUUAUACUUGUCAUGAGUGCCUCCAUGAGAAAUUUCCUUUUUGAUCAUCUUAAAGUGCUUUUACAUGUAAAAUUUCACCUGAGGAAAUUGCUCCGAUUUUGUAACUCACAUCCUAUUUGGAAUCUACAACCACCAUAGUUAGUAUCCCACGUGAAAGAUCAAGAAAGACAACUCAAGGAAAUAGAGGAUGGUAUUUAUAAUCUGCAAUUGGAACUGGAGGUAAAUUCAAUAAAAGGACGAAGGUGAGUUAUAUUCCUUGUGUGUUUUUGUUUUAUUUUGUUGUUCUUCUUUACUUUUGAUUUGAUUUUGCAGAUUUGAUUCGUUUUUGUUUUUAUUCACUCUCCCGUACAAAUGGCGGAUAAUGGUACUCCGUGACUUUUUAAGUCGGUAUUCUCAGUUUCCCACAAUAACUGAAACCUCAAUGUCAAGCAUGGACGAAAUACAACGAAAAUUGCAUCAACAUUUUCCUUCUCUCUCUCAAAAUGCUCUUAAGAAGAUUUACAAAGCUCGUUGUGAACGACUGCGUUUGUUAAUGAUCAAUGAGAUUCCUAUUAACAUUCGAUGGUUAAUUAAAGUAAAGGUCCGAUUGGCAGGUGAGUUUUCUGAUCCGUUCAUUUCCUACAUGCCUGGUUUUGGUAAAAGUACAUUUGCUAAGAAAAGAAGAGCUAAACGACUUGGCUCUGACUGUUCUCACUGUGUAAGACUUGCUUGCAAAAAGACAUGUUGUAAAACUUUAAGAAUGGUUUCUGUAAAUCGUAAAGAUAAAAUCAAAUUCGUUAAGGAUGACAUGAGUAAAGAAUCGUUGGAUGAUAUCUUACGAUCUCUUGAGACGCAUCCGAGCGAAUAUGUUCAACGUGAAAUUCAAAAUUUGUGGAAGUUGUUCCAAAUGGAAAGUGUAUAGUUUAGUCUUGGGAAUCUGACUCUAAAAGACCAUGUUUGCCAAUUUAUAAGAAAACUGGAUGGGAAGCCUAUCCUCGACCCAUAGAGGCGUUCAAGCCGUAACUGGAAGUAAAACCAAAGGAAGAUGUGAGCCACAAUCACAACUACCAGUAAAUAUCCUUUUAUUUUACUAUUCUUUUAUAUUUUGCAUUAUUAUUAUUAUUGUGUGUUUUUUUAUCUAAUCACUAUUUGUUUUUUCUUUUUAAUGUUUACCUUUGUAUUAUUAAGCUAAAAGUUUCACGCGUCAUUUGACAAACACACCACCCCAUUUACAAAUGUAUAUCAUUAUGUCCGUCACCAAGGUCCUUAAAUAAGAACUUCUUUUCAAGCACUCACAAAUUGUUUCUUUUUAGAAUUGUUCUAAUGGCAGCAACUUCAAGCAGUCAACUUAAAAAUAUUAGUGUACUUUCUGAAUUUUGCUAUGGAAAGUAUAAGGAGUUCGUUCAAGCAGCCAUAGAUCUUGGUCGUGCUAUAGUAGAGAGGAAACUACAUCUUGUAUAUGGAGGAGGUGGCUGGGAUUAUCAAAGCUUGUCUUUGAAGCUGCCUUCAUUCGAGGAAGCCAAGUGCUAGGCAUCAUUCCAAAAGCCUUAAAACCUUUACGAUGUCUACCAAACCCACCAACUGGAGAAGAGUUAGUUGUCUCAGGUAUGCAAGAAAGAAUAUCUGAAAUGUUAAAUCAUGCUGACGCUUUCAUUUUCUUGCUAGAAGAUCUUGCAACUUUAGAGGCGCUAAUUACAUUUGCUUCUUGGGCCCAUUUGAAUAUUCAUAAAAAAACACAUCGGUUUGUUAAAUGUUAAUAACUUUUAUGAUGGCGUAAUAACAUUUCUUAAUCAUGCAAUAAAAAAUUACUUCAUUCCAUCCUCAGCGAAAAAACUCUUCAUUUGUGCUCCUACUGCUAAUGAGUUACUUGAUCUUUUGCAAGCUUAUAAACCAGAGCCAGAUCCCGUGACUUUGGCGUUGGAUUGGGUAACUACGGACGAUGGCAGUAACUCUCAUAAAAAGUAUAAAUUAGAUUUAACUCUCUGUUUGUAAAUAUUUCGAGCAGUGGCUAUGUGAUAUCUUAUAAACUCUACUCUUUUCUUUAGACAUUGAGGACAAUGUCUCUUUCAAGUUGGGGGGAGGGAAUAGUUGGUAAUUAUGGAGUGUCUCAGUCCUAGUGAUGUUUUUACUAAUUUUUAUUGUAAAAACUAACUUUGAAUAAAAAUUUGAGUCGAAGAUGGCAGAAUAUAGAAUGUAGUGUCUCUAGAAAUGCAUCUUUCUUAAGUUUAGUGUUUUGUUUCCAAAAAAAAAAAAAUGUCUUCAAACGUUUUGUUUUCUGUCUUUUUUCUCUUUUUCUCUUAAUCAUCUCCCUUAAGUUUCUGCAAUCACUCCCAAUUUUUUUUAGUGUUUAUUUAACAAAAAAAAAGUUUUAUUUUUCAGUGUGAUCUUUUAACAUUGGAUAACAUGACGAUUUUUAAAUUUUGGUAUUUGUAUUAUCUUUGGUCUUGAGUUAUGUUACACUAUGUUUUCCCCUUUGCAUGUUGAAACGUAAAUUGAGAAAUUGGAUGAGUGAAAUUGGUUAAGCCAUUUAGAGGAAUGUACAUGUUAUGAAAAGAUCAAGCGAGUUUUUGAGUCUAUUAUCCUUGGAGAGUAACCUUAUUUGCCUAUACAGCUUCACAAUUUAUUGUACAAGAUCUCAAUAUUUCCUUUAAAAAAAGUUAAAAAAUAAAAUUUGUGCAGCCACAUCUAAAAGUCCAUUGAACUAGUGGAUAUGAAAAAUUAUAUAGAGCCCUAAAAGAUGACAGAAUGUCAUUUUUUAUCCGUUUGAGCCUUUCUAGCCAACCCUAUUAUAAAGAAUCCAUAGUUAACCUCUUUGAGCCUUUAAAAAAAAAAAAAAUUCUUUUGAUAACCUAUUAUCUUAUCCCACUCCAAUAUGGAGUAUCACCUUAUAUUUUAUGUUUCCCACCACCCAAUUAUGUUUGAAAAUAGGGAUGAUUAUUUAUUCCUAAUAAUAGUUUUAUUAAAAAAAAAGACGAUAUGUAUAUUAAAAAAAAAAGAGAAAACAAUUAAAAAAAAAUACCUUGUAAUCUCCAAAAAGUCCCAUAUUUUUCAAACAUCUAUGGACUAAAAGAUCUGGUGAUGCAUAAAAAUAAAAAUAAAUUUUGCUAAUAAUUCCCUAAGUUGAGAUCAUUUUAUUUCUAAGCUGUGCACCUUAUUCUUUCAUCUUAGUGAGAGCGUGUGAUAUUGUUUUAUUAUUCUCUCAAAUCUACCAUUUUUUUUAGAGUGAUAAUUUAAUUUGGGAUAUAUUUCUUUUGAGAGAGUUACUCUUAAUCGUGAUGUUUUGGGGUUUGAAGUAUCAUUCUUAAAAGUGGCUUGAUUAAUGUAGCUCUGAUAAUUGAUCAUUUUACAUUAUUUUACUUUACUGAUUUAUGUGAGUGUGAUUCUCUUUAGGCUGAAGAUAAUGCUUAUAUUUUUAUUUGAUUGUUGUCAUUGAUCCGAUGAAAGAAGUGAACACAAUUUUUUUUUAAAAAAUCAAUUUGGUUUUGAAAUUUCUCUAAAUUUUUAUCGCUUAAAUUGCUAGGGACUAGUAAUAAGUUAGUUGGGGGGUGUGAUUAACACUAAAAAGUGUACGUGUAAUAAAGAUAAAAUUAUUAGUUUUACACUUAUUAUGUCGAUUAAUGCGCUCAUUAUUUUUAAAUUAUCCUAAUACUCCCCAAAUAUAUUUUUAUGUUAAAUUAAUUCGCAAUAUGUUAAUUUUUAUCUUGUAAAUAAUUUUUAGAAAUAAAGAUGGAAUUGAAAUUGAAAGCGGAAACAUAAAAGAACUAUUGGAGCACAAUUAAGGAGAUGUAAUAAAAAAAUAAAAAAAUAAAAAAAAGAACAAAAUGACAAAAGAGCAAAAGGCAACCAUGCUUUGGUUGCUUAUGAUGGUCAGGAGGCCAUCACACUUCUCAACAUUCAUUUAAUUUAUAAAAAAAAUAUAAUAAUAAUAUAAUAAUAAAUUAAAUAAGAAUAAAAAGAAUGAAGAGGUGGUGAUUGUUGCCUAUAAAAGCCGACGAAGCGAGGAAGGGAGGAAAGAGCCGAUUUUUUAGAGAGAAUAGCCAAGGGUGUAGCUGAAGAAUUUCUUUCUUUCUUUGUUUCUUUUCUUGUUUCCGUCUGUAUCAAUUUUCUUUAUAACAUACUUUCAAAAGUUUAUCAAAUAAAAAGAGUGUUGUGUUUUCUUUCAAUAUGAGUGACUAAUUUUGUUAAGUUGAGGUGAAGGGUGAAGCUCAAUGUUUCAAACUAUUACAUUUAUUAUUUUCUUAAAUGAGUUUUUAAGUUUAUUUUAUUUUUUUCUAGUUAUUUUUAUAUCAUGUUAAUUUAUAAAUCUCACUGAAUUUUAUGGUAUUUUGACAUAAUGUCGACACAUUAAUCGUGGCACAUUAGGUACUUUAUUUCAUAUUUAUCCACACACAUAGUUAGUUGAGAAUUAAAUGAUAUAAUAAUUAACUGGUAAAAGUGAGUCUAAAAAUGAGAGGGUAUUAAAAUUACAGUUUGCAUUCUGAGAAUGGAUCCCGUAGCCUUAGCUCAUUUUUAAAUCAAUUUCAAAUAAUUUCUUUGCCCCGCAAUUAAUUUUCUUUGUUUUAAAUUGCCUACUAGAUUUUAAAUUCCUUGUGGCUCGACCCCGGACUCACCAGGUUAUAUUAUAACUAGACACUCUUAUACUUGGGAGUAAUAACACUUUUGAGUUAUGUCACAAUCGAAACAAGAUCAUAAAAAAUAUUUCGAUGAAGAUACUACCCAUUUUGUGCGAGCAAAAAUUUCAGCAGAAUCUCCUCUUAAAAAUAAACAAAUCCUCAAAUACACAAAAUGAUUAAAAACACUUCCAUAUAAGCUUAAACAAUUAUAAAAAAUUAACAACUCCAUCAAUUCAUCAAGCAACGCACAUAUAAUUAUCAAUCAUCAAAAUCAUCAAGAAAUCAAAUCAUCCUAAGUUCGUGCUGAAUUUUUUAAAAAUAUUCUUCGCAAAGAGGUUUUGAUUUGUUUACCAAAUUGGCAUGCAAAAGCUAUAAGAACAUAUUAUCAACUAUCCGAGCUCCAUAAUUACUAAUCACAUUUUAGAAAUCAAGACAACUAAACUCAUCAAAGAUCUAAUGGGACAUUUCAAUAUCAACCAUCCGAGCUCCAUAAUUACUAAUCACAUUUUAGAAAUCAAGACAACUAAACUCAUCAAAGAUCUAAUGGGACAUUUCAAUAUCAACCAUCCGAGCUCCAUAAUUACUAAUCACACUACAGUUUGCAUUCUGAGAAUGGAUCCCGUAGCCUUAGCUCAUUUUUAAAUCAAUUUCAAAUAAUUUCUUUGCCCCGCAAUUAAUUUUCUUUGUUUUAAAUUGCCUACUAGAUUUUAAAUUCCUUGUGGCUCGACCCCGGACUCACCAGGUUAUAUUAUAACUAGACACUCUUAUACUUGGGAGUAAUAACACUUUUGAGUUAUGUCACAAUCGAAACAAGAUCAUAAAAAAUAUUUCGAUGAAGAUACUACCCAUUUUGUGCGAGCAAAAAUUUCAGCAGAAUCUCCUCUUAAAAAUAAACAAAUCCUCAAAUACACAAAAUGAUUAAAAACACUUCCAUAUAAGCUUAAACAAUUAUAAAAAAUUAACAACUCCAUCAAUUCAUCAAGCAACGCACAUAUAAUUAUCAAUCAUCAAAAUCAUCAAGAAAUCAAAUCAUCCUAAGUUCGUGCUGAAUUUUUUAAAAAUAUUCUUCGCAAAGAGGUUUUGAUUUGUUUACCAAAUUGGCAUGCAAAAGCUAUAAGAACAUAUUAUCAACUAUCCGAGCUCCAUAAUUACUAAUCACAUUUUAGAAAUCAAGACAACUAAACUCAUCAAAGAUCUAAUGGGACAUUUCAAUAUCAACCAUCCGAGCUCCAUAAUUACUAAUCACACUUUAGAAAUCAAGACAACUAAACUCAUCAAAGAUCUAAUGGGACAUUUCAAUAUCAACCAUCCGAGCUCCAUAAUUACUAAUCACACUUUAGAAAUCAAGACAACUAAACUCAUCAAAGAUCUAAUGGGACAUUUCAAUAUCAACCAUCCGAGCUCCAUAAUUACUAAUCACACUUUAGAAAUCAAGACAACUAAACUCAUCAAAGAUCUAAUGGGACAUUUCAAUAUCAACCAUCCGAGCUCCAUAAUUACUAAUCACACUUUAGAAAUCAAGACAACUAAACUCAUCAAAGAUCUAAUGGGACAUUUCAAUAUCAACCAUCCGAGCUCCAUAAUUACUAAUCACACUUUAGAAAUCAAGACAACUAAACUCAUCAAAGAUCUAAUGUGACAUUUCAAUAUAACUUAAAAAAUCUUAUAUGCUGAAAAUUCUUGAAGUAUAUGUAUUUUUCCCCCUUUCGAUAUCAUUUAAAACAAGUUGCACAUUCAACAAUACAUCGAUAAAGUACAAAAAAUGCAUCUAUUCGCCAAUCAUAGAUUGCAUAAGAUCAAACUUCAUCAAAUACAAUGUAAUCAUCAAAGCACAUUCUUUAUCAUCAAAACUUAAGUAAAGCAUAAGUACAUAAUGACAAUAUAUAGAUCAUCAAAAUAAACAUAGCUAUUAAGAAAAGCCAUCAUUAUGAGUAAAGAACAAGUGAUCAAAUCCAUUAUUACAAAUGCUCACAUAGGCCAAUUUAAUGAAUGAUGAUAUAAUACAAUAAAUGACAUAUGAAUUCACACAUACAUAAGUGAUGAACAAAUAAGGAAGAUGAAUAAAUAACAUUAAACAUGAUGAUAGACAAUUUAAAAGAUGAAACCAAGGAUCAUACAAUCAUCAAAAUCAAACAAAGGCAUCAUGAUAAGUUGGCAAGCUACCAUCAUGUAUAUCUAUCCAUGCAUCAUAAUUACACAGAAUAAUAAUUCUGUUAUGCAAACGUAUGGGCAUGCUUUUGCAAAUUCAAGCUAUUAUCCAUCCAUCAUGAUCCAUUCAAUAAAAUCAAUAUGGUAAGAAUUAUUACCAAAACAAUUAAAUCAUCUUACUAAUCAUUUUCUCUUAGAUCAUGAUCUAAUGAUUAUUCUCACAAGCUUUCAUCAAGAAAUUCUCUAUCAUUUCUUGAUUAUGGUACCUACAAAAAAACAAAUAUUCAAGUUGUGCUUUUUGGUACCCAAAUACUCUUGGGUCCUUGAGUUUUAGAUUUGGUUCCUUUUGGAACCCAAAUACAUUUGACUCUAUAAUAUACAUUUCUCUUAACUGGACAUCUAAAACUUAUAUGACCAUUUUGAUUGCAAUAAUGACAUACAAUUUGAUCAUUAAUGGAGGUACUCUUCAUAAAAUAGUUCUUAUAAUACUUUUGUUUCAAAUUAGGCUUAUAGCCAAUACUUCCUUUGUCAAACACAUAUUUUUGUAAAUUAAGCAAGUUAUCUAACAUCUUUUGCCCAUUUGUAAAUUUUAAGACAAUCUCAUUUAACUCAUUGCUCUUCUUCUUAAGCACUUCAUUUUCUUUCAUUAAUUCAUCAACAUGUGAUUUCUCGUGCUCAUAUGAAGUACUUUAUUUAUAUUUAAAUGAUGCAAUCCUAACAUGUAACAUUUCAUUAUCUAAUCUAAUUCUUUGAUCUUUUCAUUUAAUGAAACAUUGCAUUUUUACAGGGCGUCUUUUUCAUUUUUCAAGUCAUCUACAUGUGAUUCUAGAUGCUUGUACGAAGUGCUAGGUUUCUCAUUUGAUAAUGCAACUCUAUCAUGCAAUGUUUUAUUUUCUAAUUCUAGGCAUGUAAUCUUUGCACUUAUAGAUUCAUUUUCAUUUGUGAGCUUUAUCAUUUUCUUUUUAAGACAUACAUUCUUUUUACCAAUUUCUAUCAAAUUAUCAUGCAAUUCCUUAAAAGCAUCAUAUAAUUCAUCAUAGGUAGGAUCACCUAUUUCAUCGAGUUCGUCAUCUCCUAUUACUAUAAGUGUUGGGUUUGACACUUCUUGCGAAUCUUCUUCAUCACUCGAUUCUUCAUCGAUAUCGUCCCAAGUAGCCACUAUGACUUUCUUAUUGAGUUUGUUGAGAAGUGGACACUCCGAUCUUAUAUGACCAUGCUUUUUUGCAUUCAAAACAAACAAUUGCCUCAUUCUUCCCUUUCUCCACCUUAAGGUUUUCUCUCAUGAGAUCUUUAAAGUUUCUUCUCUUGAUUUGCUUCUUAAAGAUCCUUCUAAACUUUCUAGCAAUCAUCUCAAUGACCUUCAUCUUCAAAGUCACUUCCAUCAUCAUCACUUUCAAUUAUAGAAGAUUUAAAAGCAAAGCUCUUCUUCUUUUUAUCUUCAUCAAUUCUUUCAUUAGCUAUAUCUUCUUCAUAUGAAAUAAGUGAACUAAUAAGAUCAUCAAGUGAUAAAGUAUUAAGAUUUUUUGCUUCUUCUAUGGUCGUUCUCUUUUGUUAUAGGCAUGCAUGGUCCAUCACAAAUAACUUCUCAAAUUUCGUAAUUUAAGGCUUACAAAUAAAUUCUUAUCCUAGGUUUCCAAUAUGGGUAGUAAUUACCAUCAAAGAACAGUAGUCUAGUUGUGGAUUGUCUUUCUCUAAAAGUUGAGUCAUUUUGGGUUGCCAUGAAUCUUUUACUCUAGACGGUUAAAUCUACACAAGAGCACCUUGCUCUGAUACCAAAUGAAGUACUAUUUAAGCAACCCAAGAGGGGGGUGAAUUGGAAUUUUAAAACUUAAGCUAAACAAAACACAUAACAAUUCAAUCUAUUCCCUUAAUGAAAUAAAAAUAAUAAUAAAUUUAAUAAAGCAUAAUAAUAAAAGAUAAUGGAAGAGAGAACAAACACAAUUAGUUUUACGUAGUUCGGCAAUCCUCGCCUACGUCCAUGCCUCCAAGCUCACCAAGCUUAAGGAUUUCACUUAGCAAGCCUCUAAGGUUUCAAAUGGUUACAAUUGACUUCCAAGGUAUCAAUGGACCUUCACAACAAGAGAUUAUCCCCAAUAUCUUAACCUAAGUGUAUCCCAACACUUACAAUCUCUUAACUUGAUUUUACAAAAAAGAUUAUAAAUGAAUUUCUCUCACACAAUGUGUUUGAUCAUAAAUGAAAGCUCAAUGUGUGAAUGAAUGAGAUGAAUAUAAGGAUUUGAAAGUUGUCUGCUCAAUAUUUUGCUCAAUGAUAAUUGUUGGAAUUGUUGAAGUUUGAAUUUGAUUGAGCUUAUUUAUAGUUGAAGCUAAAAACUAGCCGUUAUUGACUUUCUGCUCACUGUCGGAUCGCCAUUAACUAGAUGUCAUAUCGUCGUUUUAACUGGUCAAUAUAACCGUUGAGCUGAAUUUUCAAAUUGUUGGAUCACCGUUUUCAAGAUGUCGGAUCGUCGUUAGUGUCCAGAGGCUAAGCUUCAAUUCUGUUUGAUGUCGGCUAACCGUGAUCAAGAUAUCGGUUAGCCUUUUGCUACAGUGACUGCUAUAGUGAACUAUUUUCUAAAAUUUAUAGUUUAGCCCCAAAACUUUAUAAAAUUAUAUUAUGGCCCAAAACUAUUUGAAACGUUUCACAUAAGACCUUCUCUAGAAUUCCAAGCAAUACUUGUUGAUUUCAAAGUUCUCAAAACUCUUUUAAUUACACCAUAAACUUGAAAAAAAAUAAAUUUCAUAAAAUUAUUUUUUCAUUAAAUAUAAAACAUUUAUAAUGUGAAAACAAUAAUUUAUUUAAAAUGUAUAAAAAAUAAUUUGAGCUUUUAAAAACUUAAUCAUUCUUAAUUUUGUUUGCUAUCAUCAAAAUCAACAUUAUGGAUACAUAAAUGUUAACAUAUUCUUCAAUCUCUAUUGUCUCUAUUAUAAGGGCCCAUUAAUGAUGAGAUCAACCCUACAUGGCGGUGAAGGGACUCGGCAAUCUCUAUUAUAAGGGCUCAUGCAUUAUAGAAUCAACCUUACACAGCAAUGAAGGGACCUGGCAAUAUCUAUUAUAAGAGCCUAUGCAUGACCUAACCCAGCAUAGCAGUGAAGAAACCCGACAAUCUCUAUUAUAAGGCCCAUUCAUGAUUUGAUCGACUCCACAUGGCGUCCAAAGUACCCUAUAAUCUCUACAUUACGGGGCUACACAUUAUGAGAGCAACCCCACAUGGCAUUCAAGGGACUCCACGAUCUCCGAUAUCUUCAUGGUAAAGACCCACGCUUAAUGAGGAUAGCCCAUUGGCCAUGAAGGGACCUAGUGAUCUUUAGUAUAAGGCCCAUGCCUAGUGAGAUCAACCCCAUAUGGCGAUGAAUGAACCCAGUGAUCUCUAGUAUAUAGGUCCACACAUGGUUAGAUCAACCCCAUAUAACGAUAAAGGAGCCUAGUACUUUCCUAUAUAAGGGCCCAUGCAUGGUGAAAUCAACCCCACAUGGCAUUUAGGAGACCCCACAAUCUCCAACGUCUCCAUCAUAUAAAGGGUCUGAAAUACUAACUAGGCAACCCAAGAAGAGGGUGAAUUGAGAUUUUAAAUUUUAAACUAAGCAAAUCACAAAACAAUUUAAUUUAAUGCCUUAAUGGAAUAAAAAAAUAAUAAAUUCAACAAAGCACAAUAAUAAGAUAGUAAGGGAAGAGCAAACAAACACAAUGAUUUUUACAUGGUUCGGCAAUCUCUGCCUAUGUCCACGCCUCCAAGCUUACCCAGCUUGAGAAUUUCACUAUCCAAGCCUCCCAAGGCUUCAAGUUCUUUACAAUUGACUUCUAAGGCGUCAAUGAACCUUUACAAUCAAGAGAUUAUCUCUACAAUCUCUUCACCCCAAGUGUUUCUCAUACUUGUACACUUAUAAUUUAAUAAGAAAUGAAAAUUACAACAAACAACUCUCUUUUAGAGUGGAUAUACAAAUGAUAGCCCAAUAAAGAUUUAAUCUAUCAUGAUUUGCAAAAUUGAAGCUCAAUAUAUGUUGUGUGCACUUGUUUAUGCUUGCAAAGAUUACCAAAGAUGAAUUGGAUUUAAGUUUAUAUAGUUUAAGCUCAAAAACUAGCCUUUAUAGACUUUUUGGUGAUAACCAGCUUGCUGCUUUGUGAAUUCGGUUAACCGCUUUUAUGUUACUGUUAUAGCAAAUAUUUGAAUUUUGAAACAUCUGGCAUGCCGCUUUCGGAAUCCGGUUAGCCGCUUUCAUUCCAAUAAGCUACUGCCUAAAAUCCAAUCUACUGCUUGUCAAAUUCGGUUAGCUGCUUGCAACAGUGACUACUACAGUGAAUUAUUUUUCAAAAUUAUAGUUUUGAUCCAAAACUUUAUAGAAUUAUGCUAUGGCCCAAAAGUCAUAAAAUCUUGCACAAAGGUCCAAUUUCAUAAUUUCUAAAUAAUGCUUGUUAUUUCUGAAACUUUAUGAAAUUAUGAUAUCUCUCAAAAUGCUAUGAAAAUUUUAAAAUAAGUCCUCCUCCAAAAUUCCAAGCAAUACUUGUUGAUUUCAAAAUUUUCAAAACUCUUUCAAUUAGACCAUAAACUUGAAAAACAACCAAUUUUAUAAAAUCAUUUUUCCAUUAAAUACAAAACCUUUAUAAUGUGAAAAUAAUGAUUUAUUUAAAAUGUAUAAAAAAUAAUUUGAUCUUUUAAAAACUUAAUCAUUCUUAAUUUUAUUUGUUAUCAUCAAAAUCAACAUCAUGGAUAUAUAAAUGUUAACAGGGCCUACGCUGUUAACAUAUAUGUUUCCAUAAUGUUGAUUUUGAUGAUAACAAACAAGAUUAACAAAAAAAAUAUUUUAAAUAAAUCAUUUUUUUUCACAUUAUAAAUGUUUUAUAUUUUAAUGGAAAAAUGAUUUUAUGCAAUUGAUUGUUUUUAUUCCUUUUGAAUAAAUCAUUAUUUUCACUUUAUAAAUGUUUCAUAUUUAAUGGAAAAAUGAUUUUAUGAAAUUGGUUGUUUUUCAAAGUUUAUGGUUUAAUUGAAAGAAUUUUGAAAACUUUGAAAUAAACAAGUAGUGCUUAAAAUUUCGGAUUUGAAAUUGUGCUAAAAUUCACAAAUGGGCAAAACUGCUGUACGGCCAAGGCGGAUGUACGGUACAGCAGUAUGGGAUUAAAGCAUUUUGGACUAAAAUGAAAGUAAUUUUAAAAUCUUUGAUAGUAUUUUAAAUUUCGGAUUUGGACCUAUUUGAAACUAUUUAAAUAUUUUUGGAUCAUUCUAUAAUUUCACAUAGUUUGGGCAAAGUCAUAAUUUCAGAAAGUUGUGGGAUUGAGAAAGCAUUAUUUAAAAUUCUAAAAUUGGACCUAUUUGCAAACUUUUAUAACCUUUUGGACCAUACUACAGUUUUAUAAAGUUUUGGGGUCAAACUGUAAAUAUCAGGAAAUGUUUUACUGUAGCAGUUACUGUAGCAAGCGGCUUACCGGAUACUGAUAAACGGCAGGCCGAAUUCGGGCAGUAAACACCAGAACGAAAACGGCUUACCGGAUUCCGAAUCCGGCAAGCCGGUUAGGCAAAAUUUUGAAUUUUGCCUUAACGGUAACAUAAAUCCGGCUUACCGGAUUCCAUUAAACGGCAAACCGGAUACGCCUGGAAUGUGAGUAACGGCUAGUUUUUGAGCUCAAGCUAUAAAAACUCAAAUCCAACUCAUUUUGAAGCUCUCCAACAAGCAAAAACAAAAGGCACACAUGAUAUCUUGAGCUUACAACUUGCAAAACACAAAACAUUGAAUCAUUCAUUGUUCUUCAUCUUUGAAUAUCUACUCAUUGAGUGAGUUUGAUUGUAACUUUCAUUUCUUCAUUUCAUUUGUAAGAGUUUGAGUGUGUGAGACACUUGAGUGAAGAGAUUGGGAGAUAAUCUCUUUGUUGUAAAGGUUUAUUGACACCUCGAAGUCAAUUGUAAUUGUUAAAGCCUUGGAAAGGCUUGGAUAGUGAAAUCCUCAAGCCCGGUGUGCUUGGAGGCGUGGACGUAGGCGGGGAUAGCCGAACCACGUAAAAAUCAUUGUGUUCGUUUUUCUCUUCCCUUACUCUUUUAAUUAUUGUGCCUUUAUUGAACUUAUUGCUUUCAAUUUUUAUUAAAACAUUAGAUUGCUUGUUGUGUGGAUUUGCUAGGAUAAUUUUUAAAUUUCCAAUUCACCCUCCCUCUUGGGUUGCACACUUAUAUUUCAUUUGGUAUCAGAGCGAGGUGCUCUUGUGUAGACUUAACCGUCUAGAGUUAAAGAUCCAUAGCAACCCAAAUUAGCUCAACCAUCAUGGAAGGCCAAUCUAUCACUAGACCUCCGUUUUUCGACGGAAAUGAUUAUCCUUAUUGGAAAACUAGGAUGAGAGUAUUUUUACAAGCCUUAGAUUAUGAACUAUGGGAAAUAGUUUGUGAUGGUUCAUUCAUUCUUAGGAAGAAUGCUUUAAGUGAGUUGGAUAAGAAAAAUAUGUCUUUAAAUUCCAAGGCCAUGAAUGCUUUAUUUUGUGCCUUAGAUAAAAAGGAAUUUCAUAGAAUUUCUAAUUGUUCUAAUGCUUAUGAAAUUUGGAGAAAGCUUGAAAUUGUGUAUGAGGAGACUACGAGCGAGGAGGAAUUUCAUGAAGUGUCGAAUUUGGCACUUAUGGCAAUUGGAGAUGAAUCGGAUGAUGAUCUUGAUGAGGUAAAUGAUCUUUUUACUUAUGAUGAAUUAUAUGAUGCUUUUAAAGAAUUGCAUGAUAAUUGGAUAAAAAUUGGUAAAAAGAAUGCAUGUCUUAAAAAGAAAAUGGUAGAGCUCAAAAAUGAAAAUGAAUCUCUAUGUGCAAAGAUUACAUGCCUAGAAUUAGAGAAUAAAACAUUGCAUGAUAAAGUUGCAUUAUCAAAUGAGAAACUUAGCACUUCACAUGAGCAUCUAGAAUCACAUGUAGAUAACUUGAAAAAUGAAAAGGAUGCUUUACAAAAAUGCAAUGAUUCAUUAAAUGAAAAGAUUAAAGGACUAGAGUUAGAUAAUAAAAUGUUGCAUGAUAGAAUUGCAUCAUUUAAAGGUAAACAAAGUAUUUCAUAUGAGCAUGAAAAAUCACAUGUUGAUGAGUUGAUGAAAGAAAAUGAAGUGCUUAAGAGAAAGAGUAAUGAGCUCAAUGAAAUUGUUUUGAAAUUCACAAAUGGGCAAAAGAUGUUGGAUAACAUGCUUAAUUCACAAAAAUGUGUGUUUGAUAAAGGAGGAAUUGGUUAUAAGCCAAAUUUGAAACAAAAGUAUUAUAAGAACUACUUUGUGAAGAGUACAUCUAUUAACAAUCAAGUUGUAUGUCAUUAUUGUAAUCAAAACGGUCACAUGAAGUUUGGUUGUCCUAUUAAAAGAAAAGUAUAUUGUGGAGUAAAAUGUGUUUGGGUUCCAAAAGGAACAAUUGCUAACACUCAAGGACCCAAUAGUAUUUGGGUACCAAAGGGCACAGCGUGAAUGUUUUCUUUGUAGGUACCACAAUCAAGGAAUGGUGGAGAAGUUCCUUGAUGAAAGCUUGUGAGGAUAAUCAUUUGAGCAUGAUCUAGGAGAAAAAGAUGAGGCAAGAUAAUUUAAUUGUUUUGGUAACAAUUCUUGCCAUAUUAAUUUUGUUGAAUGAAUCAUGAUAAAUGAAAUUGCGAAAGUAUGCUUGUAUGUUUACAUGAUGGAAUUAUCAUUGUGUGUAAUAUUGAGUGAUUUAUCAUGAUGGAUUUGUUUGAUGUUAAUGUUUAUGAAGUGUUUAAGCAUGAUAGUUAAGUGGUGUGUUUAAUUUAUUCACUUUUGAAUGUUUAUAUGUUUAAUUAUUGUGAAAAUCUCUAGUCUGCACAAGUUGUAAUGAAUUAGUCAUAACUCCUUCUAGAGAACUCAAAAUCCAGCUCUGUAAAAUUUAUUGGAAAGCUAACUUAAUUAUCUUUCCAACGGUAUAUAGCUUGCAUGUUACUUUCUGCCUCAAAUCGGACUACCGGUUAGCAAAACCGGAAAGCCGGAUUUGCAAGGAACGCUUGCUGGACCAAACCGGAUUUCCGGUUCUGUCAAUUCGGAAUUCCGAAUUCGAGCUGCAUUUUGGCAAAUCGGCAAGCCGAUUCUCUCUUGCUAUCUUCUGGAUCCAACCGGCAAGCCGGUUCGUGUUAUCCGGAAAACCGGAUUUGCGUGAAACAUUUGCUAGAACCAACCGGAUUUCCGGUUAAGCUCAUUUGGCAAUCCGGUUUCGGGUGCUAUUUCAACUAUUCAUCUUCUCCCUCUCUUUCGGCUUUCCGUUUCUCUCUUUCUCACUAAAAGCCGAUUACUCCUCACUUGAUUUCAUUCCAAAAUCCAUCAUUCUCAUUCGUUUUCAAUCCAAAUUGAUUCAUAUAAAUUAUUCUCAUCCAUUCUUGUGUCUAAAAUCAUCUCUAAAAUCGUUUUAAUUGAUUCAAACUUACACUUUUUACUCAAUAUCUUAAAAAAUUUGAAUUUGUGCAUUUUGAAUAUUUCAAAUUACCACUUCCAUAGUGUGCUCUCCUUAUGGAUUUUACCAUAGUUUUCUAUUAUAUUAUGCACCUACAUUUUCAUAUGCAUUGUUGCUUUCAUUGUGGAUUGAUGAUGAUUAUUGUUUGAUAUUUGGAUGCAAAUGUUUUAUUUUGAGCACAAAAAAUAAUCUUGGCAAAUUUGAUCCAAAAUUUGAUGUUGGUAUUUCUCUUGGCUAUUCAAACACAAGCAAAACUUAUGGAGUGUAUAUCAAAAGAACUUUGAUUGUGGAAGAAUUUAUACAUGUUAUAUUUGAUGAGUCUAAUUCUUCCUCUAUGGAGAAAGUUGUUGUUGAUGAUAAUGUAGAUGAAAAGCUACAAGAAGAUUAUCAAAUGAUAGCCAAAAGAAUGCACCACUUGAAAAUCAAGAGGAGCAACAUGAAGAAACAAAUGCGGAGUAAAAUGAAAGUGCUUCUCAAACACUCCCUAAAGAGUGGAGGUAUGUUUCUUCUCACCUUAAGAACUUAAUUUUGAGAGAUCCAUCACAAGGUGUAACUACUAUAUCAUCUCUUAAAAAUAUAUAUGAGCAUUUGUAAUAAUGGAUUUGAUCACUUGUUCUUUAACUCAUCAUUAUGGCUUUUCUUAAUAGUCAUGUUGAUUUUGAUGAUCUAUAUAUUGGCAUAUGUUGAUUUUGAUGAUUUAUAUAUUGCCAUUAUGUACUUAUGUUUUUACUUAAGUUUUGAUGAUAAAGAAUGUGCAUUGAUGAGUACAUUAUAUUUGAUGAAGCUUGAUCUUAUGCAAUCUAUGAUUAGUGAAUGAAUGCAUUUUUUGUACUUUAUCGAUGUAUUAUUGAAUAUGUCUUACUUAUUUUAAAUGAUAUCGAAAAAGGGGGAGAAUGAUUUAAUUUGUGUUAUGAAAAUAUAUGCAUGUAUCUAGGGGGAGCAUGUAUGCAGGGGGAGUUUUUAUUAAACUAUUUACAAGAAGAUUAUCAAAUGAUAGCCAAAAGAAUGCACUACUUGAAAAUCAAAAGGAGCAACAUGAAGAAACAAAUGCGGAGUAAGAUGAAGGUACUUCUCAAANNNNNNNNNNNNNNNNNNNNNNNNNNNNNNNNNNNNNNNNNNNNNNNNNNNNNNNNNNNNNNNNNNNNNNNNNNNNNNNNNNNNNNNNNNNNNNNNNNNNNNNNNNNNNNNNNNNNNNNNNNNNNNNNNNNNNNNNNNNNNNNNNNNNNNNNNNNNNNNNNNNNNNNNNNNNNNNNNNNNNNNNNNNNNNNNNNNNNNNNNNNNNNNNNNNNNNNNNNNNNNNNNNNNNNNNNNNNNNNNNNNNNNNNNNNNNNNNNNNNNNNNNNNNNNNNNNNNNNNNNNNNNNNNNNNNNNNNNNNNNNNNNNNNNNNNNNNNNNNNNNNNNNNNNNNNNNNNNNNNNNNNNNNNNNNNNNNNNNNNNNNNNNNNNNNNNNNNNNNNNNNNNNNNNNNNNNNNNNNNNNNNNNNNNNNNNNNNNNNNNNNNNNNNNNNNNNNNNNNNNNNNNNNNNNNNNNNNNNNNNNNNNNNNNNNNNNNNNNNNNNNNNNNNNNNNNNNNNNNNNNNNNNNNNNNNNNNNNNNNNNNNNNNNNNNNNNNNNNNNNNNNNNNNNNNNNNNNNNNNNNNNNNNNNNNNNNNNNNNNNNNNNNNNNNNNNNNNNNNNNNNNNNNNNNNNNNNNNNNNNNNNNNNNNNNNNNNNNNNNNNNNNNNNNNNNNNNNNNNNNNNNNNNNNNNNNNNNNNNNNNNNNNNNNNNNNNNNNNNNNNNNNNNNNNNNNNNNNNNNNNNNNNNNNNNNNNNNNNNNNNNNNNNNNNNNNNNNNNNNNNNNNNNNNNNNNNNNNNNNNNNNNNNNNNNNNNNNNNNNNNNNNNNNNNNNNNNNNNNNNNNNNNNNNNNNNAUUGUUUAAAUACAUGAAAUGUUUGUCAUCAUCAAAAAGGGGGAGAUUGUUAACAUAUAUGUUUCCAUAAUGUUGAUUUUGAUGAUAACAAACAAGAUUAACAAAAAAAAUAUAUUUUAAAUAAAUCGUUUUUUUUUCACAUUAUAAAUGUUUUAUAUUUUAAUGGAAAAAUGAUUUUAUGCAAUUGAUUGUUUUUAUUCCUUUUGAAUAAAUCAUUAUUUUCACUUUAUAAAUGUUUCAUAUUUAAUGGAAAAAUGAUUUUAUGAAAUUGGUUGUUUUUCAAAGUUUAUGGUUUAAUUGAAAGAAUUUUGAAAACUUUGAAAUAAACAAGUAGUGCUUGAAAUUUCGGAUUUGGACCUAUUUGAAACUAUUUAAAUAUUUUUGGGCCAUUCUAUAAUUUCAUAAAGUUUGGGCGAAGUCAUAAUUUCAGAAAGUUGUGGGAUUGAGAAAGCAUUAUUUAAAAUUCUGAAAUUGGACCUAUUUGAAANNNNNNNNNNNNNNNNNNNNNNNNNNNNNNNNNNNNNNNNNNNNNNNNNNNNNNNNNNNNNNNNNNNNNNNNNNNNNNNNNNNNNNNNNNNNNNNNNNNNNNNNNNNNNNNNNNNNNNNNNNNNNNNNNNNNNNNNNNNNNNNNNNNNNNNNNNNNNNNNNNNNNGUUACUGUAGCAAGCGGCUUACCGGAUACUGAUAAACGGCAGGCCGAAUUCGGGCAGUAAACACCAGAACGAAAACGGCUUACCGGAUUUCGAAUCCGGCAAGCCGGUUAGGCAAAAUUUUAAAUUUUGCCUUAACGGUAACAUAAAUCCGGCUUACCGGAUUCCAUUAAACGGCAAACCGGAUACGCCUGGAAUGUGAGUAACGGCUAGUUUUCGAGCUCAAGUUAUAAGAACUCAAAUCCAACUCAUUUUGACUCUCUCCAACAAGCAAAAACAAAAAGCACACGUGAUAUCUUGAGCUUAUAACUUGGCAAACGCAAAUCAUUGAAUCAUUCAUUGUUUUUCAUCUUUGAAUAUCUACUCAUUGAGUGAGUUUGAUUGUAACUUUCAUUUCUUCAUUUCAUUUGUAAGAGUUUGAGUGUGUGAGACACUUGAGUGAAGAGAUUGGGAGAUAAUCUCUUUGUUGUAAAGGUUUAUUGACACCUCGAAGUCAAUUGUAAUUGUUAAAGCCUUGGAAAGGCUUGGAUAGUGAAAUCCUCAAGCCCGGUGUGCUUGGAGGCGUGGACGUAGGCGGGGAUAGCCGAACCACGUAAAAAUCAUUGUGUUCGUUUUUCUCUUCCCUUACUCUUUUAAUUAUUGUGCCUUUAUUGAACUUAUUGCUUUCAAUUUUUAUUAAGACAUUAGAUUGCUUGUUGUGUGGAUUUGCUAGGAUAAUUUUUAAAUUUCCAAUUCACCCUCCCUCUUGGGUUGCACACUUAUAUUUCAUACGCAUGAUGGGUGCUCCUAACAUGUCAUUUAAAGAUCCCCAUACUCUUCAACAAAGCAACUCAGAUCCUACGCACGGGGGACGCCCUGCAUGACGAUGAGUUAAUCCCGCAAGAUCUCUAGGAACCAUGCAUGCUUGGGAUUAAAAUAAAUGUCCUAACCGUUGCGAAGAGCGUUAGGCAGGAUACAUGAAAUAUAUGCCCCGAGUGCAGCGAAGAGCCCCAAGCGCAUGCCUUGACUGCAGCAAAGAGUCUUCGGCGUAGUAAAUGAAAUAAAUACUGUGAGUGUGGCGAAAAGCCCCAAGUGUAACACAUGAAAUAAAUGCCCCGAGUGUGGCAAAGAGCCCCAGGUGCGACACAUUAAAAUAAAUGCCCUAAGCGCAGCGAAGAGCUUCAGGUGCGACAUAUGAAAUAAAUGCUCCUAGCGCGUUGAAGAGCCCCGGGUAUAACACAUGAAAUAAAUGCCCUGAGCGUGCCGAAGAGCCCCUGGUGUGAUAAAUAAAAUAUAUGUCUCAGAGUGCAGUGAAGAGUCCUGACACGACUCAAAAGUGUAUUACUCCUAAGUAUAAGAGUGUCUAGUUAUAAUAUAACCCAGUAAGUUCGGGGUUGAACCACAGGGAAUUUUAAAUCCAGUAGUCAAUUUAAAAAUAUGCUAAGGUUCGAGAUCCACUCUCUGUAUUCAAACUAUAAUUUUAAUACUCUCUCAUUUAUAUUUUGCCCUCACUUUUACCAAUUAAUUAUUAUAUCAUUUAAUUCUCAACUAACUAUGCGUGUGGAUAAAUAUGGAAUAAAGUACCUAAAGUGCCACACUAUAUUAAUGUAUCGACAUUAUGUCAAAAUACCAUACAGAUCCAAAGAAAUUUAUAAAUUAACAUGACAUAAAAAUAACUAGAAAAGAAUAAAAUAAACUUAAAAAUUCAUUUGAGAAAAUAAUAAAUUUAAUAGUUUGAAACAUUAAGCUUCACGUUUCACCUCAACUUAGUAAAAUUAGCCACUCAUAUUGAAAGAAAACAUAACACUCUUUUUAUUUCAUAAACUUUUGAAAUAUGUUACAAGGAAAAUUGAUACAAAAGGAAACAAGAAAAGAAAAUAAAGAAAGACAGAAAUUCUUCAGUUCCCUUUUGGCUACAACUCUCUCUCUCUCUGCUUAAGCUUCUCUACUAGCCUCCUCAUUCGCUUGCAUCCCUUUGCCUUUUAUAGGCAAGGGAAUCAUCUUCUUUUCUUUUAUUUUAUUAAUAAUAUUAAUAUUUUUUUUUAUAUUAUAUAUACAUAUUGAAUUGUGUGAUGGUCAUUUUUAAAAUAAUAUCUCCUCGAUUGAUGAAUUUCAAAUUGCUCCAGGUGUCCUUCUUUGUUCCAAGUUUCAACUCCAAUCCCAUCUUUAUUCCUGAAAAAUAUUUACAAGAUAAAAAUUAACAGAUUGUGAAUUAAUUUAACAUAAAAUAUAUUUGGGGAGUAUUAAAAUAAUUUAGAAAUAAUGAAUGCAUUAAUUGACACAAUAAGUGAAAAACUAAUAAUUUUAUCCUUAUUAGAUGUACACUUUUUAAUGUCAAUCAAGUCCCAAGCGUGACAUAUAAAAUAAAAGGUUCGAGUGCUGCAAAGAGUCCUGAGCUCGAUAAAUAACAUAAGAGCCUCAAGCGCAGCAAAGAGCCCUGAGUGUGGCAAAUAAUGCAAGCCCCUAAGCAUGCAAAUAAAGUAAAGGUCUUAGGUGCAAUAAUAGAAUGCAGAGUUAGCUCUCUUAACUUUAAGGGUGCCACCCAAGAGCUACUAAUUGUGGCCUUUUUCUCCAAUCUCAUGGCUCUCAACGCCAGCAUCCUUACUCAUAGUAAAGUUUCUCGUGCCAGCAUCUCCUGUAUCCAAUUGAUUAGUAGGAGUCACACUGAUGUAGCAGAAGUUUAAUGUUCAAAUAUUUGCAUUGAUUCUUGAGAGUACUGGAAUAAAAAGAACAAUCUUAAUUCAUGUUGAUUUAAAAAGAAUAUUUUGGACUUAGGGGGCUAAAACUCAUCGAUUCCGCAGAAUGCCAAAAAUUAACUAAACUCAAAAGUUCACAAAAAGUCUUGAAAAUUGAUAAUAUUAUUGAACUCAAAUCUCCUUCAAGGGCUACAAGAGAUGAUUUUUAUAUUAGUAGUAAUUAUCCUAAACCAUGAAUUAAAAUGAAAAAAAAAGUUCUAAACUAGAAAGGAAAACAAAGUCUAAAUUUUAGAUAAUAAGAAAAUUAAUUCAAAUAUGAUAAGAAAUCAUAAUCUGCAUCACAUACUUGUAUCACGAUAAGUAUCGGCACAUCCAGGACCAUCCCCUUGGAACUAUAUUGGGAAGAUCCCUCAUUUUUCAUGUAGAUGAUUCGGGGACUCUCCCCAUAUCAUGCACGAAGUGUUCCUAUCACUUGAGCAUAAGACAAAAAUUCGAACCACUUUGAGAUAGUCCACCCCGAUGCAUAACGAUAGUUUAAUGCCAUACACUAAGUCUGCUGCUUCGAAUCAAGUGCUUUCUCUUCAGCCUACUCCUUAGCUCUCUUCUCUCAACCGCAACCAAAAUUCAACAGCUUCUUAAAGGAGCUCCUCUCCUCACGGGACCUCUAUUUAAGAUCUACCACCUCUUUGUGGAGCUUCCUUACUAUUUAAUGUUGGAGAAUAAAUAUUUACAAAGGGUAAAAUCAUCGUUUGGCAUUCUAAGCCUCGCUAACAUUUCUACUUUUAUGUAUUUAAGUCUUUCAAACUUUGAUUGUGUGUGUUUUGUUAUAAUUUGAGUAUUUUAUGCAUUUCAUAGGUAUUUUGGUCUUUUUAAAAUUAACAAGAAAUCGAACAGCAAAAUAGAUUGCAUUUUUAGCUCAAAACAACUGAAAACCUUAGGAAUGGCAUAAAGGGCAAAAUUAUAAAUUUUAGGAUUUUUGUGGGACGUUGACUAGUUGAGGUGGCAUUGACCAGCUGAGAGGAAUGGACCAGCUGAUGUGACAUUGACUUAUUAUGUGGCAGCAUACUAUUGAAAUGAAAAAUGUUGAUGUGGCAUUGAUCGAUAAAGUGGCAUUAACCUAUGACGUGGCAGUAUCCUAUUGGACCGAAAGAUAUUGAUGUGGCGUUGACGGAUGAUGUGGUACCAUAUUACUGGACCUAAUGAUGUGUUUUAACUAAUUAGAUAUUGCCAUGUGGCAUAAUCCUGAGCGUCCAAAUUGUUUUCAUUUGAUGAUUGUAAUUUACUCAUUGUAUCUAUAAAUAAGGGUUUCUCCUGAUUUAAUAGCUCUGAAAGCUUCAUUUUUUUGUAAUUCUCACUCUAUCUUAUAUUUUCUAUGUAUUUCAAUACAAUUAACAUUUUACCCCUAGUUCAAUUAUGAGUGACUAAUUUAAUUUCUAGUUUGAGUUGAAGGUGAAGCCUCCAUAAGAUCCAUGGGCUUAAUUUGGUAAGUUUAUUUUUUUCUCUCUAAUUUAAGUGGUUUUUUUACUCAUUAUCAACAGAUAGUGUAUCUUGUUUUAUUUUGUACGAUAUACAGCUCCCUAGUAAAAGAUCGUUAUUGUUUAGCACAAUGAGCAUUUUACACCAUAUUUAUUGGAAAGAGGCUCUUCUCUAGUGUUUAUGGGUCGUCUGACUUAGUGUUGAUAAAGAGUGCAUUUAAGUUAUUUAGUAGGCGGUCUUGCCACAUUGUUGAUAGAAUGAUUAUUAUCAUCUAACAUAGAGGUGGGCAUUUGGUUUGGUUUUUAACGAACCGAACCGAAUUGAUAUUUUUCGAUUCGGUUCGAUUUGAUUCUAAAGAUAAAAUCCGAAUGAUUUGGAAAUUAAAGAACCGAUUGGUUUGUAUUCGGUUCUUUCUUUAAAAAUAAAAAAUAUUUUAAUAUUCAUAUAUAUAGGUAAAGUGAACAGAAACCUAAAUCCCACACACUCAUCUCUCAAACACAGCAGUAACACACCAUCCCUCACACUCCCACAUUCUGAUAAGCACAUCAUAUUUCUACCACCAGUAACCGCUCCUCUCUGACACCAUACAUGCAGCUGGCAACUACUCUUUUUGCACCACACAACCAUCAUCAACUUUUAGCACAACCACCUAUCAGCCACCGGCCGUUUGUCACAACCCCACAACAGCCGUCCUUCAGCUGCAAUCAUCGCAGGCCGUCGACCACCACACAAAGAUUCAUAGUUUCUUCUUAUUUCUCUCAUAACAAAUAUUAUAGAUCUAGAUCUAUUUCUUUGUCUAAGUGCAGUAACAAUAUUAAAUUUUGAUUUUUUCCAGCUUUGUUUUAGGUAUUUGUAACUGUUGCGGACUUUCUAGCUUUUAAUGUAUUGUAUUUGUUGCUGUUGCCGAUUGGUAGCUUUGACACCCAUGUGUUGGCCUCGUUUGGUUGUUGGAAAAAUUGUGAUUUUGAAGGCCUUGUUUGGUUAUUAAAAAUGUUGAUAUUGAAACCCUAUGUACAGGCCUUGUUUGUGUUGUGGGAAAAUGGUGAUUUUGAAACCCAUGAGAUUUUUGGUUUGUUAUUAUUAUUUUGACAAUGAAAAAAAAAAUAUAUUUUUUUUGUUUUUUGUCGAUUUAUAAUGUGUUGGGGCUUUAUUAUUUUUGCUGAAUUUUAUUUCAUUGUAUGUAAUGUUAAUACUACGUGUAGUUUAAUACAUGAGAAAAUAUAGACUUGAAACCGAAAAGAACCAAAAUAACUCGAACUGAACCGAACCAAAAUUCACAACCGAAACUGAACCGAAUAAAAAAAUUUCAAUUCAGUUUGGUUUUAAAUUUCGAGUUGCGUUCGGUUCUAGUUUGAGAGAAUCGAUUCGUUUUAGUUCGGUUCCGUUUUCUAUCUAAACCGAACCAAACCGAGAUAGAAAAUCGAACUGAACCAUAUAGUGCCCAGCCCUAAUUUGACAUAACAUGUACUUGACAUCAUAUUUAGAGAAAGAUCAUUACCCUCUGACACAUUGAGCGCUUGAUAUAAUUUUUAUUAGAGUGAAGCUUAUGAGGAGUGAAAAUAACCCCUCAUAAAUUAAUUCGAACUAAAAAUGAAUAUUAAGCCCAUGGUAAAGUAUUAAGUGUGAAUCUAGAUACUCAAGUGUUUUAUUUGAAUUAUUCUCAUCAUUAAUUUAUUCCCACCACUUUUAUUUUAAAUUUUAAUAUUGCUAAAAAAUCAUUUCCAGCCAAUUCAUAUACACACGUAAAAAAUUAACCUUGGACAUAAGUAAAUCUCCAUCCCUGUGGGAUCGACACUACUCAUCACUAUAAAUCUAUACUGUAAUAGAUUUGUGCACUUGUAAGUACAAUAAAAUUUGCAUAACACCUACCUCUAACAACAACUAGGAAUUUCAUUCCAAGAUCUCGUUUGUUACUGUCUACGAGUAAUGUUUAUAGUACUAUUCAUCAUACAUAUUCACUACACUGUUCACAUUUACUGUUCAUUCAUCAUAAAUAUGCUAGAAACAGUAAAUUAUAAAAAAUAAAACAUACAAAGGAUUUUUAUGUGGUUCAAAUUACAAUCCUACAUCCAUAAGGACAUGCCUAAAUAAUAAGCUUUACUAAGUAAUGUAAAGAUUACAACUUAUUGAAUUCUCACACAAUUUCAAACACCCUCUUACUCUUAUUGCCACCUUGUUGUAUCUAACUUAGUCAAUCUUGCUUAACGCCUUAAUCUUUAAUUGAGUUUACUAUUUUCUUUGGAAUCCUCUCAACAUAACAAACGACAUCUUCAUCUUGAAGAGACUGAAGUAAAAAUAAAGAAUGUUGAUUAGUGUUAAAAAUUGUAUGUUUAUUAAGGGAUAAAAAUGUUAUUUUGUGCUAUUAAUGUAAUUUAUAUUUGCAAUUGUGUAACAUAUUGUGAAUUUCUAAUUAUUUUUCUAAGUAUUUGAUUUUGUGUAUUUUUGUGUGUUUAUUAGGUAAAAAUAAUAAUUUCAUGCAAUUUGAGGCUCCAAACAAAUGUAUGGAUGUCAAAUGUGGAUUCCAGAAAUUCGAGAAAUUAUGUCAUUGUCGAAGAGGAUCCGAGACUUUUGUUGUAAAUUUUUACGUUUUUACCAUGGUAAAUGCGGUAACUUUAAGAUUAUAAGUUUUUAUUAUAUUAAGUAUUGUAAUUGUUAGUGAAAUGUGUUGGAUAUGCUUGAGUGGAUUAAGUUAGGUUUAUAUUUUAUUAGUGGGAUUAUUAGUGAGACAAAUGUAAGGUUAAGAUGUAAUUAGAUUUUUUUAUUUGUGUGGUGUGGAUUUACCAUGUAUUAGUAUAAAUAGAGAGGUAGUGAACACAGCUCUACACACCUUCUCUUCUCUUCUUUCCCCCCAAAUUCUUCUUCUCAUCUCUCUUUAUAAUAUAUUUUCAAUCAAUAAAAUUAGUUUUAUUUCAAUUUUUAAAUUCCAUUUUUUUUAAUUAUGUGUUUUUCAAUUGAAAUAAUUUCCUUUAUUUCAAAAAUGUUUAACUAAAUAUUCAUAGUUAUAGGAAGGUGAAACUCUUAGUAAAAAAUAUUGUUUAAUCAAAUUCUAUUUUUAAUUUUAUAAAUUAAAUUGUUUUCUAUUUAAUUUUAUCCAUAUUUUAUAUUUUGAAAUUUUGAUUUAGUGUAGACAAAAAUAGGAAUUUGGCACAAUGAAUUCCUAAUAUCUUAGUAUAAAAUAUGGAAAAAUGUUAUUUUGAUUUAGUGUAACAAAUUAAGUUUUGGCACAUUAAAUUCUUAAUCCACAAUAAAAUAAAUGGGAAAAUAAUUUUAAUUUAUACAAUUAAUCUUUUGGGAAAUAAAAUAAAAAUAAAAAGAAUUUGUUAAAUUGUAUUUAUUACUAAGAGUGGAUCCAUAACCCUAAUUAAUUUAAUUUUAUACUUUUCUUAAAUAAAUUACAUAUUUUUUAAAUUUUAUUCUUAUUUGGAUAAAUUUAAGUGAACAAAUUAAAUCGUUUCUCUGUGGAUCGACCUCGAACUCACCGAGUUAUAAUAUUACAAGACACUUUUAUACUUGGAACUAGAAAUCACAUUUAAGUCGUGUCAAGUUUUUGGUGCCGUUGCCGAGGAGAGUUAUUUAUUUUGUUUUAUUUUUCUUUUUUUUGUAAAUUUUCUUUUACCCCCUUUUUCUUUUCUUAAAUUCUGCUCUAUCCCCAAAUCUUUCAUAAUUCUAGUUUCACCCUAAAUAUUCUCGUUUUUGGCUCAUUCUUCUCAUAAUUACAAUUUGACCACACAAUCAUAGAAAACUUUCACAUAGGUCCCUAGCCAAAAUUUCCCAUAAAUCUCAAAUUCGGACCUAUAACUUAAACUUCUUUGGACUUGAUUUGGACUCAAUAAAAAGAAUUUUGACUUUAAAAAUUACGAGGCCCAUUAAUUUGAAUAAAUCACUUAAUUGAUUGGUAAUUUUUAAAAUUAAAAAAAAAAAAGAGCCUACACUUUAAUUAUUUCUCUUCUUUUUUUUCUUCUUUUAUUUAUUUUUGCAAUUUAAUUUUUUCAUUUAUUUUAUUUUUCUUUUUGGUUUUUACUUUGUUUAUAUGUUUGGUUUAUUGCCUAUUUAGUUAUUUUAAUUUUAGUUAAUUAAUUUUUAAUUUAUUUAUUUUUGUCUUGUAUUUUUUUUGUACAUUUAUCUUGUUUAUUUAAUUUUUCUUUUGUCUUUAAUUUGUGUAAUUUUCAGUCUUCUUUUUUUUUAUUUGUUUGUAAAUCAUUUUUUAUACUCACACAUUAUCAUCAUUGCAUGAGACGUUGGUCUCGAAGUUCAAGUGGCAGGUUAAUUCGUAGAUCUCAAUCACCACCACCAAUCAUGGAUGAGAUCCAAGACGAAAAUAUUUUAGGCCAACUUAAUCCUCCAGUUUAUCAAGGACACAAUCAAUCUCAACAUGAUCAGAAUCAACCGAGAACUUUGAGAGAUUACAUAAAUCCAACAAGAAUCGGAGCACUGUCGUGUAUAGUAUUUCCUCCAGAAGCAUCUUGAUUCAACUUCAAAUCAGGUAUUAUCCAACUUUUACCAACAUUUCAUGGUUUAGAAUCUAAGAAUCCAUACUUGCAUCUAAGAGAUUUUGAGGAAGUUUGUAAUACAUACACAGACCAAAAUUGUAGCAUGAACAUAAUUAGAUUAAUGCCUUUUUCCUUUUUCAUUAAAAGAUAAAGCUAAAACUUGGCUACAAAACCUUAGAUCUGAAUCAAUAAGAACUUGAAACUUUUUAUUCGGUCUUUGGAAUCGAUGUGGAAAUUCUAUGGCUCGAAUCUUUAGUAUUCUCUUAUUUAUUACAUGUAUCUACUAUUUAGGCAGAAUAUCCUCACCCAUAACAUGUAAGAACAGUUUUUGAAAAAAUUCUUUCCAUCGUAUAGAACCAAUUCUUUUAAAAGGAAAAUCACUUCUUUCAUUCAAAAAAAUGGAGAAACAUUGUACCAAUGUUAGGAUACAUUUAAAGAAUUGCUUAACAUAUCUCCACACCAUAGUUUUGAAACUUGGCAAUUGGUCACUUAUUUCUACGAGGGCUUAACACUACAAAGUAGACAAGUUGUAGAAAUGAUGUGUAAUGGUGAAUUUAGAGAUAAAAAUCCUGAAGAUGCACUAGAUUACCUUGACCAAUUAGUUGAAAAUGCAUAAAAUUGGGAUAUUUUUAGAACUUUUGAAUUGACUAAUAAACCACAAUCAUCUCCAUCUAGUGGAGGAAUCUAUAACCUUAGGGAAGAUCAUGAUUUACAAGAAAAAAUUUUCAUCCUAGUUAGGAAGGUUGAAGCUUUGGAAAAUAAAAAAAGUGAUCAAGUAAAAUAUGUUCAAGAAAUUGCAUGUGAUGUGUGUAGUUCUAAUGAUCAUUUCACUCAAGAUUGUCCCACUCUGCCUGCACUCAAAGAAUGUUUGCAUGAUCAAGCUAAUGCCAUCAACACUUUUAACAAACAAACCCAUAUUCACAGACUUAUAAGAUUUGGUCAAGAAAUGGUAAUGGAAAAUGAUAUUUUCUAGUGGCUUCAUUUAAUUUCCUAUAAUCAAUGCACAUGCGCCAACUAGAUGUAAUUCGUGUUGGAAUUAAUUCACCUUUUUCAUUUUUAACAAUAGUGAUUCCAGAUUUUUUAGGCACUACUUGUGUAGAACUUACCCACUUACUAUCAGAGAUAGGGUAGAUAAUUCCCGCAUCAAGUAACUUAAGAACUUCUAUUUUUACUACUUCUUUCAUGUGUGGGUUUAAUCUUCUUUGAGGUUGCUGACAUAUUUUAGCAUUUUCUUCCAAAUUAAUUCUAUGCAUGCAGAUUAAGGGAUUAAUGCCUUUAAUAUCAUUUAAAGUCCAUCCAAUUGCAUUNNNNNNNNNNNNNNNNNNNNNNNNNNNNNNNNNNNNNNNNNNNNNNNNNNNNNNNNNNNNNNNNNNNNNNNNNNNNNNNNNNNNNNNNNNNNNNNNNNNNNNNNNNNNNNNNNNNNNNNNNNNNNNNNNNNNNNNNNNNNNNNNNNNNNNNNNNNNNNNNNNNNNNNNNNNNNNNNNNNNNNNNNNNNNNNNNNNNNNNNNNNNNNNNNNNNNNNNNNNNNNNNNNNNNNNNNNNNNNNNNNNNNNNNNNNNNNNNNNNNNNNNNNNNNNNNNNNNNNNNNNNNNNNNNNNNNNNNNNNNNNNNNNNNNNNNNNNNNNNNNNNNNNNNNNNNNNNNNNNNNNNNNNNNNNNNNNNNNNNNNNNNNNNNNNNNNNNNNNNNNNNNNNNNNNNNNNNNNNNNNNNNNNNNNNNNNNNNNNNNNNNNNNNNNNNNNNNNNNNNNNNNNNNNNNNNNNNNNNNNNNNNNNNNNNNNNNNNNNNNNNNNNNNNNNNNNNNNNNNNNNNNNNNNNNNNNNNNNNNNNNNNNNNNNNNNNNNNNNNNNNNNNNNNNNNNNNNNNNUUUUACUUUUUUUUUUUUUUCCCAUCCUGCUGUACCGUACAUCCGCCUUGGCCGUACAGCAGAGAUAAGCAUACUUUAAUCCAUCUGGCAAAGGUUUCAAUUCCAAUUUAAGUGCUUCUUGUUGUUCAGUCUUUUCAAUGAUUCCAAGCUCCUUAAUUUUUGAUUUCCCAUCAUCACUUUGUAAAGUCUGACAACAAUCAAACAACAAAUAUAUAUUAAAAGUAUCAUGUUCAAGUUGUUUAUGUGAUUCAAUCGAAUUAACUAAACAAAUAUCACUAAGUUCAUAAAAACUCCCUUUUUGAAUAUUCUCCUCUAUAUAAGAUUCAAGCAAUUCAUUUUGUUCAUCAAUUUCAUCUUCAAGCAAUUCAUUUUGUUCAUCAAUUUCAUCUUCAUUCUUAUUUUCCUCAUUAGGUUGCCUAGACAUGUUGAAAACAUUCAAUUCCAAAGUCAUAUUUCCAAAUGACAAAUUCAUUAAACCAUUCCUACAAUUAAUUAAAGCAUUAGCAGUUGUAAAAAAUGGUCGACCUAAAAUUACAGGAAUUGGUUUAUAAUUCUUCACAACAGGUUUAGUUUCUAAAACAAUAAAAUCUACAGGGUAUAUGAAUUUAUCAACUUGUACUAAAACAUCUUUCACUAUUCCUUUUGGUACUUUAACUGAUCUAUCGGCAAGCAAAAAUAUAAUUGAAGUUGAUUUUAACUCACCAAGAUUAAGUUGAAGAUAAACUGAAUAUGGAAGCAAAUUAACACUAGCACCAAGGUCUAACAAAGCAUGUUCAAUUUUGUGAUCUCUAAUAAUACAAGAAAUAGUAGGACAAUCAGAAUCUUUAUAUUUUAACUUACUAUUAGUAGACAGAAUGGUACUUACCUGUUCAGCCAUGAAAGCACUUUUUUUUACCUUCAAUUUCCUCUUAACAGUGCAUAAGUCCUUUAAAAAUUUGGAAUAUGAAGGUACCUUCUUAAUUGUAUCUAACAGAGUAAUGUUAACUUUCACUUACUUAAAGAUUUCAUAAAUUUCAGAAGAGUGGUUUGAUUUUCUUGAUUUAUUCAAUGCAUGCGGAAAAUGGCCUAUCAAUAACUUUUCGUAUGUUUACUACUGAAUUGACCUAAAAUUUAUCAACAGAAUAUCCACGUAUUAGGAGUAUUGUCGUUGUUCUGGUGUUCUUUAGGACUCAUGUUUAACUACUUUUUCUUGUCCUUCUAACUAGUUCUUAUAAUUGUUCCCAGAAGGGAAAAAAAAUAUGAAAACUAAUUCUUGUUAGCCUUCUGUGUCAACACAUAUAUGUAUUUACCUGCAUGGUUUUUUUUGGGGGGGGGGGGUUUGUUGUAUCCUAAAUUUAAAUUUAUUCUCUGUGGCACAAUCAAUUUGCUUAUUGGGUCAACAUGCCUUGAAAAAAAAAUGUGUAGCAUGUAUAGUGCCACCAAUUUUAGGAUUGUUUAAGUCAAUGUCUAAGCCACAAAAAUCUUAUGUUUUCUUCACGGUGAUUCUGCUUUGACAGCCAUCAAUCAUCAUUGAAAAUCUCAUUGUAGGCCUGUUAAGUGACGAAAUGUUGUUGCAGAACAGUGCAAUCUUCAAAAAGAAUGUCAUCUCCUUAAUUGUGCCUUUUGCACUCAGAUCCAAUUUUUUGUCAAAUAAUUUCAUGGUGGCUACCAAUACCACAUCAUGAAUAUCUUCUCGCCCAAGUGACAAGGUCACCUCUAGAUUGAACAAGUGAGGUUAUUAGUUCCAACGAAUCAAACCCCAAAACUGUAGAUGUCACACUUUUCCGUCACUUGCACUGUUUAAGCAAUAUUCUGCUCUGAAAAUUAAGCAGCUAUAAAGUUAACAACUAUGUAAUGAAAUUUAAAAAUAGUGAAUAAUGAUUACCAUGUUAGGACAGACCUUUGGCGCCUUUUAUUUUACUUUUUUUUAUUUUUCCCAUCAAAUAAGAUUUUUUGAUAAAUGUACUAGCGAAAGGAUAAAAAAUAGGGUUAAUUAUUUUUGGGUAAUACAUGUUUUGACAAAUUUCAUAAAGGUGACACAUGUUUUAAAAAUAAUCGAGUAGGUGACAUUCUGUUAACUUUUGUCAUUAACUUUAAGCGGCCAAGGGUAAAAUUGAAAAAAAAAUUCCAGUUAAGCCAAAGAGAUAAAAAUAUUAUAUUUAUAUAAUCAAGGGUGGAGACAACAUAUUGAUUAAUUGGGCACUUGGAGACGAAAAGAGUAGUGCGCCAUGUCACUACAUUUUUGGCUUUUGCAUAUGCAAAAGUAAAAAAAAAAAAAUUGUUUAUGAAUUUUCUAUGGCCGUUGGACUAAUGGUGGAAUUGGUAAAUCUAAGAUUAAUAAAAAAAUUAAUGAGCUUGUGCGUUAUUUAAAAAAAUUAAAUUAAUGUUAUUAUUUACAUACUUGAUUUUAGUUUGAAAAACCCAACUCUUUUAAUUUGUAUUUAAAAUUUUUGGAACGAGAAUUUGAGUGUAAAAAUAUAUUGUGGGCUUGAGUAUAAUUUAAUGGGGGUAUUAUGAAAAUUUAUUAAAGACUUUUGGAAAAAUACAAUUAAAUAUUAAAUGAAUUUUUUUAUUUCAGUUGUCCUUCAACAAAUCCGCCCCUGUAUAUAAUGCUUUACAAUUCAUAAGAGAUUUGUUUCUAUAUGCUAACAAAUCAUUUGAUUCAACAAGAAUUUUAAAAAAAAAAAAAAAAGAGUUUGAUUUAACAAAAAAAAUGCUUUGUUAAUUAGACUUAAAUUUAAUUUGUUUAUAUAAUUUUCUAUUUGAAAAAUUAAAAAUGAAUAAGGAUAGAAACAUCAUUUUGUAACAAAUUGUUGGGGUAAGAUCGUUAUUUUGUAAUUAAUUGUAGGGGAAAAAAUAUCAUUUUGUAACUAAUUUACUAUUCCUAUUAAAGUUAACGGCAAAAGUCAAUGGAAUGUCACUUCUUCGAGUAUUUUUAAAAAAUGUGUCACCUUCUUAAAAUUUGUCAAGACAUGUGUCACUUAAGAAUAAUUAACUCUAAAAAAUAUUUAAAAUAUAAAUACAUAAUGCAAAUGAUCAUAUAGCUCAAAGAUAUUUGUGUUCGUGAACAAAUUUGCCGGGAAGGACUGGCGGAUUUUAAAAUUUCCCAAUCUUUUCAUGUUUGAUUCAAAGUUUAAAGUGAGGCUUGCUGGUGAAUCAAACUCAACAGGCAUAAAACGGCAGCGUUUUUGUGUAUUAUAAGCAUUAAAGGUCACGGGCAGAGCACGUGUUUAUCUGCUUAAUAAUCUUAAGCUUCAAAACGGCAGUGCGUCUUUGUCGUUUAAACCAAACUUUAAGUGACACACGUGGUGGUCAUGUGAUCUUGCUUAAGCCAAUUCGGUAAAGCCGUUAUGCAACAUUUCCACAAGCUGUGCAUUCUGGGUUUGUUGGUUUGUUGCUCUGGUAGCUAUAAAGCUGACUGAAGUAACAGUUUUGAUUCGUUCGUUAAUAAAAAAAUUGAGAGAUAUGGAUUAGAGAGAGUAGUUAAACUUGUUCUCUGUAGUCUCUUGUGCAAGCUGUGUAAAAGAUCCUCCAUUGUUGUUCAAUAAAAGCUCUCCAAAAAGCUUCUCCCGUGGAUGUAGGUUGUGCCAUUCUUGGUGCAACUGAACCACGUAAUUGUUCUUUGUGUUGGCUGUGUUUGCUUCUGUUCAUUUUAGUUUCUUGAUUCUUUGUUUAAGAAGAAAUUUCCCGUGUUAAAGAAUUCUUUCUGGGUUUAAUCUUCUCACUGUGCAACUUGAUCAAACCUGAUUAAAGAUCCUGGGAAGUGGUCGUGUCUUGCUUAGGUUAUAACCAGACACAAUCACUACAUUUAAUCCGAUGCGUUUAUUUGUCCUUGUUUUCUGCAAUUUUUAAAUCCAAGAAGUUUAGAUUACAAGAUUGUUGCACUAGUUCAUAAUCACAAACUUGUGAUUUGUUCGUUCGUUCGUUCGUUUGUUUAUUUAUUUAUUUAUUUUCCUCUUCGGAUAUUUCAAUGUUAAGAUUAGAUGUGAUGGAGUUGAUUACCACGUUUUUUUUCUCUUCUCUAAUGAAAUUAGUCACGAAGGCGGUCAUUGUAAUAUCUCUAUGCUGCAAAUUUGAUAAAUCAAGAAGACUGGAUAAAAAAUGGUUGAUGAAAUUGUUUGAAUAUUUCUAAGGUGUGGUUACAGUCAGAAAUCAAUUACCUGACUUUUUGGUUGUGUUUGGCUGUCAAGGAAGUGAAAGAAAAUCAGAGUUAAGAAAAUUAGGACAAAUUUUAUUAGUUUUUGUUUAAUGAGGAAAAAAAAUCUUGUUUAAUCUUAUGUUGCGUGUUAGGAAAUAUUAAUUUGUAAUUUGAAAAAGUGAUAAUUUACUGUGAUCUAAUUUUAAUUUUCCCUGUAAUCUAGUUUUAUUUAUUUGAAAUACUGGGUCAGACAUAAUGUUAAAUAAUUUAUUUAGGAUAUUGCAUCAAAUAUAAUUUUAAAUUGUUUGACUUGAAAACAGUUUUUGGAAUUUAUAUCAAACAAAUUUUUGGAUAUUAAAAAUUAUAAAACAUCGAACUCAGUGAAGGUUAGUUCUAAAUAGCAAUCAAACCAACCUCAUUUUCCUAUUGGCAGUCCAUGCCAAAUUGCAAAUAUAAAAGCUUCAUUCAUUCUGAACAUUAAAUACAUCUUGAUAAUUAAAAGAUGGAGUAUAUUUGAUCAAUAUUAUAUCAAUUUGAUGAACAUUAUAAGGGAUUUUAUUGAAAUAUCCAAAAUACGAACUACUUCAAUUUCACAUUUACAUACAGAAAUACAAAACAUUUGGAACAUUAGGAAAAUUAAAUAUAAUCUUAGGAAAAUUAAAUUUUCUCCAAUAUAUUAUUAAUUUACUUUCUUAAAUCAAUAACAACUACAAAUUCUUAAACUAUGUUUCGCUGAAAACAACUUGCUGUUUUAGAAUAUAUUUAACGAAUGAGCCAACUUGAAUGGUGUGUUGUGCGGCCGGUAUGCUUCAUAAAAAUUGCAUACCAAAACAAACCAAAAAAAAAAAUAAUUCUAGGUCUGUAUGAAAAAAAAAUUAAAAAUAGCAAAAACGUGAAGAAUUUGGCGCAAAAUUGCAUUCAUUUUAAGGGGUUUGAUAUUAGUUUGGGAUUGUAAAUUAUUAAUUCCGGUUUGGCUUAUGUGCAUAUAAUCAUUAAAAUAGAAUGCCUUCAGGCUAUGGCUGAAUGGUCUGUAUAUAAUUCUUAAAAUGGAAUACUUUAAGCCGAAUGGUUUUCAAAUAACUUUAUUUAGUUAAGUUAACUACUUGAAUUCGAAUAUGGGAAAAAGGAGGGGAAAAAAUUAAAAGCUGGUCUAUUGGCGCCCCUCUAAUCGCCUCAGAAAACUCCUUUUUCAAUUAUAUUUAUUUUACUUCCAAAAAUCGCUCUUUUUUUUUCCAAAGACAUUCUUCUAAUUUUUCAUUUAAUUUUUUUUUUGGUUAAAACUCAAAGUAGUAUUGUGUUAUUUUUCAUUUCUUUUACAAAUUUAUUGUUGUUCUACGUACAAAUUAAAAAGUUUUCUAGGUGAUAAAGUUUUGUAUGAACAAAAAUAACACAUUUUUUAUAUUGUAGUUUGAAAGUAAUUUUAAGGACAAAAAUAUUUAAUCAAUAAGAAACAGAAAAAAAAAAUAGAUUGCUCUAAAAUUUGUACAAUUUAUUUUAGUUAGAAAAGAAGUAAUAGGUAGAAAAAAAAUUUUUUAAAAAAGAUUGAUUAUGAAUGUAAGAAAUUUGUUGAAAAAAAAAUCAAUUUGUGUUUAAUUCUUUUUUCUUCCUUAAUUGUAAUUUUAUUUGAAAUGGAGUUUUAUAAAAAUAAUGUAAUGGGUGCCAAUAGCUUCACUCAAAAUUAAUUUGCGCUUUGCUCGCCUGUAGAAAAAUUAAAAAAAUAAAAAUAUUCAUAAAAUUCAUAAACUGGAAUAACAAAUAUACCUCUACAUUUUAAGAAAUCAGUGAACGAGAGAACUUCAAUAUAACGUUUUUAUUGGCUGAGUUUAUCACAAGAAACAAUAAUAAAGUGAAAUCAAUGUGUAUUUUAUACGGCUGUGAGGGCUAAUGUCCGUAUCUAUAACUAGAAAUUGCUAAAUGCAUUGGAGCAUUUCAUAAACUUCUCCAUGGGAAACAAUUUGGAUUAGAGCAAUAAUUUGGAAAAUAGAACUUUCAAAUUGUUUUUAAAUUAGCUUAGGGAUAUACAACAAGAGACUUAAGCUAGAUUCCAGAUAAAAUCAGAACAAUUAAUUCACUUUGCAUAAUCUAUGAGUUACUACCUCAUAAGGUCAAACUGAGACAUCCCGAAGAAUGCAAUCGGUACGAAGAAGAUGAGAGCAUAUAUUUUAUGGUCCUGAGUGAAUCUGGCAGAGCUCAGUAAAUAUGAUUCUGGUCUCCGAGCUUUACGCGCCGUUCUCUUUUGACGACAGAAUGGAGCUUACGGUGCAAUAGAAUCUGAAAUUAUGUGUACUGCUUUUAGUUCUUUGUUUGGUAAUAUAGUCACCAACAGCAAAAUGACUAAUCAACAAUGCAAGGCGCUCUACGUUGUGUUAUGAUAUGAAUGCUGUUUGCUAUGUCUAAUCAAGAUCAGAGGAUGUAACUAGACGAAGAAAUCAUUUUUCUAACCUCUAGAAGAAGCAUCUGCUUCUAAAGGAGUUUCUGAUGUUGGCGAAGACGGGUAAUCACUCACAGACUGCCUAGCAUCAAUCAUCAUUGCAAUGACCUCUCUCAUAGUUGGCCUAUUAAGCGGUGAAGUGCUGCUGCAGAACAAUGCAAUCUUCAGAAAUAAUGUCAUCUCCUCAACUGUCCUUUUUGCGCUCAGAUCCAACCUUUUGUCAAAUAAUUCCGAGGUGGGCACCAUUUCAUGAAUUGAUCUUCUCACCCAAGUGACAAGAUCACCUCCCAGCUCUAGAGAUUGAACAGGAGACUUCCCAGUUAUUAGUUCCAACAGAACAACCCCAAAACUGUAGAUGUCACACUUCUCUGUCACUUUCAUUGUGUAAGCAUACUCUGCAAUGAAAAUCAAGCAAUUUUCAUGUUAGAACUGCCAAAUACUAGGUAAAAUAGUGAAUACUGUAUGUUUGUUUUGACAAUCAUCUUUGUAUUUGAGGCAAUUAUAUAAAUUUUGCAGCAUGAAAUGUGUUAUAGAAUACACAUCAUUUGCACCCAAUUAAGGUAUUGGCCCAGUUCUUUGUCUAAAUUCUAUAUGAAAGAUAUAAAUAAAUCAACUACAAGGAAAAUGAAGUUCACCAAAUUUGAAGAUGUAUACAGCAUUUUAACUGAGCGAAUUACACAACAAAAGAGAAUUCUUCAUAGAGAAAUUACCAGGGAAAUUAAGUUUGAGAGAAAAUUAGGGGGAGAGGGAGGUAAGAUGACGAUGUUACCUGGGGCAAUGUAGCCAUAUGAACCUGCAAUUGCAGACAUGGAUUUUGAGUAGGGCAAGUCAAUUAACUUGGCCAAGCCAAAGUCUCCGACAUGAGCUUGAAAUUCUUCAUCCAAUAAAAUGUUGUUUGACUUUAUAUCCCGGUGAAUGAUGUGAGGCCUACAAUCAUAAUGAAGAUAGCACAGACCCUCUGCUGCCCCAAGAGCAAUUCUAUAUCGAGCAUCCCAGUCCAGCAAACAUGUUUGCUUAUUACCAUGAAGCUGUUCUCCGAGACUUCCAUUUUCCAUGUACUCGUAAAGUAGAAGAUUAGAGUCCUGGUGGUAGCAGAAGCCAUAGAGUUUCACAAUAUUACGGUGUCUAAUCUUUCCGAGGGUUGAUAUCUCCGCAAGGAAACUGUUGUCAGCAGUUGCUCCUUCACCACGCAACUUGAUCUUCUUGACGGCAAUCACCUCACCAUUAGCCAGAGUAGCCUUGUAUACAGUGCCACAAGCUCCCCUUCCUAUAACAGCACCUUCUGAAAAAUUGCCAGUCGCUUCCAAAAGAUUGUGGUAUUUGAAGCCUUCCUUGGGGAAGUAAUAGUUAUCUAUAACUUCAGGAUUUUUCUGUUCUUCCAGUGGAACAAAUGCAGGCUUGCGGCACUUCAUAGCCCAACAAAUGCCUAUGAUAAAAGACAAAGAGAUUAACCCAACAAUGACGGAAAUGAUGCUUACUAAUUUCUCCUUGGUGGAACCCCCUUUUAUCCAGUUCUUUUUAGGAGUAUGAGAAGGGGGCAUCAGUUGAUGACAAUCUGACCCUAGCAUGCACAAGCCCCUAUUUCCAGCAAAAUUUGAGGAAUCUAUCCUUCGAAAUACAGUGGUAUUUGGUACUGUUCCCACCAGGUUGUUGUUUGAAAGGUUGCAGACCAGGAGGCUCAUCUGCUCACCCAUUGAUGCAGGAAUUUCACCAAUAAGCUGAUUAUCAUCCAAGUAGAGAGCUUCCAACAUCUGCAAGUUCCCCAACUCAUAAGGAAUCACACCAGAUAGAUUAUUAUGGGAAAUGUUGAGUGCAAUCUGGAGAGCUGUAAGCUGGCCCAAGGCAACAGGAAUGCUGCCAGAAAAAAUGUUUCCCCCCAUUUGUAAUUCUGUGAGUCGGGCCAGACCUCCUAAGGAACUGGGAAUUGCUCCUGUUAAUUUGUUGUCAGAAAGCUUCAGGAGUUCCAGAUUCACUAGCUGUCCAAGUUCUUCUGGAGCAGAGCCAGUGAACUGGUUUCUACUGAGAUCAAGCCUCUGGAGAUUUACACAAUUUCCCAAUUCAUGGGGGAUAGUCCCAGAGAGGCUAUUUGAAGAAAUGUUAAAUGUAACGAGGUGCUCCAGAUUUCCGACCUCAGAAGGUAUGUACCCAACGAAAUAGUUUUCUGACAAAUGCAACCUCUCUAAAUUCCGAAGUUUGCCAAUCUCUGGGGGUAUUAGUCCAGAGAAUCGGUUCUGAUAAAGUUCCAGAGCAGAGAGGUUUUGAAGAUUAUAAAACUCAAUAGGAAGACUUCCUGUCAGCUGGUUUUGUCCUAGCAUUAGCUGCAUAAGAGACCUGCAGGUUUUUAGACCAGGAGGAAUGUUUCCAGACAAUCUGUUUGAUCCAAGGCUCAAAAAUAUCAGUUUCUGAUACAUGCAAAGAUGUGGAGGUAUGCUACCAUCAAGAUUAUUCAUAGACACGUCAAGUACUGAGAGGUGACUGUUGACCCCAAUGUGAGGCGGGAUAGUUCCCUCGAGAUGAUUAUCAAAAAGUUGCAAAUCCACCAGAUAUGUAAGGUUCUGAAACUCCAAAGGAAUUGUACCCGUCAGAUUAUUUAUGGACAAGUCCAAUUUAUGAAGUUGUGUCAACUGACCAAGCUCUCUAGGAAUGCUUCCCUGAAGCAUGUUUUCAAAUAGUUGAAGCAAGCAGAGAUUAGGAAUCAGACCCAACUCUCUCGGGAUGAACCCAGUCAACUGAUUUUCAGAAAGAUCUAUCUCGACAGCACUUGUACAGUUCCCUAGUUCGUGAGGAAUGGUACCAUUCAACACAUUGGUGUAAACGUACAAUUUUUUUAGCCGGGACAACUUCCCAAGUUCUUUUGGAAGCCCUCCACUAAAAGAAUUUUCAUGCAAGGCAAGCAACUCAAGACUUUGGAUAUUUCCAAUUGUGGGAGGUAUCUCACCAGAUAAAUGGUUUUGCCAAAGGAUCAAAUCAGUAAGAUUCCUAAGUUUCUCAAGCUCACUUGGAAGAAAACCUUCUAAACUAUUUUGUGCCAACCCCAAAACCUCUAAGCCCUCACACUCACUGAUUUCCGGUGGUAUUGGACCAGAAAGGGAAUUAUGGCCUGCCCUGAUAACUCUAAGCUGCCUCAACUUACUGAUCGAUGCAGGAAUUGCACCAGUGAGAUUAUUACUAUAGAUUACUAGUUCUUCUAGUGAAGUUAAAUUUCCUAUCUCCUCAGGAAUUUCACCAAAAAUGUAGUUCUCACACAAAUAAAGCUUUCUAAGAGUGUUAAUGAAGAACAGCUGGAAUGGUAUUACCCCAUGAAGCCUAUUCGUGCAAAGGUCAAGAAUCUCUAAACUACUACAGUUAGCAAGGUCUGUAGGAAUGGAACCAGUGACAAAAUUCAUGGAAAUAUUGAACUCAACUAAUCGAGGAAGAUCACAAAUGCGAGGAGAUAAAAUACCAGAUAAGUUAAGGCCAUGGAGAUCAACAGAAGUUACCUUAAAAUCGGUACACUCUACACCAAUCCAAUUGCAUGGAGUCAUGUCUGAUGAAUUCCAGCUCUCAAGAUUGUUGCUAGGGUCGAUAAGGGAAGCUUUAAACUCCAAAAGGGAAACACCCUCUUCCGUUAAAGAUGUUACUGAGACGUUACUAAAACAAAAUAUCAAUGCAAAGUAAAACAGCUUCUGGGUAUGUGAUGAAAUCCCCUGUCUAGCCAUUUAUGACUCAAAAAAUCAUUAAAUGGGAUAAAAUCUUAAAGAAAAAAUUAAACUUUUUAGAAGAUUAAAGAUUAUUCCUAACUUCCUAAGUGUGAAUGACAAGAUUAGUAAUACUAAAAACAGACUUCAACACUAAUAAUGCAGACGCAUGAGGAAAGUUUAAAUUCCAUGUCAAGUGACCAUUGAAUUGAACCCAAAACCUUAAGAUAUAAGCUAAAGAUUCUAACUAAGCAAUUCAACAAGCAAAGGCCUCAGAAGAAAGUGAAGUGAAGUGGAUUGCAUAAGUGAGAGCUAGAAAUGAACAAGAAUGGAGCCAAAGCUAAAUAAAUGAAAGAUAAAAUGACAGUUAUCCAACAGAGUCAUAAAGCCUAAAAACCUGGAGAGAAAAAUAAACACAACCCAUGAACCGAAACCAUUAAUGAAAGUCUAAGAAGAUAGAUAGAAUAGACAAAGACAGAGAGAGAGACAGCAACCAAAUUUUGCACAUUGAUUGAUUGAUGAAGGCAAGAGACUGAAGAAAGACCACGAGAGUCACGAUCAUUUUAGCAGUGUGUAAAUGCUUUGCACUUUUGGAGUCAACUCUACACUUUACAGAACACAAUAGCGAAGUGGUUCUUUAAUUUCUUUCUUUCUUUUCAUUCUUCUUGUUAUUUGUUAUGCUACUUGCAUUGCAUUUUGGCCAUUUUCAAUGCACCAUUUGAUGUUGUUGGUGGUGGGGAUUUUUUCCUUUUCGUGUUUAUGAUAAUACAAAUGGAUGUGAAAGAGACGAGGCGUUGGAAUUCAGAGGUCAUGAUCUCUGCCAUUGCUAUUGUUGUUGAUGAGUCUGACAAUUUGGGAUUUAAAGCAGUCUCGAAUUUCAUCAUUUGCUUGUGGACUUCUUUUCUUUUUUUCUUUCUAGUAGUCAUCGUAGUCAGUGCGGCUUCUCAAGUGGAUUGACUCUCUCUCUCUCUCUCUGUGGGCUCUUCUUGCCGACUGAUGCUGUAAUUGCUGCUGUUCAGUGAUCACCAGCUGCUGACCAUAUGAAUUCGGCUUUGCUUUUAAUGUUGUCACGUACCCACAAUACAAAUUUCAUUUUCACACGCAACGUGAAGACUUCAGUUUGGUUUUGUCCCGCAUCAUCGGUUACGAACAUGAAUAGUUGUUAAGGGAUGAGGAUGAGUUGGGUACGCUGGCAUAAAAUUUCGUGCCAACGUGUACUUUUAAAAUAUUAUAAAGUAAAAUAAACGACCGCCUAUAAAAUGUAGAGAAAUCUACGGAAUAGGAUUUUUUUUGCUGAUUUGAAUUUUAUUAAUUUUUUAAAGAUUUUUUAUUAUGUAUUUUUUAGUAGUAGUGUAUGAGUAAAAUUUAAUUUUUUUAUUUUUUAUUUAUUAACGAUCAACCAGUAAUUAAAUUAUUUGCUCAGAACAUAAUCAGAUCAGAGAUAAUCUUGAUCCGUAAUUUACACCACAUGCAACUUAUUUGAUAAAAAUGAAUUUAAACAAACUCUUUCUCUUGGGAUUAAGGGUGCGUUUGGGAUUAAGGUGCUGUAGCUUUUAAGCUACAGCUGCUGUGAAAAAAAAGCUGUAAUUAUGAAAUAAAAGUUAAUAAUAUAUAGUAAAUAUAAAUUUUAAAUAAUAAUUUUAUCAAAAUUAUUAAAGAUAUAAUAAAUUUUAUAUUAUACAAGUGAAAAAUUAUAUCAACAUAACUUAAAAGCUACAGCAGCUAGUGUUUACCAAAAACUUUAGUACUGUAGCUUUUAAGCUACAGCUGUCCAACCUCAAUCCCAAACGCACCCUAAAGAACAAGAAUAGGGAUUCAUAUAUUAUUUGAUAUUGAGAUAUUAUAACAUUUAAGUCAUAAUAUUAUAAAAAAAUAUUGCAAUUAUGGAUGGAACUGAUUUAUAUGGAAAGAAGGCGGAUGAACAAUUGAUCCUGUAAAAAAAAAAAUUAGUCUUUAUUUUCAUAUUAACUCUUUUACAAAAUUAUAUUUGAUUGAGGAAAAAAUUAUAAACAAAUAUGGUAUUGGAGUCAAUUUUAUAAAUUAUUGAUUUUUAUUAUUAGUUUUCUCACCAUUGAAUUAAGUUUUAGUCUGCCUCUGCAAAAUAAAAAAAAAAUUGAUAGCCUAGGAUAAAUAUUAUUUUUAAAUAAAAACUUCAACAAAAAUAAUAAAAUUAUUAUAGUUUUUUAUUAUGAAAUGUAGUUAAAAUUAACUUAACAUUCAAAUGGUUAAAAUUAACUUAACUUUUAAAUUACAAUAAUAAAUAUUUAUCAAAUACUUUAAAAUUGUAGCUUAAAAGCUACAUUUACGCACUCUCAAUGCCAAACAAACCCUUAAUCUCUAAUUCACAAGGAUGGGCCCACUAUUUUUUUUUAGGCUAAUUUAUAUAUUAAUUGUGAAUUUUUUUGUGCAGGUGGGUGUUAUAUAAACACCUACAUCAAGUGGGUGACAUCAAAACUCGUAGAAAAAUACAUAUAUUUAAUAAGGAAUGACAACAUUGCAAUAAAUAAGCUUAUAUUAUUAAAAUUGUACAAAAAAUUUUUGUGAAGUUUUUUAUUUUAUUAAUAAAGUAGGCAAAAUAUUUGAAUAAUUUAAUGUACCAAAAGGAAGAAGAUCGACUGAAAAGGAAAUAAACCAUGAAAUUAUCAAAAUGUUAUUAAUUAUUACUCUAUGUCAAUUUGUAUCUUUCUAAUACUAGUGAUGAUGUUAUAAUAAAUCGGUACACUUUUCUGUCAAUUAGACUAAACCAUAACAUUUUUAUGAUAAGUUAAAGUAGUUAAGUUUAUCCAAUAAAUAUAUAAUUUAGUCAUGUUACAAAACAAGUUUGUAACUCUCGUUGCAUGGAACUUAGAUAUAAGUGUAAGAAUUGUGAAAUAGAAGUUUGUAAAUUUUGUUUAGUUAAAGCUUACGAAAACCAGCUAGUAGAACUUUAGUACUGUAGCUUUUAAGCUACAGCUGUCCAACCUCAAUCCCAAACGCACCCUAAAGAACAAGAAUAGGGAUUCAUAUAUUAUUUGAUAUUGAGAUAUUAUAACAUUUAAGUCAUAAUAUUAUAAAAAAAUAUUGCAAUUAUGGAUGGAACUGAUUUAUAUGGAAAGAAGGCGGAUGAACAAUUGAUCCUGUAAAAAAAAAAAUUAGUCUUUAUUUUCAUAUUAACUCUUUUACAAAAUUAUAUUUGAUUGAGGAAAAAAUUAUAAACAAAUAUGGUAUUGGAGUCAAUUUUAUAAAUUAUUGAUUUUUAUUAUUAGUUUUCUCACCAUUGAAUUAAGUUUUAGUCUGCCUCUGCAAAAUAAAAAAAAAAUUGAUAGCCUAGGAUAAAUAUUAUUUUUAAAUAAAAACUUCAACAAAAAUAAUAAAAUUAUUAUAGUUUUUUAUUAUGAAAUGUAGUUAAAAUUAACUUAACAUUCAAAUGGUUAAAAUUAACUUAACUUUUAAAUUACAAUAAUAAAUAUUUAUCAAAUACUUUAAAAUUGUAGCUUAAAAGCUACAUUUACGCACUCUCAAUGCCAAACAAACCCUUAAUCUCUAAUUCACAAGGAUGGGCCCACUAUUUUUUUUUAGGCUAAUUUAUAUAUUAAUUGUGAAUUUUUUUGUGCAGGUGGGUGUUAUAUAAACACCUACAUCAAGUGGGUGACAUCAAAACUCGUAGAAAAAUACAUAUAUUUAAUAAGGAAUGACAACAUUGCAAUAAAUAAGCUUAUAUUAUUAAAAUUGUACAAAAAAUUUUUGUGAAGUUUUUUAUUUUAUUAAUAAAGUAGGCAAAAUAUUUGAAUAAUUUAAUGUACCAAAAGGAAGAAGAUCGACUGAAAAGGAAAUAAACCAUGAAAUUAUCAAAAUGUUAUUAAUUAUUACUCUAUGUCAAUUUGUAUCUUUCUAAUACUAGUGAUGAUGUUAUAAUAAAUCGGUACACUUUUCUGUCAAUUAGACUAAACCAUAACAUUUUUAUGAUAAGUUAAAGUAGUUAAGUUUAUCCAAUAAAUAUAUAAUUUAGUCAUGUUACAAAACAAGUUUGUAACUCUCGUUGCAUGGAACUUAGAUAUAAGUGUAAGAAUUGUGAAAUAGAAGUUUGUAAAUUUUGUUUAGUUAAAGCUUACGAAAACCAGCUAGUAGAAAUAGAAACACAAGUUUCUAGGCAAACCAUAGCGACCCAAGAUUUAGAAAUAGAAAGAUUAUAGUUAGAAAUAGAAAGAUUAAAAUUUCAAUUAAAAAAAAAGAUUGAAUUUACGCAAAAAAAAUUUAUAUUAGAAUAAAACCAAAAUAAGCUGAAAGAUGAACAAAUUAUUGAGGUGACAGAUGAAUAUCUAGAUCAUUAGACGAAGACCAAAGCAACCUUUUGUUCAAUCUUCACCACUUUUACCUCAAAUAACCUAUUCAAUAUUAUUAGUAAGAUUAAACUUUAGAAAUGUUAAUACCAUAGAUACAUUAGCCAUGAUAAACACAGGAAGUGGCAAGUCCCAUAUAGAUAUUAAUCUUGUCCAAGUAGAUUCUUUGCAAAUAUUGUUGCAACCAAUAUUUGCUGAACAAAUGGAUGGAACCUUAUUAAAAUAUGAUAAAUGUGCUAGAGAUGCUCAAAUCAGAUUUUACACAAUAGAAAAUAAAUUUAAUGAAUAUUAUCCCUUACCACAAGUAUGGGUUAGUCUAAUAAAUCAUAAAUUUAAAUUUAUCUUAGGAUUAGAUUUUAUAUGUAAUAGUAAAGAUAAUAUGUUAAUCAUUAGUAAUUAUGUCACAUUUUUUAAAAGAAAAGUUGUCAAUUUUUGUCUUUCUCGUCACAUACAACGUCAGAUUGCCACGAGUGAGAUUUAUUAGUCUAGGAUGUGGGAGCGGGGCAAAACUACCGCACUCAGUUAAGCUUUGACAACUCAAAUACUGAUUUAUUUAUUUUAUUUUUAUUUUUUUUGGGUAUGAGUUAUGGGUUACGUUUCUUAAGUCUAUUAAUAUUUAAAAUGUUCAAUGACAAAGCUGGAAAUGUAAUAAGACAUUUGAGAUGUUCAACGAUAAAACUUGAAAAAUAUAAUAAAAUAACUUUGGUGCAAUAUAUUGAUGGAUUUAAAGCUCUGUGGAGAGAAUAAUGGCAUUGUUAAUUAAGAUAAUUGUUCCUAUCAGCUGUUUGAUGUGAAAUUAAUUGGUGUUUAUAAAUUGAGAUUUAGGAUCAGUAUUAAACUGAUCUUUUUAUUAACUUCUUGAAAAUAUACAAUUGAUAGUUAUUAGGUAAGAAUAUAAAACUAAUUAAAUUCUAAUAGUAUAUUAUUAUACAUGCACAUUGGCAAAAGAUUAUAAAGAAGUAAGCACAGAUAAACUGAAAAUUGAAUCUAAAUCUGGCUUAUAGUCAGGUACUAAUAAUGAGAUAAAGGCUAUGCAUUGAGUAGCAUCACUCACGCUGUGUUCCGGUAAACGUCGUUUGUAGCAGCUCUUUUGUCUAGUCACGGAAUUUUUAUUUUGGGCCUUGUAGAACAGUAAAACGACGAAGCACUCUACAAUUUUUCUUUUAUGAUUUUUUUUUUUUAAGUACAACUAGGACAUCAACAUAGCUAGAUUCAGCAGUAGCAUUAGCCAAUCUGUUUGAAUAUGGGCCACGGGCCGUGAAGUCUUGGCUGACGGCAAAACUGCACUGGAACAAGUUGUAAUGAGUUUACAAACAUAUUUUUAAAAAGUUGGCAAAAGUUGUAGUAUUUCUUUUUUUUUUUUUCUUUUUUUGUACUUUUUUAUGAGAAGGGCUUCCAUUUCAAAAUUAAAGGAGUGUUAAAUUGGUGGCAAGUUAGAUUUAUUUUGGUCAUAUUGAGGUUCUAUUUAGUAUUGUGGUUGGACUAUUAUAACUUAAUCUACAAUAUUAAAAUAUUUAAUAAUACUUAAUGUUAUGGCUUAAAACUUUAAAAGCUGAAUUGAUUUUAUUCAUUACACUUCUAUGAUAAAAAACUUAAAAUAUUUUCUGAUAUUUUUUGCUUUUGCCCUAAUUAAUAUUAACACAGAUAGUUAAGCGUAAUCCAUAAAUGUCUUCGUAUGUGGAAUAUUUCGGAGUUUCAAUGGAACUCUUUAUGGUCUGCUGCUGCAACGCCGCUUGGAAUCCGUACAUCCUUCUAUGUUGAAAUCUUAUCAGUCAUUGUUUAUGUUGAGAUUGUUCGUUAGAAAGGCUAAAACAGGUUUAGGCUACACACACAAACUAUUACGGUGUGUUUCUUUCAGAGUAGAUGAUUAAAAAUUACUGCAGGGCAAAUCUUGGUCAUGGGUUGAUCGGAUCUAACACAGUGGGAUGAGCCACUUGGAUAUCCCUAAAUACUGAAUUUGUAAUUCUCGCAUGUAAUUCGACUAUUUCAUUUUUUUAAUCUAUAAAUUUUGGCCUCUUAAUGGAAAAGAAAAAAAAAAUGAUCCACUUUGUCUUAUUUUUCAAAUUAAUAAUCAAAUGAAAGUUAAAAAGAAAAAAGAAAAAAGUGAAUCAAAUAUUCUUGAGAAAACAAAGAGUUAAGCAUCAAGGUGUCUUGAACGAAAGGAUAUAUCAUCAUCUCGAUUCAUUUACAAUAGUAAAUCACAUGUGUAGAAAAAUAAAUAUGAACUCCCCCAAAAUUGAAAAAUCACCACCUCUCUCUACUCUCUAAAACUCCUCACUAAAUUUCAAUCCUAAUAAAAUUACACCCAAAAGAAAAAAUCUAAGCACAUUUCGUAGCCUUGUUAUUAACAUAAUAAAACUGAGAGUAAUUGCUAUUACUUCGAUUUAAGCUUAAAUUAUGGUAAUUUCUAGACGCCUGAUUAUUUCUCUUCGCAAACAGGACAAGUUUCUUCCACCAGCAACGCCUGUUCUUAUGGGAACCGAUCCCUGUCACGUGCCUCACGUGCGACCUUGUUCUCCUAACGAGCCCGCGCACCUCCGGGGUCUUGUAGUUUCUGAUCAACGGCCAUUUGAUACCAUAAAAAAACGGGUGCCGUUUAAUAUCCGUCGCACCCCUGGCGCACCCUAGCCUCUCCCGCGGAUCUUUAACCAACAACUUGUCGAUCAAAUCCCUCGCAUCCGCUGUUCCUUCCUCUUCCUUAUUACCCACGUGGCACGCCACCCGGCUGCUCGACGCUAUAUUGCGCAGGGUGCUCUCUUUGCUCCCUCCUCUAAACGGCGUCGACCCGUACAUCAACUCGUAAAUAAGGAUCCCAAACGCCCACCAGUCAACGCCGUUACCGUGGCCGUUACCAGAAACCAACUCGGGCGCUAAGUACUCGUGCGUCCCAACGCAUGACCUUGAAAACGCCGCCAACGGCUCCGCCACAAACUCCAUGACAUUCUCUUGCCUCCUUUUCGCUGAACCAAAACCAUUACAACUCUUCCUCCUCCUCCUCCUCGUCGCGGACCCCACGUUAGUUUCGACUAAAGUGGGAACGACGUCGGAUUGGAAGCACAAAUCGAAAUCUGACAGCAUGAUAUGUCCGUCUUCACGGAGCAAGAUAUUUUCUGGUUUCAGAUCACGGUAAAUAAUCCCGAGUGCAUGGAGAUACUCCAAAGCGACGAGCACUUCAGCGGCGAAGAAUCGAACGGCUUGGAGGGAGAAGCGGUUAUUGGGCUGCUUAGGGAGAAGAGAAUGGAGGUCUCCAUUGGGACAGUAGUCAAUCAAGAAACAGAUGUAAUGAGAAACUUCGAGGUGGGCGUAGAGAGUAGGAAGAAAAGGGUGGUCAAGCAUGGAGAGAAUCUCGGCCUCCAUUUGUACGUGGGAGAGUUUCUUGGCGCUGAGCAAAUCUUUAUCGACGACUUUGAGGGCGAAGCUGGCGCUGGUACAAUCUCUGAGGUGGCAAAGGAAGACGCGUCCGAGGUUUCCGGUGCCGAGGUGGCGGACGAGUUUUAGGUGGCGGAGGUGGAGCUUGCCAUCGGAGGAGAGAUUCGUCGCGGCUUUUAUGGCCGACCAAUGUAAGUCUGAUUUACGAUGGUGGUGGAGUGAUGAGGUGGAUGAUGUAGCAGGGGUUGUUGUUGUUGUUGUUGAAGAAUGUGGGGCGCAGCCGGAGAGAAGGGAUUCGUUGAAGCUGAGUGUGACACUGGAGCGUGCGAGACUUGAGCGGGCGCUGGAGGAAGUGAAGGUUCGGUCGGUAGUGGUGGAUGUGAAGCUGAGUUCGAGAUCAGUGUCCGGAAAAAUAGUUUCAUCGUCCAUGAUCACUUAAAUUGAUUUGAUUGAAUGAGUGAUGAAAAGAUGCAGGCUUUUUGUUUAGCCAGGCUUUUUGUUUAUUGCUUAUGAAGAAAGGAGAGAGAGAAUUAUAGAAAGAAAGAGACAGAUAUAACAGGGUGGGAGGUUCGGGGUGAAUUAAAUAUGUGUGUUUGGUUGACCAAAUUGCAUGUAGUAGAGCGGAAACAGAGAGAUAAAAUUAUCUAGGGAUUAUAUCCCCAAUCUUUGUAGAAAAACUACUCAAAGAUCAAAAGCUUAAAUGUUUUAUCACUUAAGUCCUCAUGUCUUACAUUUUUUUCCUCUUUUUACUCAUUUGUUUUAUUAAGAGGCUGUUUGUUUUUUUUGACUUAAUUAAUUUAAUUUCAAUCAGUUAAGACAUUAAGUACAUUUAUUUUGAACUUAGAAAAAAAUUUCAGUCAUUAAAUUAUUAAGCUAAUUGUUUUUAGUUUUUUACUUAAUUUAAAAAGUUUGAAUGAUAUCAUUAAAAAUAUUCUUUAAAAUAUUCUUAUUUAAUUAGUUAAUUUUCAUCCUUACCAAAGUAAAAUUUAAUAAUUAGCAUUAUUACUCAUCUUUAUAACUUGUGAUAAUACAGUGGAAGACUAUUAUUAUCUUUUUAUUUUUUUCAAAUUUGUUUUUUAUCUUUAUAAAUUUUUUCAAUAUUUUUCACAUAAAAACAUCAUAAACUACAAUAAAAUUGAUCAAUAUAGAUUAUUUUAGGAUAUAAAGAGUUGUAUUCAAUUGAAUAUGAUUUAUAUUAUGAUAAUAUAUUAUCUUGUUUAAGUUCUUUGAGAUAUUUAUUGCUUAUUUAAUAUUUAUAAUUACUAAGGGUACAAAUAUAAAAAUACUAGUUUUCAGAUAUUUCAAGUUGAAAUACAAACAACUUAAUAUUUUUAUUUUUAGCAAUUCAGACAAAAAUAACAAACAUAUCAUUCAGAUUCAAAUAUUCAGUUUUAUUUAGAAUUCAUACUAAUUUAGAUCUAUUCAAAUUUCAAAAAAAAAAAAAAAUACUAUCUAAGUGUACAUGGCUACUAGAAAUGAAGGGGAUUUUUACCUUGACAACUAAGAAUAGACUAUAGAGAAUUUCCUCAAGAAAGCUUACUAUCUCAUACAAAGUCACUCUCAUCAAUCAGCCUCGUGUGCUUGUUUAUAAGCAUCUUUCUUGAAUUAGAUAUAUCUUAGAUGUAAUCUCGUCCAUCUAUUUUAUUGGAUCAAUCUUGGCCUUUCAAUCAAGUCAUGUACCCUUUUAAAGAAGCAUGCGAUUCAAGAGUCAUAUACAUCACAUGUUUUCCUUAAUUAGGAUUGAUGUUCUGGAUGUUCCACUUCUAGAACCAAUUUAUGCUAUGAAUUUAGUAGACAUGUAACUCGGUGUGAGCCCUUUGAAAAUAGGGCACCUACGAGAGAGAAUUAAGAUGUGGGGGUAUUGUAGUCAAAUGAAAGUAAUUAUCUCUUAAUUUACAAAUGAACCAGAUGUACUUGAAGUUUUUUUUUUUUUUUUUGAAUUAGAUGUACUUGAAGUUUAAACAACUUAUAAGCAUUAAUUAACCAUGUAAAAGAAAUUCAUAAUGAAUGUUUGAAUUUGUUAAUUCUCUUUUCUUUUGAGAAUAUACACAACAAUUACCAAUCCCUUAUUAAUAAUGUUAGGCCACUUAAAAUUGCUUUGGGACUCUAAAUGUGGUAAUUAAUUUUAGACCGGAAUUUUUUGCAUCAUUGAAACGGUUAAAGACAAAAAUUAAGGGAUACAAGUAAAAUGGAGAUUAAGCCAAAAAUGAGAUGAGAUUUAUAGAUAAAAAUGUCAUUUCAUGUAAUGUAUUUAUUGCUUCAAGGAUUUAAUAGACAAUGCGUAAUCUUUUAAUCUGUGGACUCAAUUAGGAUACUUUUGUAACCUAUGGUCUCUGAGUUAUGUUUUACA
This 106286-nucleotide long non-coding RNA is filed under the name Citrus sinensis (sweet orange). Its description in RNAcentral is "long non-coding RNA (CSIN_LNC002072)". The record is from RNAcentral. Lineage: Eukaryota; Viridiplantae; Streptophyta; Magnoliopsida; Sapindales; Rutaceae.